UUAGGGUGAUAGGUUUAAGACUUUGGAGGGAGGCGCAAUUCCUCGUACAUGGAAUGCGGCUAAUCUCAAGUUUUAUUUUAGUUGAACUCUAGCAUUGUACACAGUUUAAGGGGACGCUCUUUUUCCCUUUUUAAGGGUAUUUUAACGAGGUCACCCAAUAAAAUUAUGAUUGAAGUAUACAUAUUCUCAAAUUUUUUGUACAAUGCAGGGGCGAACCUGUCGCCUUGGUGUUUAGACACCUCGAGAGGGAGUGAUAGCUUCCGCUUAGGACGCCUCCCCCUCGAGCGUGAGCGCCAAGUGCGAACAGCAGGGUUCGGUCAGUGACGAGCCUGUCGCCUUGGUGUUUAGACACCUCGAGAGGGAGUGGCAGCUUCCGCUUAGGACGCCUCCCCCUCGAGCGUGGGCGCCAAGUGCGAACAACAGGGUUCGACCAGUGACGAACCUGUCGCUUUGGUGUUUAGACACCUCGAGAGGGAGUGGCUUCGCUUAGGAUGCCUUCCCCUCGAGCGUGGACGCCAAGUGCGAACAACAGGGUUCGACCAGUGAUGAACCUGUCGUCUUGGUGUUUAGACACCUCGAGAGGGAGUGGCAGCUUUCGCUUAGGACGCCUGCCCCUCGAGCGUGGGCGCCAAGUGCGAACAACAGGGUUCAACCAGCAAUGAACCUGUCGUUUUAGUGUUUAGACACCUCGAAAGGGAGUGGCAGCUUCCGCUUAGGACGCCUUCCCCUCGAGGGUGGACGCCAAGUGCGAACAGCAAGGUUCGGCCAGUUAAGUCCUCCUUUGCCUUUGAGCAAAGACGAGGUCGGUGACGCGUCUUGUGGCUAGAGACCUUGAGAGGGAGGGGCAGUUCCCACGUAGGACGCCCCCUCCCAAACGCGAACGCCAAGGCUCAGCGAAAGGAUUCCCAAUUAAGUCCUCUACUGCCUUGGGGGCGAAGAUGAGACCGGUUGGUGGAUCCUCCCUAAUCGCAAAGUAUGGGUAAGUAUCAGCAAAGGAGUUUCCCUUGUCUAAGCAAAAGUUAAGGCAAGACUAGUUGAAGGUUCACUCAUGCUCACAUCCAUCACGGGUUGCUAAGCAGUUAAGACAGAGGGCGAGAAAGCGUGCUACCUAGAGUUCGAAGUUUUAAAGUUUGUCAAGGACUUAAAGGUGUUAGCAUCAUAACGUUGUUGGUAAGAGCGUCAAGUCAAAGACGCAGUUAUUGGCAAACAAAGAUAAAUAAAGCAAGUAAAGAAAGGUGCGAGUUAUAUUAAAUAAAUGUUUCGGAGGACAUAGUUUCAAAGCCAAAGUUACACAAGUUCCUUUUGAGGGCGCCUUGGCACGAUCUGCCUAUCCACAAUGUGGUUCGACGUUGCGAAGGAGGAGACAUCUAUCUCGAGAUGCUUGCAAGUAACCCGAGCGAGAGCGUCCUCGAACCCUACUGCAUAGGCAUUGGUGGCAUCGUCAAUGAGCUCCGCUUUGGCUUUCCCGAAGGCUUCAGCUUGAGUGGUCAGUUCUGCCUUGACCCUCUCAAGGGCUUCAGUUUGUGCGGUAAGCUCAACCUCUACUUUCCCGAGCUGCACCUCCCGAUCCGUGGCCCACUCUUCAAGUUUGACCAUCCUAGCUUUGUUGGCCAUGGUUUCCUCCUCAAGUUCCACCACCUGGGUACGUAGUGGCACAACCUUGGCCAAUAGAGUGGUGUACUCUUGGCCCUUGUCGAAGAGCUUCUUGUUGGCCUCCAGCUCAGCCUGGUGAAGGGCGUUUACUUCCUGAUGUAGCGCAGUCUCACGGUUGGAGAAAACCUAAGCCUGUUGGGCCAGUUGCUCCUUCGCCAGAGCCAGUUCUUCAGCCAAAGCCAUCUGCUCCUUUGCUUUUGACUCCACCUCGUGGAAAAAGGCGUCAAAUUGGGAAAGGAAUUCUCCAAGGCUGAGAGCCAAGCUCUCCCGCACAGCCUUUCCGCUUGAGCUUCCCAUGGCCCCUCUCUGGUAGCCCUUGAGGAUUUGUUGAAGGACCAGGGGAAGUUCAGGAGCAGGGGCUAGUUCAAGUACGCUCUCACCGCCACCCUCGAGUGCAAGGAGGCCUUGGGAGGAUGAGGCGCUCGGUGGAGCAGAAAGCGCUGAGGCACUUACGUCAGCAACAACAUCUUGACGAAGGGCCAAGACCUCAGCAAGUCUUGCUUGCUUCUCCUCGUUCAGCACCAUGCCUGCAUUAAAACAAAAGGGGAUGAGAAUUUGGCAAGGUUACCAAGAGGCAGGAAGUUAGCACAUGCAUAAGUAUGAGAUAACAUACAAGCAAGGUAGUAAAGAGAUAAAGGGGGGUCAGAAGCAAGGCUCUAUACCAAUGUAGCCCGCGAGACUAGAUGGGUUGUACUCAUGCUUGAUGAGCUCGACUGUGCUGAAGACCACCCCAAGGCUAGCCAGCACUUGGCACACCUCGCGAUCAGCAGAGGAUAACUCAUCAAGGGUCUUGGCUUUUUUAAGGGUUAACUUCCCCACCCAAUACAGAGGAAACCCGUCCAACAGGGUGCUGUCGUGCCCAGAGCAGCACACCUUGAAGAAUUUCCUUUUGAAACCCUUGUAAGAUUGUUGAAAUAAGGUGAGGAUGACUCUCCCUGUCACCCUGCUGAAGCUCACCCAGAGGUUCUUCCCAGGGUUCUUGGCUUCGAAAUAAUGAAGGAAGACGUCCACAGAUGGUGGAUGGCCGAAAUGGUUGCAAAGGAUGGAGAAAGCCCUCACAAAGGCCCAACUAUUGGGAUGCAGCUGGGCAGGGGCAACGUUCACUUCAGUGAGCAGCUCCCUCUCGAAGCUAGUGAAGGGGAGGUGCUGCCUAAUGCGUUUGAAAACAGUUUGGUAGAAGAAGAAGAAAGACUCUCCAUCAUUGGCACGGUUGUCCGUGCACACGGGUUCACCCUCUGCACAGGGACGAACUGAGACGUACGCGUCACUCUCUCUCCCAAACGCCCUACCCAGGAACUCGAGCUCGCUAUGCAGGUGUGCCCUCCAAUCCGCAAUCGAUGUAAGGGUGGAGGUUUCAGCGAGGAGUUCAUCGGAUACCCCAGGGUACAUUUCUCUGUAGUUGACAUUGGGUGGAGGGUUGGAGGUAGUCUUCGUUCGUGCCAUGAUGAAGGAAGCUAAAAAAGCAAGGAGAGAAGAAGGUAAGGGUCCAGCAAGGGGGGCUACGGUGUAAAAAGGAAGAAAAACCCUACGCUCGCAGAAAACCCAGAAAAACAGAGGAACGAAGAGUAAAUGCAGAGGAAAACCUAAACGUGGAAGUUUAAACAAGCCCAAGCAGUUAUCAAUGCGCGAAAUCAGAAAUAAAGAGCAAUCAAUGGAGAAAAAUCAUACCUUUGAUUGUUGAUGAGCGAAAGUUUGGGUUUUUGCGAAGGUAGGAAACCAGAGUGUUCGAAGAAGAAGAUGAAAAGUGCAAUAGAAGUUACAAAUGAUGGAACAGUGCAUGAAGCAUGCACUUUGAAAUACUUAACGUAAACUGGGAAAGCGCAAGCGACGGUAAGUCCCAGCCGUUGGAUUAAGACACGUGUGCACAUAUUAAGAAAGGUACAGGAAAGUGUCAUUUCGAGACACUAUGCACGUCCUGUCACAGGAAACCACGUAGGUCGGCAGGGCGAGAACUUAGUCUCUUCGCUAAACAAGUUGACAGCUCGAGACUGGGGGGCUUGUGUGCCGGACGGUCCUCGGACCUCGACAUUGACCGCAUUUACGGUGGGGCCCCGAAUGCUGGGUCCACUAGGAGGCUGGGAGGAUAGGUCAACAUCUCGCGAAACACACGAGUGAGGGUAGCCGAGGAGGGGGCGGCGUUGAGGUGAAAAGGGUGGUUUCCAAGACACACUCCAGUCAUCAGUAAGGGAGAGACCUAAAUCACGGGGGGUCCAUGCAUGGAGUGUGGGCGGCAGGGUAGGGUGCGACACAAUCAAAGAGCUGUUGAAUCAAGUGUGUUCAAGCUUUGAAAAAUCCAAACCCUUUGAAGGUUGAUGGAAGGCUGGAUGUGCUUGUUGUUGCUGAGCUAUGUUAGAAUAGGAUCUGGGGUAGAUUAUCUGUGUUAAAUCCACUCUUGAUUGAAUUCAAAGCUUAAGCAUUCUCAAACCUUUUAAUUGAAAGUGUUUUUCAAACUAAGUGAAAAACAACUUGUUGUUUUGUCGAAACAACCGAUUGUUUUAUACUUAGGUGUUUUUAUAAAGGUUGAAAACUGUUUUUGAUGGUUGACUUGCUGUCAAACCAAAACAACCGAUUGAUUCGAGCAUUCAGCCGAUUGUUUGUUUUGGACCAUAACAGAAAACUGUUUUGUGCUUUGACUGAGCUUUAAAUGAUAUUAUAACUGAAUACACUCCAGUUUUAAAUGCUUUGACCAGUCUUUGAAUGCAAUAAAUAGUUUGUUCAGAUUUUGUAACAAACAAGAACUUAUUUUUAAUCAAAGAAAAACAGAUUUGAGUUUUUCACUGAUUUUCCUUUUGAAGAGUUGGAGAUUGCUUUGAGAUUGCUUUGAUCAAGAGAGUGUGAUAUAGGAUUUUCAUCUUGUAUUGAUUUCAAAUCUUUUUUGUAACAAGUGUAAUCCUUCUGUACAUUGAAGAAACUCUGUGUGUGAAGCUGAGAAGUGUUGUGUGUUCUUGAGGUUGUCAAGAUCAACAUUCUUAGUUGUGUUUGUGCUGAGCCAAAGGAAGUGUGUGUCUUGAGGGGAUCAAGGUCACUUCUUUGGUGGUGUUGUAAGUAAUCUAGGGUUGAUUGCUUAGUGGAUUCCGCAGUGGUUUCUGGGAAGACUGGAUGUAGCUCUUGGUUUAAGAGUGAACCAGUAUAACUCCGUGUGUACAAUCUCUAUCUCUCUAUCCCUUGAACUCUUUAAAUUCAGUUUAUAUUUGUGAACUAGUAUAAACAACCGAUUGUUUUUAUGGUGCUGUGCUAAAUUGCUUUGUGUUUUUGGCAAACUGAUUUCUUAAUCAAGUUUUCUCGAAGUAAUUUCAUUCUAGACUUAAAAGUUUGCAAAAACCCUCUUUAAACCAUUCACCCCCCCCCCUCUAGUUUAAAACCAUACAUUCUAACAAGAGCCACUGGGAAAGAGACGACCUGUGAGGGUCACAUUCUAGGGUGAUUUGCAUGCAUGGUACGUGAGCAGCUAGGGCACUCCUAGGGCGGAUGAUCCCAGAGAUUGGGUGCAUGAGUUGGCACCCAAGCAGUCAUCCCGCGCCAACUGCACUUUGGAAAGGGAGUCUUAUGCACUAAAGGCCCUCAGAGCGGGUGUUAGUGACGCUAAGGCAUACCUACAGUAAGGCUAGUUACAGUUAGCGAAAGUGGCAAAAACACUAGAGUAUAUAAAGGGUAACAACCAACGUAAUAAGGUACGCAUUUCUAAUGCAAGUAACACACAGAGAGAAUACACACACACAAAGCUCUUAGAGUUAAGAGUUUUUUGGUGUUUCUUUGCCCGAGAGUUUGACUUGAGCGUCAGAGUUUAAACGCCUGCGAGGGCGCCCUUUGUCUCUUUGUUUCAGGUGAUUCUGUCGGAGGUAAGGCACGUAGAGACGAAGGGAUUCUUGAUCGCAAGGGUGUCUUAAGUGCACAAAGACAUUUAGGUCAACCGGCGGGAACAAUAUGGUUCUUAGUGAGCCUCCCUCUUGCAUGAGAACGCCAAGGUCAAGACAGUAAGGUUCCCAGAUAAAAUCCUCCUUUGCCUCUAUACGACAAAGGAAGGUCAGUAAGUGAACCUCUCCCUUGGAUUAGAAACACCAAGACUGGGAAUAGUACGGUUCUUAGUGAGCCUCCCUCUUGCGUGGGAACGCCAAGGUCGAGAAGAGUAUGGUUCCCAGAUUAAAAUCCUCCCCUGCCUCUAUACGGCAAGGACGAGGUCAAUAGGCAAACAUCUCCUUUGGGUUAGAAACACCAAGAUUGGAAAUAGUAUGGUUCUGAGUGAGCCCCCCUCUUGCGUGAGAACGCUAAGGCUCAUAAUAGAAUAGUUACCAGUUAAAUCAUCCCUUACCUCUAUACAGCUAGGACGAGGUCAGUAAAGGAGAACCUCUUCCUUGUCUUGUAAGGCAAGGUCAGUAUGGUUCCCAGUUAUAUGUCUCCCUUACCCCUAUGUGGAAAGGUCGAGACCAGCUAAGUGAGUCUCUCCCUUGUCUUGUAAGACAAGGCCGAAAAUAGUGAGGAGUGUAGGGGUUUUGAGGGGUUUAACGUAUACGAAGAAGCGCAAGCGGCAACGAGCCUUAACCGUUGAUCCUGCCACGUGUAUGCUGAUUAAAAAAGUAUGGUGAAACGUCACUUCAGUGCCCUGUUCACGUCCCGUCACCCUAGCAUCACGUAGGUCGUCGUGGGUGAUCACUUAACCUCUUUGCUGAAACAAGUUACAGCUCGAGCCUGGGGGGCUUGUGUACUGGCCAAACCUCGGACAUCGACUGAAGAGAUCGGCAUCAGACAUCAGUCAUAUUAAUGGGUCACGUAGGUAGCCCCCAGAAAUACUAAUGAGUUAUUAUCCAUACAAGAGAGGGACCUAAGUCACGAGAGGAUUCAUGCAUGUGGUGUGAAUAGCACGUUCAGGUCUAGCAGAAGUAAAUAACCCUUGGAGACGCUAAGGCCCGUUAGGGUGAGGGUUUCCAAGGGUAGACUGCAUGCAUGACACGUGAAUACUUAGGGCACCUAUAGAGCAGAUGGCCCCGCAGCGCUGGUACAUGAGUUGGUACCCUAGGAGUCGUGCUAUUAGAGAUUUUGCACUCCAAAAGAGUCAAGUCUUGUGACGCGGCUGUGCUAAGCUUGUGCAACGGGUCACAUAAUGCCUCACAGUAACCCUAAUUCCACUAAAGGAAAGAUACUCGUGGGAGAGGGAGUUGACCUAGAUACAACAUAAAGGGUGGUAAAAACCCUAGAAAAGGUACGUCGUUUCUAAGACUGAAACUGCUCUACAUACUUUACUGUUUCUUAGCAUAGUACUGACUUGAUUGUCAGAGUGCAAUCAACAGGUAGGACCCCCAUCUAUUUCAACGGAGUCACUCUUAGCUAUCCAAAAAGACAGCUGAAACCACUAGAAAAUAGAAGGAACCACCAUCUGUCUUCGAAGUCAACAACGACUAAGUCAACCGACGAGAACAAAUCUUAUAAACAUGUACCACACCUGAAAAUCUUAACUUUACUGUUAGACUAGAAAAAUAUUGUUAAGCCUAUUUUGAGCUUAAUUCGAAAUCUUGAAAUUUAAAUGAACCUAUUUGAAUAUAACGGGCUAACUAAUCAUUUAUCUAGUUAAAUCAUUAUUUUUUUCUAGUUAACCCCAAAUUUUUAUUAUUUAAAUAUUAAAUAUAUGAGAUUGCAGUGCAGUUCUUAAAACAUUUGUUGCGUUAAAACAUAGAAAUUUUACCUUGGAAGUGUUAAACCCUUUGGCAUUGUGGAAUUUGAAGGAUAACACAAUUCUUAUUUAUCUAUUAUUUUAUCUUCUUCUUCUUCUUCUUCUUCACUCUGAGACUCCGAGUGAGUGUGUAUGAGUUGGGGUAGCCAUGGGGAGUUCACGAGAGCGAUUGGUGAAGGCGGUGAAAAAGUUCGUGGAUGUUCGGUACAAGGUUUUCAGCAAUCGUUACGGUCCAACCAUCAUCGACAUAUUGGACUUCCCAAUUAAGGUUGUCUUGUCUCCCUUCACUCUCGCCUUCGACAUUGCCGGCUCUGCGCCUCGCGGCUUCGGCGUCCCCGAACUCAUCUCCAAGCUCUCUGCCACUUCCGUCUUCGUCAGUCUCUUUCCCUUUUCCCUAUGCAAUUUUCUUCUCUCUCACUUUUUCUCGCUAUUUAUCUAUUGUUUUGUACAAUAUGAUUCCCUAAUUUCUGGAGGAAGUGAUGAUUACUGGUAGCCGGAUUGCCUCUGUAGAGAUACUUGUAGAAGGCACAUGUGGUCUUGAAAACUAUUAUUUUCACUAUCCUGCAUUUAUGUAGUUAUAUAGAUAUAGACAGGAAAGUAAUUGCUGUUGUUUUUCCAGUUUCUGAAAAAAAAAAGUUAGAAUGAAGAAGCUGAAAACAAUGUAAUAUUUUGGUAAUGAUUAGUGAAAUUGAAAAUGAAUAAGAAAGGAAUUAUGUUAAACCAAAUAAGUAUUUUUGGAAGCCAUUUUACUUUUUAAAUUUUUUAUCAUUUGGAUUAUUGAUGGGAGUUGUAUUCUCUGGAAAUUUUAUCUUGUUAGUUCUAGGUUCAAUUUUUGUUUUAUUUUUAUAAUGAUAGAUGUUGCUUCAUGGCUUGGUUGUAGGCUAUAGCUGCUCUUGGAACUUAUGACAUUGCAUUUGAGCUGGGGAGGAAGGUGCUAUGUCAAAGGUGCUGUUUGUAUUCCUUGAUUGUGGUUUUGUUGUGUCACUUGAAUACAUGAUACCUUGAAUCUCUUAUGAGUUUAGUGUUGCUCAUUGACUUUUGUAAACUCUAACUAAAUGUGUGUCUCAAGAACAGGAAUUGUAAUACAUGUAGUGGAUGGCGGGCCUUGCGGUGUACAAUGUGCAGAGGAAGUGGGAGGGUGCAUUAUCAAGUCAAGAAUUACACCUUGAAGAGGUAUGUGACUCUCCAUUUGGAUAAAUUUAGAGGUGGCGGUGAGUAUUACUAUGUAAAUGUGGUUUGUUUGGUGCUCUUGUUGAAAUUUUUAAUAGAACCCACAAACAAUGAAACUUGCAAAAGUUAUUUCAAGAUCAUAAAAGUUGAGAUUCUAGUUGAAUUAGAAUACGUUGCAAUCUUCGUCAUUUGGGGUCAUGCAUGAUUACUUAUGUAGUUUGUCCAAGCUUCCAAGAAAACUACGUAAUAAAUACUCACACAUACACAAAGUUCAGAUGGGAAAAAAGCUACUCCAUCAAAUCCUUAUUAUAAGACACUGUUAACAGAAUUAUAACUGUUUAAUGAGAAAACGAACACAGUCUUUGGGACUUGAAAAUGUUGUAAUAGCUUUUCAUUGGGAAAUACCUGAAUUAUAACUCAGCCUAUAUCUCUCUUUUUUAAAGAAAAACCCCAAAGUAGAUACCAAAAACAUUUAGUAAAGGAAAACCAGUAAAAAAGAUAAAUGUAUCAUUGGAGUAUAAAGUCACGUAUAAAUUGGACCAUAUAGAGCAUGUACAAGGUGUCUUAUAAUAAGGACCGGAGGGAGUAUUUAAACACAUACUAGUUUUAUGCCAAUGAAUUUUUCUAAAAUGGUGGUUGACCUAAAGUCACACUAAAUUAAUAUAUUAAUAUCUGAACUGCAAUGAAAAUAUCUGCUGUCAAGUAAGGAAAUGUGUAUCUGAUUUAUAUAAAAUGGGCAUAAGAUAGCUCAGUAUAUUUUUAGUGGAUAACUCUCUUCUAUUUUGAUUUCUUUUAGUGCACGUCAUUUAUUAUUUUGAGAUUCUCCUCCAAUUUGUAUACACCUUAUAUGUUCUUCAACUUUUAACUUUUAGUGGAGAGAAGCCAACUGCUGAAUCUGUAGCAGACGCCAUUGCCAACAAUCGGGCUGAGUUGGUGCAUCUACCGUCAUCCUUGGAUUUUCAAAACCCACUCCCUUCAAAAGAGUGUCCAACUUGUGAUGGAACGGUGGGAGUUAAAUUCCAAGACAAUUUGUCUUUUCAUCCAACAUUUUGUUUUCAUGGAUAGGUUCAUUCCCGCUGAAGUAGUAAUUCAUGAAUAAACUUUAGUCCUCCCCCUGCAUGCGCACACACCUACCCACCAUAAAACAAUUCUACUUUGAGAUCAAUAGUUAGUCUCAUAUGUUCUUCAUCUGGUAGCUUUAACAUUGCAAUGUGUUUUGACCUUUUUUUUUGAAGAAUUUAUUUCACUUUACACAGGGUGCAAUGAGCUGUCCUGAAUGCAAACACAGAUUGGUGCAUGUUAGGAUCUCAGCAGAUGAUGUGGGUAUUGUUGACUCUUUGGUGCUUGGUUCUUUUCCCAUUAUUGAAUUUAACUCGUUCAUAUUUGAUCUUUAAUAUUACCUGUGAAGUUUUAAUAAUCUAUUUAUAAUAUGUAGCCAAAUGUGGCUUUGGCAAUUAAACUAAUCUUUUGUUUCCACACCAGUAUUUUGAUUGAUAUGUCACUUAGUGAUUCAAUACUAUAUUUUCUCGCUUUCUCUUAACCAUUUUUUACCCACAUCAGCAACGGCAAUUUUUAUUUUAAUUUCUUAAAUGAAUUAGAAUCCAUCACUUACAUUGUAUAAUAACCAUUGAUUAGUGGAAACAGUGAGUUCUUUUGAUGUAAUUAUACUUGUAAUUGCUUCAAAAUAAAAAAUUUGCUUCCUCAACAAAUAUUUUCUCAAACACUUGGUCGAUUUCUCUUGUAACAAUGACAGUAUUUAAAUCUUGCAAAAAUCUCAUAACUUUUUAAAGAUUUAUUGGAUUAUUUAUUUUACUUCUCAAUGAUAUGUAAAUUAUUAAAGUUAAAAUACAUGCUAUCGGAUAGAUGCUAAAAUUAUCUUAUUGAUGAACUGUUUAACAAGUUGGUGUAAUGCUGGUUCAUAUUAUUUUAAGCAUCCUUUUCUUUGGGCAGAUUAUGGAGCCCCCUUGGCAAGCUUAUAAUGUCUUGAAAAAAAUGGAUUACCCAUAUGAGGUUAGUGUUAUUUCUUCUAAGAUCAAAUUUGAUUCUAUUAAAUAAGAAAUUCUAUUGUCAUUAUUUAUUAUUGACAAUAUAAUACAGAUUCCUCUCAUAUGCAACUGAACAAACCUUGAUCCUAGGCAUUUGUACUCAUUUCUUUACUUUUGUGUGCAUUGGAAUUCAUGUUUCUCUUAUAUUAGCAUUUCAUGCAAACUUUUGUUGGUUAAAUAAGUGUGUCAAGAGGAGACAUAAAAUAUAAAAUUUAUUCUACUUCUGAUUUCUCACUCUUUUUUUUGACAUUGAAAUCAUUAGUAUAUGUUUUGUUUUUUCCUCUUUUCAGCACAUAGUUCACAGCAUGUUUUGUUUUCUCUUAUAUUAGCAUUUCAUGCAAACUUUUGUUGGUUAAAUAAGUGUGUCAAGAGGAGACAUAAAAUAUAAAAUUUAUUCUACUUCUGAUUUCUCACUCUUUUUUUUGACAUUGAAAUCAUUAGUAUAUGUUUUGUUUUUUCCUCUUUUCAGCACAUAGUUCACAGCAUGAAAGAUCCUAGUAUUGCUGCAUUUUGGCUGAUUACAUUUCCUCAGAUCAUGGGUGGAUUUACCUAUGAUGAUGAUGUGAAGCAGAAAAUAUGGUGGCAAUACAAGGUUUACAUUUCUAUUCCUUUCCAUAGUUCAGUACAGUUCAUCUACUAAUUAUUAUCUUAUGAUAAAUGAUUGCUUGGUAAAAGAAAUGAUGAAAUUACAUACCUGCUUUAAACAAAUUUUAAUUGCAAAUUUGUCAUGAAAUAUGAAUAUAAGGUGAAAAUACAAUGUUAAGGCCCAGGAUUAAACAAAAGAAAUGUGUUUUUGCUUGUUUACCCUUAUAUUUUGGUUAGGAAUGUGGUCCACAAGGAUAAUAAUAUACAACAAAAGUAACAUAUUUCUGUCCUUGCUACUUUCAGAUGGAUGAGAAUAAUUUUCAAUGACCUGGUUUUCCUUUUGUUCUGCAUGCUUGCAAGUGAAAAUUUAAUUUCCUCUAUUUUCUACUUCUGUCAAUUCAUUUUUACUCUCCUUGAGCUCAGUGGAUCGUGCACCUCAGUUCAGAGAUUGGUAUUUGUAGAAUUCUAAUUUUGUGAAAAUACAAGAAACAACUGAUCUGAAUAUAUGAAUCUGUCAGCUUGUAGCUUUUUGAAGGUUUCAUCCCUUUUUCCAGCACCAACAUAGUUUUCCAAGCACCUAUGCUGUUUCAUCUGCGUGUGUGUGUUUUAAUACAGAAGGAUUCAUGGGACCAAUUGACUGAAUAAUCCUGUGUAUUUCUCUAGCCGGCAAACAUAAUGUGUUGGAAGAUUUUCUUUGUACUUAGUACUUUGACCUGUAUGCCAGUAACUAUUUGGAAUUUCAGAUUGCUUAGGAAAAUGGUGCGGGAAAUUGGAUUUAAUAUUUAAAAUGGAAUUGAAAAAAAGGGAAUGAAGGUCAUAACCCUAUGAUUAUACAACCUUUCAUUCGAUUAACCUUUUCAAAAGUUAAUCAGACAUUAUGCAGCCUAAAUCAUCAUCUGUCAUGUUCAUUCUUUAUAGAAGUUGGUCAACUCUAUGUCUCUAAAUAUAUCUAUUUUCCUUUUCCUUUUGUGAGUGAAUUUAGGAAUCUAGGCGGUAUGAUCAACUCCGAGAUGUGGUGGCCAAGAGGAAACCUGGGUGGGAGUAUCUGCAGGAGGUAAGCUUUUCAUCCUUUGCACUAACCAUGGCUAUCUGGUAAUGCCUAUGCUCAUAUUUUAGAUGUGGAAGUCACAAGCGAUAUAAAUGUUGGGUAUGCUGGGGAUUAGUUGCUAAAAUAAAUGGACGAAAAGCUUAUUCUUUUACUAUUUUUCUGAUAAUUAUGGUAGUUUUUUAUUAGUUGGAUGCUAGAUAUGGAGUUAUUUAUGUGGUUGAUUGACGGUGGCAUUCAUCUUAAAUUUAUGUAAUUUUCUCUGGAUUAAAUUUUACAAUGUUUGUUUAUUUUGAACUGAUGUUAUCAUAGGCCUUGAUAUCUAUUGAUCCUGACCGUGCAAGGGAUGAUCCUGUCAUAGUGAAAAAUGUCCCUUACUAUAAGGCUCAGAAGGCACUGGAGACAGAGGUUAUGAAGCUUGAUCCUCCAGCAAGACCGUCAAAUUGGGGUGUACGUAUUUACUAUCUACACGUAACAUUUGCUAGUUAUUCCUUCAGUUAAUGUGCACAAUUUUCUUUCAAAUUAAUUUAUAAUGUGUUUUUGAUAAUUGCACUGCUUGAAUUCUUUAUCCCCAGUUGGUUAGAAUGCGCAUAUAGACAGUUGCAUAUACUGGAUUGACAUGGUCAGUAUGACUUAAAAAACAAGCUGGCCUCUAAGCUGGUCUAAACAGGCCUCUUUAUGUAUUUGCAGUGAAUAAGUCUAAUGUGGGUGAUCCACCAGGAUGGGCUAACUCGGUUUAAAUAUUUUUGGCUUCACAAAUUUGUUAACACUGUACAAGGAUGACCCUUUUGAAGUGCAUUCUACUACAGAACACUUCCGAUGUUUUCUCCUUUUAUUUCUUUAAGCUGUUCAAUGGAAAAUCAGUGGGGCGUAAACCUUUUGAAAUUGCGGCGAGCCUCUGGCUCAAAUGCGUAAAAGUGAGAAUAUAAAUUUAACAGCAUGCAAAAAGGGUCAUAAGAUAUUCAUAAAAUAUGCCAUCACAACUUUUCACUACAAAAUAUAUUGUUAGGUUGGUCACUCCCACUUCCAUUUGAAAAAGGAAAAUUAUAAAAGUAGUGUAGGUUGUAGGCAUAUCCUUCUCAGAAAUGAGACAUAAACUGCAGAGAAUUGGCAGGAGCUGGACCUUCCAUUGAAUGCAUCGUCUUGGAGUGAGGAGGAUCUCAAAAAUCCAGAAAAGUUCUAUGAAAUGACUGUUCUUCUUAAUGCCCAAAGAGAAAUCUCUGAUAAGAUCUUGGAUGCACAGUGGGAAACUAAAUGGCGUCAGGACAAGGUUGGUGGUUUUUUUGUCUUUACAAUUAGUUACUUUGUUUAUGUUGAAAGGAUCAACUAAUCAAAAUCGACAUAUGCUGUAAUCAGGCAUUUCAUAUGAUGAAAUAAUAAUGUUAAAUUGUGUGUACAAUUGUCUUGUCCCAAGAUCACACUCUUUUUUUUUAAUCAGCAUCAAGAUCACACUCUUGGCCUUUUUAGUUUACAAUGUUCAUGUAUGCUUGGGUUUUGCUUCCAAUUCAAGAUUUCAAGCUGUCUGUGGUUUGAGUUGUGUACUUAACCGCUCUCAGAACUAUUACAUACCUUUAAUAUAUGUUCAGUUUGUGGAAUAUUAUAUUAUUCUUGCACACUUUCAAAUGUCGCUGUCCAUCAAUCUUUUGUGCAAGUGACUGACUUAAUUUCACCUUCAGUUGAAUGAGAUGUUGGAGGCCAAGGUGAAGCCAUUCAUUCAGGAUAUAGACAACGCAGUUCUUCCUGAGCCUAUUUUAAUAAAACCACAAAAUCAGGAAAAGGUCUCUCUUUUCUCUGUUAUUUGCGUUCGAACAUUCAUUGAUUAUGCAUGUUGCUCAAGAUAGACAACUUUUCUAUUUUAAUUAAUUUGUACAAUCUCUUCUAUAUUUGUUUUUUCAAAAACUGAUUUUUAAUUUAUGUAUAAACUAAUUUUACUUUAAGAAUUUUUUUCUUCAUUUUUCCAUGUUUUUUUAUAUUAUAAGUGCUUUUGGAGAAAUUUUAUCGAAAACAUGUCCAAAUUUAUUAGCUUUCAUUUUGAAGUUUUCAUUUUUCCAUUUUGAAGUCUACUGUAUUUUUAGAUUACGCAAUGUGCAGUUUGUUGCAUGACUGAAUUUUCUGAUUGAAUUUUGUAAUUUCCACUAUUCCUUUCAUCGUGUAGAAGAUACGAAGUUAAACUUCAGAGCUGAAUAAACAUUUAGAAGUUCAUUAGUUGUUCGUCUUUGAAAUAUAAUAGGAGGAAGUUAAUGUUUCCUUAUUAUUAUCAUGUUUUACUUUCUCAGCAAUAUCCCUCUCCUAGUUUUAGGUACAGUGAUGAUGUGAUUUUCUUACUUUGCAUGUUGCUCCUGCAGAGACAACGGCGAAGGUGGUUUUUCUUUUGACAACAGGGACAAAGCUACUAUAAAUAUGCUCCAGCAUGCUUGUUUGUAGUCCUACUAUUUUUUUGGCAUGAUCUGUAACUAUGCAUAUUGUUGGAAGCCUGGAUUCAGUGUGUAUCAUGAAGCACACAUGUUGUGCCUCUGUUUUGGGCAUCAUUUUGUGGAGGAACCAAUUGUUUUUGACACAAGUAAUACAACUUGUGGAAAAAAGUCCAGAGAGACAUGCAAGAAGAAACAAAAACCUUUGCAGAUGUUACAUUUUGUUGUUGUGACAGACAUGUUCCGAAGAUACCAUAUUUGGGUUAAAUUCCUUUCAAUCCUGUCUUACUGAAAUUUCCUGUAAUCCAAUCCUUCAUGUUGUUUACUCUCAACUGUUCUGUUCACUGCUGAUAUAUUUGAUGAUUUUUACAUUCACCUACGCAUUACACACACUAACACGUAGAAUCAAAUAUCAAAAUCCACUAUUUGAUUCUUAUAGUGUCGCUAAUAAGUAAUUUUGAUCAUUCUAAAAAAUAAAUUACACAUUUGGUUAAAUUUUUUUUAAUUAAGUUAUUUUGAUCUGAUAUUGGUAUAUAAUUUGAUUUCUACGUAUUUUCAAUGCUAAUAAAUGCUACAAUUUAUUAUUAAACAUUAUUGUUAAUGUUCUAUGUAAACAAGUAAUUAGCAUUGUUAUAUAUUAAUAUUUUUAUUUGAAAUGUAAUAUCAAAUCAAUUGAAAUUAUAAUUGUUUAAUUUGAAAAUCAAAUAAUCAGAAGUACAGUUAAAUUUUUUGUAACUUCAAAUUGCUGUUUGCUUUCAUACACAUGCAUAUGCAGGCAUAAAUCUAUGUUGGAAAUUCAACUGUCUUUAUCAAGUUUUAAAUUUUAUGCCAAGAAAAAGUCAGUGGCGAUUUUUUUUCUUCUAAACACUGAGAUAGCUUAGGAUUUAAAGAUAAGUAUGAUUGACUCACUUUUCAAAAUCUUUUGUUUAGUAUUUACUUGUGUGUUUUGUUUUCAACUUAAUCUAAGACCAACCUUAAAGUUCAUAAAGUAAUAUUCAGAUAUUUCGUUUUACGCGUUUAAAUAUUUUUAUAGAAAAAUAUAUUAGAGAUAUUUUAUUUUUUAUAAAUUUUUAUUCUGUUUUUUUUUUCUGUAUUUUUUCAAGCAUCUUAUAUUUUGUCACCUUUUAUACAACUUUAAACGUCGAAUUGUCAUGUUUUAUUAAUUAUUAUUUAAUAUUUUGUGUUUUCAAAUUUCUAUUCAUUUAAGAAAUUGUGCUAAAAUAUUUCAAUUUAGUGGUAAAUAUUUCUUUUAAAAUUUUGUAACUCAUACUUUUACUUCAGUUUUUCAGUUAUUCUCUUCAUAAUUUUCAUAUUUUUUAUAUUCACUCUUUUACAACUUCAUUUCAUUUCAAUUAAGAUAUUUUCUGGGAGAAAGUAAUAUUAAAAGUAAGGUUUUAAAAUUAUUUAGAAGGUAUAUNNNNNNNNNNNNNNNNNNNNNNNNNNNNNNNNNNNNNNNNNNNNNNNNNNNNNNNNNNNNNNNNNNNNNNNNNNNNNNNNNNNNNNNNNNNNNNNNNNNNUAUAUAUAUAUGAGAUUUUUCAUUAUAAUCGUUUUUUGGUGUACACAAAUUUUUUCCAAUUCUAUCCUUAUUAAUAUAUCAUAUUUUAUUAAUACAAUGGAGUAUUUUGUCAUUUCAUAUGAAUUACUUAAAAUAUAAAAUUAUUUUUUAAUUUUUUAAAUUAAUAUUAAUGUACAGUUUGUAUAUGACUCUCUCACUCUUUUCUUAUUUCCUUGUUUUAAGGCAACAAAAAGAGUAUUCUCUCACACAUUUCUAUACAAAAUCUCACAUAUAAAAUAAAAGAACCUUCACUUUCAAUCACUCUCUGCACUCUAUUUUUUUUUUAAAUUUCGACUCACCCUAAAUUAUUUCUGUAUGUAUGUUACAUUUCUAUCAUCUUAAAAAAAUUAAGUAAAAGAAAAAAAUAUGGAUAUACAAACGCCAUUGCGUCUUUGUUUCCACUAAUAUUAAUAAUAAUGUGCGUUAUAUUAGAUAGUUUUUUUGUUACAUAAUAGUAUAUAAUUUUAUUUUAUAUUAUUUUUAAUAAUAAUGUAAAUUAAAUUUAUUCAAAAAUAUAAUAAAUUGUUAAUAUUUGUCCUAUAAAUAUUUAUAUCUGGUAAUAUGUAAAAGUAGUGUGUAGUUGUAUGAUAUAUUUUGUAAUAUUUAUAUUUAUUAAUUGAUAUGUAUAAUUUUAUAUUUAUAUUAUAAAAAGAAGAUCCUAAGAACUUGAGUAGUGUGUUCACAUGCUUCAUCUGCAUUUCCACUCUUACUUUCCAAAUAGCCAACUCGUGACACACCUCACUUUCACACCAAAUAGCUUACACCUACUUUAAAAAUUUACCUUGUCAUUUCACAUAACCAAAUAGCUUAUUAAUUGUUAGACAUCUUAUGUUAGAUUAGACACCCUAUUUUAUUUAUUAAAAUUUUUAUUCUCUAGAUACAUUUAAUUUAGAGUAUAGAAUUUUCAUCAAUCAAAUUUUAACUAAAUGAUUUAUGGAAGAAUGAGUUACACUUAUACUUUUUUAUAUUUUUUUUAGUAAUUCAUAAUCUAUCAUAUUUGAGAUUUGAGUUUGUUUAAAUUUUUUUGUUAUGUUAUUGGUAUGAACAUAAUGAGUUAGAUUUAUAUUUUUUUAGCAAUUCAUAAUCUAUUAUAUUUGAGAUUUGAGUUUGUUUAAAUUUAUUUGUUAUGUUAUUGGUACGAACAUACAAUGUUCGCAGCAUAAGAUUUUACAUCAACUAAAAAUAAGAUCAACGUAGUAUAGACAAAUUUCAUCUUACAAGAUAAAUUAGACUUUUAAUUUUAAUAAAUUUUAUAUUAAAUAAUUAUAAACCGUCCAAAUUUCAUUGUAUUAUAUUAGGGGUAUUAAGUUUGUGUUUUAUCCAUAUAUUCAUGUAUGCAAGAGGAGUUCGUUUUUAUAUUCUCUACUUUGUUUUAUUUAUAAUUUUUUUACUUCAAAUAAUUUAUAAUCUAAUUAUUCAAAUGUUUGUUUUAUUUAUAAAUUUGUUACUUCAAAUAAUUUAUAAUUUAAUUAUUCAAAUAUCUGUAACUUACAAAAUUUGUAUUUUCAUUACUGAUAACUUUAUUAUUUAGAAAGUUUCCUAUUUAUUUAUUAUUUUAAAAUUAUUUUUUAACAAAUGAACUAAAUCAAAUAGUAAUAAUUGAGAUUCCUUAAACAUUGAAGUAAGUGUGAUAUUUAGUGUCAUUAUUAUGUUAUUCCCUUGAUAUAUAUCUAGAGUACUUACUUGAUCGUCGGAGAACCUUUUGCAGGUUUACUCCUGAUCGAGCGCUAAGGAACUGAGGAACUGAAGAGUUGAUAUCUGAAGAAGGGAAAAAGAUGAAUAACCGAAGCACGAGAGAGGACGACCGAAGGAACAAUUACUUGAAGAGCGACCAACACCAACAACAAUUGUCAUGCCAAUCUCAGGUACUAUUUAGGCCCACUUUGUCUAUACAAGUACAUUUGACACCCAACGUUGGACCUAAAUAGAGUCAAAGCAAACAACAAUGGUUUCGACAAGGUAGAUGAUGAACAAUAGGAUGCUAGAAGUGGAUCAGAUCGCUAUUUUCCAGGCUCUACAGAAAGAGGUGGAAUAAAUAUGCUAAAAGAACAAAGACGAGGUUACCCUUCGUCGAAAGAAUGAGGAGGAGAUGUGAAUCCUUAAGGAACAACAUGAACAGAUGAAGCGACAGCCAGUUGAGCCCAUAUUUGGAGCCGAGCGUAGGUAGCGUAGACAAACUCCUCCUCAAAGGAGUGAACACACACAAAAUCACGAGAGAACGACUACUACUCGAACUCAGACUUAUCAAUCUUCUAGACCGCAUACAGAAUGAACAAUCAUCAUAGAAGACGAGUACGAAGAUACCACAAAUCCGGACGAACACAUUGAUGUAUACAAAAUGCAGAUGGACCUCUACACAUCAAACAAGUUGGUGUGGUGUUGGGUAUUCCCCACUUCGCUGAAGGGGGAAACAUUCAUUUGGUUCACCAGGCUUCCAUUCGACUCAGUAGAUAGCUUCAAAACCUUAUUAUCUAAACUCGGUACUCAGUUUGCAAUUAGCCGACCGCAUCAUCUGACAUUUAUAGCACUUGUCAACAUACAACAAGAGAAAGGAAAAUCACUUAGGACAUUCAUGGAGAGAUUUAGCAAAUUAUCCAUGAACAUCAGGAAUGUCAGCCUAGAAGUGGCCAUCAUUUGGCACGACCCUUAGGUCAAGCCUGUUUGCUGAUAGUCUAUGUAAAAAACCAACAAAAAACUUAGAUGAAUGGAGGCAAUGACUGGCUAAAUUUAUGCAAUUAGAAGAAUUGCGUGACAAUUGCAGUAAUGUUCGAGCGAAAAAUGGAGGAGAUAAAGGAAAAGAGAAGGAUCGUGGUGGUAGGCAAGGGCAUAGUAGAUCGAACAGGUACAAAGAACAUCGAGGUCCUCAAUUUCACACUUAUACCCCUUUAAAUGUCGAUAGGGGAACAAUCAUAGAUGAGACACUAAACGUCAAUCUCAUCUCGACAUUUUGAAAGCUGCAAAGCCCGAAGGAUGCGACACAUCUAAACAAUGUUGAUACCACCACAACUUUGGCCACAUGGUCGAAGAGUUCCAAGCAUUGAAAGAAAAAAAAUGAGGAACUUAUUCAAGCUGGGCACUUCCACAAGUUCGUUUAAGGCGCAAACAGGAGUUCCUAUAAAUCCCCCCAAAGGGAGAAAUAUCAUCGAAGGGAUGGGCGAAGGACUAUGGCUGCUAAGGUACUUAGAGCAAAAUACUAUUGGCCGACCAUUCAGAGCGACUAUGCCGAGUUCAUGCAAAAAUGUUUGAAAUUCCAAGAGUAUGACACAUUAUGUCAAGAGUAUGUCCACUAACGAUUAAUGAAUAUUUAAUAGAAAAACUUUUCUUUGACAUUCUAAAUAAUGAAAAACAAACACUUGACAACUUGUUAUAAUAAUAUAAUAAUAUUUUAAAUUAAAAAAUAAAAUAAAAAUAAUAAAAAUAUUAAUUUAUUAGGAUGUUAAGUGUAUGUUUUCAGUGUAGAUAGUGUCAAUAUAUUAUCUUCCUAUAUAAUAACUACAUAUCUAAUAAAUAUCUAUAUUUUAGGUAUUGAGUAGUACAUAUGUACCUUCCUAAAGAAGGAAUGAAUAAAUACGAGAUUAUAAAGAAGAGUGACAAAAGAGAAUAAGGAGAAAGAAUGAUCUACCUUAGGAUCUCCAUUCUUCUUGCCUUGAACAACACAUUGUGAGGUGGAAGUAAUGUAUCUUUUAAGACUUUAAGUGAAUGAAUCUGAUGGUAUAUAUAGAAGUGUGGUGUCAUAGGUCAAGUCUGAUUAUAAGCCUCUAAGACUCGAUGCAUGAGACUAGGAGGAUAUGUGGUAUCAUAGGUAGGGACGAUUUUGACGGGAUAGGAGUCAAUCUCAGAAAAAUAUCUAAUUGGAGAUUAAAUAUUUAAUAGAGAAAUCUUAUUAAUAUCUCCUCCACAUUCAAGAUAAUUUUAAUGCAAAAUUAAAGCAUUAUAAAGAUAAAAUUGACAUUUAGUGAAUAAAAACUAAAGACAAAACCAAAAAAAAAGGAGAUAAAAGGAAAUAUACAAAUAACAAAAACUUAAUUAAAAAAUUCCUAUAUUUCUUAUUUAAACUAAAUACUCUAGUUAAUAUUCAUAUUUUUUGGUAGAAGAAAUUUAUAGAAUCAUAUAUACAAAACAACUGGUGUUCUUGGCCAUAAGGUACUGUUUGAUGUAACAAUUUGAUCGAGCAAAAAACAGGCGAUUUUAUUUGACUAAGCUGCAAUUCAAAGAAAACAGUUAAGUUUUUAUCCGUGGGAGAAAACAGUUGAGUGGUUUUGUUUGGUAUUUACUUCCAGCUUCUCCAUUCAAUUUAGACUUGCAAUUCGUGAAUUUUAAAAUUGAUUGAUUAUUGAAUUGCAGAAUGAAGUAAAUGAAAUUUUGGUUGGGUAAUUUGUUGAUUGAUGAAAUGAUUGCAAUUGAAGAAAUUGACUGUGCGUGAUGGAAUAAAGCCUAUUUGCUAUCUCAUAGUAAUUGUGUGUGAUUUGCUUUUAAUUUCUAAAACAAUUUCUGGUGGGCUUGCAAUUGAAAUUGAUAAUUCCAAUGGGGCCCACCAUAUUGGUGAAAGCUUCAGACAUGCUAUUUGUUUAUUAAAGAAGCAGCAGAUUUGUGAAUUGGUAUGAAUUUUGGUUCCAAAUUGCAUUCAAGUAGGACCCCCCAUUUUUUAACCCUUCUAUCACAUGCACUACCCUAUUCAAUUACAAUGACAAAUUUAAUUCUUCAAUUCAAUUUCCUCAAAAAUAUUUUUCAAAUUGAGUUCAUUUGACUCAAAUGAUACUUCUGAUUUUUGGUGCAAUAAUUGUGCAAUUGAAGACCAACAUUGUAUAGGUGCAUGAUUGGUUUUUGAUUUUAACUUUUGCCCUAAACCUUACUUUCCUUUAUUGUGAAAAAUCUUUUAAUACAAAACUUAUGUCUAUGCAUAUACUUCUUACCAUACAUUAAAUAACUUAGGUUCUUUAAAAAAAUGUUUAAAACCUUUGGAUACUAAAUUGUGUAAAAGGAAAGAAUUUUUUUUAAAAAAAAGAGAUGUUAAACUUGUGAUUCUUGAUGAGAAACGUAGAAUCUUAACUACAGAAGAGGAGAAAAUAGAAAAAAGAAUUAAAAAAUAGAAAAAAAUCACAAAAUAGUAGAAACAAUUCUACUAUUCCAAAAGUUACAUUAGGGGAUAUUGAGGUCAAAUAGUGUAUCUUAGUAUGAAUUAACAUUAUUAACCUCCCCUAUAAUGUAUUUUGUUUUUAAAAAAAAAGUAUAGUUUAAGUAUUUCCUAUAUGCUGAUGCUGCCCAUAUUUGUUCUAAUGAAUUUUUUCUUGAGCAAAAUUUCCGGAUCAACCUAGUAUAUAACAAGAAAAUAAUUUUCAAAAUUCUUAUUUAACUUAUUCUCUUAUUGUGGAUAGUAAAUCAUGCUACAAUCUGUGUAGUACUUAGUUAGAUCAAAUGUUGAACUUAACUAUCAAUUCUCAUCCUAAAUUUUAUAAACUUCCUUGAAUUUUUAAAGAUGAAAAUAUAAUAGUCAAGCAACAAGUCAAAUAAAAGCUUUUCAAAGGCGAGAAAAAAGUUUUGUGAUUUAGUACCAAUUGAUGCUUGUGAUAUUUUGUUAGAACAACCUUGCAUAUUUUAUCAUAAAAUCAUUUAUGAAGAUCGUACUAAUAAAAUAACUUUCACUCAUAAGAAAAAUAAGUCAUGUAUUGAGUUGCUAACUGAGAGAAAUUCUAAGAAAUAUGGCAAUCACAUAGGACAAAAAAAAUUACUUCUAAAAUCAUGAACUUUUGUCUCUAAUUUGAUAAGAAGUACAUGAAUUUUAGAAGUCAUAAUUUUCUCUAUUAUGUCUUGAAGAACCUUAUUCUUCUUGACCUUUCUGUAUAUCUUUCACUUUCUGUUUGGUGUUCAUUGUAGGUGGGUGUCUGAUCUUGGGGGAAAAACGUUAACCUCAAAUAAUAAUAAGGUUGUUAUCUUGAAACAACGAUGCACAUUUGAGAACAAAUAUUCUUAAGAGGGGGAUGGUGAAAAACCAUCAAGUCACAACAUCCACAAAAUAAGGAAGAUGAAGACCUAGAGUUUUGUUCAAUAACUUAUUUAAACGUUUGAGCCUAAUUGAAAUUUUAUCUAUCUUUUAUAGACCUAAUAAAGAGGAAAAAUCUAGGAUAAUCCGCUAGCUUCUUUCUUGUUCCUUAUUGCGGCUAAAGGUUUGGCGGGAGUGGCUAGGAUGGCAGUUGAGAAGAAUUUGAUUGAUAUCUUGGAGAUUGGAGGGAAAAAAAAGUGAAGGUAAACAUGUUGCAAUAUGCCGACGAUACCAUAUUCUUUUGCAAAAAGAAUAAUAAAAGUGUCUUCAAUAUAAAGUGGCUUUGAAUUGUUUUGAACUUUCUUUUGGCCUUGAGGUGAACUUCUUGAAGAACUGGUGGCUUGGGGGUUGAUCAGAUAACGAUCCAACGUUUUGCAGGAAUUCUCAAUUGUGAAGUGAUGGUAAUUCCUUUUGUAUACCUGGGUAUGUAGGUAGGGGGUGUCAUAAGAGACAGACGUUUUGGGUAGGGGUGGUUGACAAACUGAAGAGUAGAUUAAGCAGGUGGAAAGGUAAGUUCUUGUCAAUGGCAGGGAGGAUCUGUCUGAUUAAGUCAGUACUUUCCUCUAUUCCGUUGUUUUAUUUGUAUUUAUUCAAAAUGCUCUCUUUGGUGGCAAAUGAGAUAGUGAGAAUACAAAGGAUUUUUUUUAUGGGUCUGGGCUUCUUGGAAAAAGGUGUGCGAACUACGCAAGGCCGGUGGUCUUGGUAUCCUUGACUUAAGGGUCUUUAAUUCGGUGUUGCUCAAUAAAUGGAUUUGGCGAUUGGGAUCAGAUAAGGGUGGUUUGUGGAAGGAGAUUCUUGAAUCUAAGUACGGGGGUGGAGAGUUUUGAGAGAGGGAGGGAAAAAUAAUAAGGACUAUCUUUGGUGGAGAGAUUUGAAGGAAGUCUGGAGUUUGGAGGGCUGGGGCCAAAAUUUUGAAGAUGCUAUUAAGUGGAAGUUUGGUACAGGGAAGGAAAUUUUUUUUGGGAAGACAAUUGGGUGGGCAGUGGAGCCCUAAAGAGCAUUUCCCCGAGGUUGUUUUACUUGAGCUUGUCAAAAGCCUCUAAGGUGGUCGAGCUUGGGGUGUGGAAUAGCGGGAUAUGGGAUUGGACAUUCGCUUGGAGAAUGAGUCUUUUUGAAUGGGAAAAGCAAAUGGAGCGUCAGUUUUCCCAGGUAGUCUAAGGUGUGUGUUUUGACUUGGAAAAGGAGGAUAACUGGGUUUGGAAGGAUGGAGAGGCGUUAUCAUAUACGGUUAAAUAUGCUUAUAAUCGUUUAAGGGGGGUGGAGAAGGGGAGAAUGUCACCGUGUUUAAAUAACUUUGGAGGUGUAAAGCUAUGCCUUUUGCACUUGUUACUACAUGGAGGGUGUUGGAAAAUAAGCUAGCCACUAGGGUUAACCUGGAAAAGCGCGGGGUUGCGGUCGAAGCCCUCUGUGUAGUCUUUGUAGGAUGGAGGAGGAGUCAAAUAGCCAUUUGUUCUUCAAGUGCAGCUUUGCUUGGCUAGUGUGCAAACGUUGUUUUGCAUGGCUUGGAGUGCAAUUUGUGUCCCAUAAUGAUCCACUACUAAAUUUCUCUCAGUUUAGGUUGUGUAAUGCGUCUGCUUCGGUAAAUGAGGUAUGGGGAGUGAUAUGGACUACAAUAAGCGAGUUAAGGAAGCAUAAAAAUGGCAUAAUCUUUAAAGGAGGAGUUGUCGAUGGUUUAGAAGUGGUUGCCUUGGUUCAAGUGAAUGCUUGGUCUUUGAUUACGUCCAAGUCUCUCUCUGGAUUCUUCUCUUUUUCUGAUUGGUGUCUCGAACCUCUGGUCUGUAUGAGGAUGAUUUUUUGAUAUAUUAUUGAGUUCAGGUGCUUGUUUUUAGGGGGUUUGAUUUUUUAGUAAAUUCAGGGGUGUUUUUUUAUUCAUAGGAGUGUUUUUUUCGAUAGGAGUGAAGUGAGUCUAUUUUUUUUUGUAUAAGAGUUGGACUAUCCCUGAAGUGGUUCACAUUUAUUCAUUUUUUAUUGUCAAUAAAAAAACUCUAUUUCUCUUCAAUCUAUGAAACUGCUCUUGAGUUUUAAGGAUUCCUCAAUUCUCAUUCAUCAUCCAUCAAAAAAGAAAUCAUAAAGAAGACUACUAGAAGAAUAUUGUUUUCCAUAAAAAUAGAAUUUAAAAAAUGAUAAAAUUAAAUAAUUAAAUAAUUAAGAUUCUAAUUUAUAUGUUUUGUAUAACUUAAUUUUAAUUUUAAUUUCAAAAAUUAUAUCUACUAAACAAAAAUGGAUCUCAACGUGAUAUUUAUAAAUAAUUAAAUAAUUAUGAUUCUAAUUUAUAUAUUUAAUAUAAUUAAAAAAAUUAGAAAAUCUGAUCUUACACUUAUAAUUGUUUUUUAAUGAUGAAAUGCAUUGGAAUCACGUUUAAUAAAUCUGUUCUCUAUCAAUGAUUAAAAGAAUUUAUUAUUGUACUUGCUAAAUUUGUAAUUAUUCAAUAUAAAAUUUGGUUAAUCAGACCAUUUCAUAUGUUCUUUACUUGUACAUAUUCAAGAGAAUAUCAAUUUUAUUAGUUUUUAUUUUACAUAUAUUAUUGAUAAUUUGUUUUAAAUUAUUUUUCUAGUUUAUUUAUUUAUAAUUUUUUAUUUCAAGUAUUUUAUAAUUUCGUGACUGGCAGAAUUUGAUUUUUUUUCUGAAGAACUUUGGUAGUCAGAAAUGUUGACAAUUGACCUAUUGGAGAUAAAAUUGAAAGAGAAAAACUCAGUUAAGAAAAGAUAUAUUAGUUUAUGAAAAAGUGUACAAUUUGCUGAUAGAGAUAUCUCCAAAUUUAUAGCCAAACAUUGUAUAAAAAUUAUUGAAAUGAAUGCAAUUUCUUUUUGACAAAAGUAUUAAUCUAAAAAAAAUUAUAUUCUACACUUGAUAUGCAAUUUGUUAUCUUCUAAUUGGAUAUUAUUCUUGACCAUAUCAUUGCUCCAAUUUUCAUUCACAUAUAUCUUGAACUAUGGUUUAUUUUAUGUCACAUCACAAUGUAUGGUGUAACAUCAUUUUCCAUGGAGAAAAGCUUUUGGUUGAAUGUUCUUUGAAUCAACCAUACAAAAACAAUGUACCUUUCACCCCAAUUUUCCAAUUCACACUCCAAUGCCUUUGCCGACGCAGCUUCUUCCUUUUUCCAAAAUUUCUCAUCAAGUUUAUUCCAUUAUUAUAAUCUUAAAUUUGUACAAUGAAAGCUUCCAAAUUUGAAAAAAAACAUUACCCUGAAAUGAUGGCAGACAACAAGUCAAUAGGUCAUUAAAGGAAAAAGAAGACCAAAAGAAGUUCAAUUUAAUGCAUGGAAGAGUGUUGUAGUUUUUUUAUAUCCAUGUUUGAAGAAAUAAAUGUCUUGGUUGGUUGGUAGAUGCUAUGUAAUUACUUCUUCCAUAAGUGUGCUAUUUUAAAAUUAUUUUUUGAUUUUAUUUUCUACUCACUUCUUUUCUAUAUGUAAUUGUUGUUUAAUUCUGUUUUACUUAAACCAAAAAACAUUUAAUUCGGCUAUUUUCAAUAUAAUUUUAAUUAAGUUGUCUAUUAGUAUUUUCUCUUCAAAUAAUUUUCGUGCACAAUAAAAAUAGAAAUAUGAUUGAAUAAAAGUUGUAAUAUCUUGAAAUUUUAAAAUAAAAGAUAAAAUAAUAAUGUCUAUUUCAAAAUAUAUAAACAUAGAGAAUAUUUAACUGUUUUACAUAUUUGAGGUAAAAAUUAAAAGUGAAAAAUGAAAAGUACUAUAAAUAUUUUAGUAAUAUCAAUAAAAUUAUUUUGUUUUUAUUUUUUAUAAAGAGAAUUAAAGGAGACUUAAAAAAUAGAUGAAGAUCGUAGAAAAAUAGACUUAAUUGUUGCUAUUUGUUCAUGUGAAAAAGUAUUUCAUCCAUUCACUUUCAUAUAGGCUUUUUAAGGAAUCUAUGAACCAAUUUUAGAGUGGUUUAACUUAUAUUUAAAAAUAUAAGUUAAAGCUAAAUUAUUUAGUUAUUCAAAGUUAAAAUUUAUAAUUUUUUUAAUUUUUAUAUAAUUUUUUAAGUUUAUGAAACUUCUUUUUCUUGAAAAGGUUUGGUUAGUUAGGAGGAAUGACUUGUUAAACCUUUCUAUCAUAUUAUAAUUUGAUUUAAAGUAAGUUUCUUUUUUAUAUCUCUAAGACUAUUGUUCUUGCUGUUUGACCUGGUUGUCGGUUGACUUUGGGAACAGGUUGUAAUUCCGUCUACUUCUGCUGGAUUUUGCCCUUUUUCUGGGAUGUUGGAACACGUCUCUGUUUGAAACAGAGGGGACCUAUUGAUUGCACUCUGACGAUCAAGUCAGUACUGGGCUAAGAAAUAAUGAGUAAGUAAGCAAGUAGUUUCAGUCUUAGAAACGGUGUACCUUUACCAGGGAUCUCGAGUCCCUUUUAUAUACUACUUUUAGGUUACUUCAUUGUAACACCCCUUCUCUCACGAGAACAUUAUCUCGAGUGAAAGUAGGUUUGAUGGGGACAAUCUGUUACAAUGUCGCACAAUCUCAGUGCAACAAUCGCACAAAAUUUUCCUCCUUGGAGUGCAUAAUCUUAACAGCAUGGCCGCCAAGGUACCAACUCAUGUACCAGCAUCAUGGGGCCCAUAUGUUACUGUAGGCGCUCUAGGCUUUACGUAUCAUGCAUGCAGCUUAUCCCUGAAAAUCCUAACGCUCUUGGGCCUAGGCAUCUUUAGGGGAUAUUUACUUAUGCUAGACCCAAAUGUAUUAUACACACCACAUGAACUUUCUCGCUGAUCAGGCCUUAUAUAUACGGGUUUCAACACACGCAUUCCUGGGCCCACUUACGUGGCCAUUAACUUGUCCAGACCAUCGAGCGGACCUGCUUCACACAGGUGUCGAUGUCCGAUCACCUGAGCACUAAGCUCGACGCUCUGGUCCUAUACACAAGCCCCCCAGGCUCGAGCUGGAACUUGUUCCAGUGAAGAGGCUAACUAUUCUCCUAUGGCGACCUACGUGUCUUGUGAAUGAGGUGACGUUUCACCAUACUUCCUCACAAGCGCACACAUGGCCAUCAUCAACGGUUGGAAAGCGUUGCCGCUUGCGCUUCCCCUAUACGUUAACCUUUAGAUUUUUGCGCUUCUCUUUGAACACUCUUCUUUGAACACCCUGUUCUCUCCUCUCCAAAUAAGCCUCCUCGCCUCCUUUCAUCAAUCAUCUCAAGGUGCACUUUUUAUCUUGUGACUGAUUUUGGUAUGUCGUUUCAAUGCCUUUAAUAUGCUCAUAACUGCGUUGGGACUGUUUGUAUUUCUCCUAUCUAUGACCGUAAAUACCUCUAUUUUUCUGCUUCCUUGCUUCUUGUAAGAAUUGAUGGCUUAAACAAGAGGGGGGAUGAAUUAUUUUAUGAAAGUUUUUCGCAAAGAGUUGAUUUAGAAUGAAUCUUUAUCAAACAAUCCAGAUAAGAAAUUAAGGAAAGCAAUCAAACAAUCCAACAAAAAUAGUUAUCAGAAUUUUAACCGGUUAAACCUUCGUUUUAAUCGGUUGUUUAUACUAGCAACAAAAAUGAAAUUAUCAAACAGUUGUAGAGAGUUUGAGAGAAAGAGAGAUUUACACAAUAGGUCUAUACUGGUUCACUCAUACUUGAGCUACAUCUAGUUCUCAGAAGAACCUCUGAGUUCCACUAAUAACCAAUACCAAAUUACAACACACACAAAUAGGUAACCUUGCAACCCACAAGAUUCACUCACCCUCUUUGAAAUACCAAACACCUUAAGACAGAACAACCUUUGCCUUUACAGGAUUUCAAACACACACAACAGGUAAAAGAAGUACUAUUACAAGUAUCUAGACAAGGAUAGAAAACACAUGGAUUUGCACAAUACAUGAAACUCCUAUGAUCAGAACUUGUUACCACAACAAAGCAUGAACAACAAUCUUGCACUAUGAAAACCUCCUUUAAAAAACAAAUCUUUUUCUUUGAUCUCAAAUUUGUAUCAAUACUUGUUGUAUUUGAUUGUGUAUUUUGCUUUGAAAGAAGGGCUAUAUUUAUAGCUCUUGAAAUGUAGCCGUUUAAGGCAGAUUUAAUCAGCUGAAUCAGUUAAAACAAGUUUUCAAAAAUUUGUUAUGAAAACACACAUUUAACCGGUUGAAACCACGAUUUAACCGGUUGAAACCACGAUUUAAUCGGUUGAAACCACGAUUUAACCGGUUGAAUGAGUUAAGCAGUUUCAUAACUAAUUCAAAAAGCAGUUUCAAAAACCUCAAGCUAGCUAAGUGACAAACAACUGAUUAUCUCGAUGAUUCAACUGAUGGUUUUCCCUUUGCUUGGAAAAACAUUUUGUUUCUUUUAUAACUGAUUGGUCAAGCUUGUGCAAGGAUUAAGAUUUGAACUUUUACAAAGAUUCUAAACAAUCUAAUCUAAACCCAAACCAAAAGUAGCACAACUUUAGGCUUCAUGUGGAUUUGACACAUCAAAGCUCCCAUGUUCAACACUUCUUUCUUCAAAACACAUGCACUUCUUCCUCUGGGUAUUGCAUUUGUUUUCUUUCUUUGUUUUAGAUUCCCUGUAAGAUGGAUUACAAAACCCUAUACCCCUGGGCUCCUAGUAACCUUUUAGAGAAAACCUCUGAGUUCACCACUCAUGUGAAAAUAGUAUUGUAUAGGAAGAGCGAGCACCCUAAAAAGAAUUUUCUUUUUGGCAAAGAGCACGACAAGUUUGUAAGGUUGUGCCUUGUAGGGUAGAUGAACCUAUUUGCUGUGAUGAGUCAUCGGACCCAGAGGGCCCAUUCUGCUUCAUCUACUCUACUGUUUUCAAAAAUAUUCUUCUUCGCCUUCCCUUUAACAAUUUUAAAAGAGCCCUUCUCACCGAAAUCAACAUCGCCCUAGUCCAGCUACACCCAAAUAGUUGGGCGUUUGUUCGGGGAUUUUCCAUCUUGUGCCACCACUUUGGCCAUCUGCCAUCAGUGGAUGUGUUCCUAUACUUCUUUGAAGCCAAGCGACCAAGUCAGAAGUUGUGGGUGAGUUUCAACAGGGUUGCUGGGAGAGUUUUGUUUGUUGGGUUUAAUAGUGUCAAAGUUCAAGAGGGGGGAUGAAUUGACCUUUUAAAAGCUUCUCGCAAAAACAGUAUUUAACACAGUUUACAGAAAAUAAAUCGAUUUAUAUGGAAAUGAGCAGAUUUAUUUUAGCACUGUUUGUGUGUUUGAAAAGAGUUUAUGCAGCAAGGUUAAUCACAAGAUCUGCAGAUAUAUUUUUCAGAUGCUCACACACUGAUAUUAGAACGAAAAACAGUGAAUCACCAAAACAACAACCUUCAAUUUCAAGCAAGUGAUUAAGGUUCACUUAAUGGCUUGACAGUUUAUUGAGUGAUCUAUUACAAUCAACCUGUUCUAAUGGCUUUUAACAGAUUAUAAGUGUUCUUAUUGAAAUCAACCAGUUUUCCAGAAAUUAAGAACAAUAUGAACCGUGUCCAGACAGAACAGAUUUAUUUUUAAUUGAACCGAUUUAUUUCUUUGCUGUUUUAUCAAUUAUGCAAAAACUUAAUUGCAGAGAUUGAGAGAGAAUGAACACAAGGCAGUUAUACUGGUUCACUCAACUGAGCUACAUCCAGUCUUCACCCAAACCAAGGUGAAAUUCACUAAAUCACAAUACAAACAAACACAAUUCCUACUGUUCUUGAAACCUACAAGAACUUAGGUACUCUUGCUGAAAAAACCUAUUUCAGCUCACACACACUCUUCAAGAAAACCUAUCAAGAAGAGUGUUCAACCAAACUAUUACAGGAAAUGAAAAGUGAAACGACUACACCUGAUUGANNNNNNNNNNNNNNNNNNNNNNNNNNNNNNNNNNNNNNNNNNNNNNNNNNNNNNNNNNNNNNNNNNNNNNNNNNNNNNNNNNNNNNNNNNNNNNNNNNNNAGGCAAGAUUGCUAGAACAGUAGCAACACCUCACACCAAGCUUUUGGAACCAAACCAAGAACAAGCACUUUGUGAUUUUCGAAAUCUUUGAAGAACAAAUGCUAAUUCUUUGUAAACUUUUAAUUCUCUGCUGUAAAACUUGUUUUUACAAAUGUAUGAACGAUGAUUAAACUCAGAAACAAGUUUUCAUUUUAUAGAAAACUAACUUAUAACAGAAUUUUGAAAAACAGUUAAAGCUGUUAUAAAAUGAACAGAUUUAUUUUCAAAAGCAGUUAGAAAAUUUGUUAAGUGAGGAGACUUAGUCAACCAUUCUGGUGCAGAGAUAAAACUGAAAAACGUUUAAGCUAGAUAUGGCACCAGAGACAAAAUGAACCUAUUCAUUUACAGAUGAACAGAUUUAUUUUUCAAAACGAAAACAGAAAAGCNNNNNNNNNNNNNNNNNNNNNNNNNNNNNNNNNNNNNNNNNNNNNNNNNNNNNNNNNNNNNNNNNNNNNNNNNNNNNNNNNNNNNNNNNNNNNNNNNNNNNNNNNNNNNNNNNNNNNNNNNNNNNNNNNNNNNNNNNNNNNNNNNNNNNNNNNNNNNNNNNNNNNNNNNNNNNNNNNNNNNNNNNNNNNNNNNNNNNNNNNNNNNNNNNACAUGGCCAGUGGUUAUGAGGUGAGUUACUCAGCAAAAAGCCCACUCUUAAACAACCUCUAAGCACUACCUAAGACACACUUAAAGCAAAGCAAAAAUACACAUGAAAUGUACAUAAAAGUCUUCAUCAAACACAAUCUUGAAGGGGCAGCAACCAUCUUCAACAAUCUCCCCCUGUUUGAUGGAGACAAAUCCCCAUAGCUCUUGUUGCUUUAAGAACCUGCACUGCACCACAGAUUAAACCAGAAAAACAGAACAUUGCAUAACAUGUAAAAUGGUUUAAAGGUGCAGAAUUUAACUCCCUGUUUUAGCUAGCUUCACCUAGCAUGGUGAGCUAUUUUUCUCCCCCUUUGGAUUCAUCAAACAGCAUGUAAUCCUAGAGAAAAAAACCAGAAGCAUAACCAUAAUAGUCCAAAAGAUAAAGACAAAUUGUUCAUCAUUACAAACUUUUAAACUAAUAAAGAAAGCAUGAAAAACAGAAGACUACUGAUCCUUGUUGUAAAGCUCUGCAAGUUGUGCCUGAACCCUUCAAUCUGAUCAUCAAGGUGUUGAAACCUUGCUUGAGUAGUUUCAAAGUAUGCCCUUUAUUCUGUAGUCAUUACAUCAAGGCGAUACAACACUUGCCUUUCAAACAUAGACAUUGGUUCUCCUCGGUAUUUUGGAGAUUGAUAGGCAACUAUGGCAUUUGCAGCAACUCCCUCAUGCACAGAUUGGGUGGCAGGUGAGUCAUCCUCCAUGGGAAUAGCUUCAUCCUCAUCCUCAUUGUGGAGGUUUGAUGCUUCAUGUUCUGCUUGAGGGUCCUUUCCUUUAAGAACCACCCACUUGUCCUCAAUUUUGUGAAAUCCCAUUUUGGUGAGAGUUGAAUUAUCAAUCUCACUUACAGCUUUGAUAGGGUCGUUUCUCUCAUUUGUAACAUCAACACCAAAGUAAUCAAUCAAUUUGGAAACAAGAAUAGCAUAGGGAAAGCGGUAAUCAGCCAACCUUUUUUAUUUGAGCAUGUGUUCAUUGAUAAUGAAAACCCAAUUUACCUUAAUCUGGUUCAUGAUGCAAUAUAGAAGAAUUAGAUCCUCUUCAUGUAAAACUGCAUGGUUUGUACCUCUUGGGAUAAGUUGCCAUGCUAUGAUGUAGGCAACAAGGCGUGGAGUGAGGUUCAAAUGCCCUGCACGGAACCUGCUUAUACUCUCUGUAGAAUUCCUCAUGCAGCUUUUAUAGUAUUGCAGCUUGUUGAAUUCUNNNNNNNNNNNNNNNNNNNNNNNNNNNNNNNNNNNNNNNNNNNNNNNNNNNNNNNNNNNNNNNNNNNNNNNNNNNNNNNNNNNNNNNNNNNNNNNNNNNNNNNNNNNNNNNNNNNNNNNNNNNNNNNNNNNNNNNNNNNNNNNNNNNNNNNNNNNNNNNNNNNNNNNNNNNNNNNNNNNNNNNNNNNNNNNNNNNNNNNNNNNNNNNNNNNNNNNNNNNNNNNNNNNNNNNNNNNNNNNNNNNNNNNNNNNNNNNNNNNNNNNNNNNNNNNNNNNNNNNNNNNNNNNNNNNNNNNNNNNNNNNNNNNNNNNNNNNNNNNNNNNNNNNNNNNNNNNNNNNNNNNNNNNNNNNNNNNNNNNNNNNNNNNNNNNNNNNNNNNNNNNNNNNNNNNNNNNNNNNNNNNNNNNNNNNNNNNNNNNNNNNNNNNNNNNNNNNNNNNNNNNNNNNNNNNNNNNNNNNNNNNNNNNNNNNNNNNNNNNNNNNNNNNNNNNNNNNNNNNNNNNNNNNNNNNNNNNNNNNNNNNNNNNNNNNNNNNNNNNNNNNNNNNNNNNNNNNNNNNNNNNNNNNNNNNNNNNNNNNNNNNNNNNNNNNNNNNNNNNNNNNNNNNNNNNNNNNNNNNNNNNNNNNNNNNNNNNNNNNNNNNNNNNNNNNNNNNNNNNNNNNNNNNNNNNNNNNNNNNNNNNNNNNNNNNNNNNNNNNNNNNNNNNNNNNNNNNNNNNNNNNNNNNNNNNNNNNNNNNNNNNNNNNNNNNNNNNNNNNNNNNNNNNNNNNNNNNNNNNNNNNNNNNNNNNNNNNNNNNNNNNNNNNNNNNNNNNNNNNNNNNNNNNNNNNNNNNNNNNNNNNNNNNNNNNNNNNNNNNNNNNNNNNNNNNNNNNNNNNNNNNNNNNNNNNNNNNNNNNNNNNNNNNNNNNNNNNNNNNNNNNNNNNNNNNNNNNNNNNNNNNNNNNNNNNNNNNNNNNNNNNNNNNNNNNNNNNNNNNNNNNNNNNNNNNNNNNNNNNNNNNNNNNNNNNNNNNNNNNNNNNNNNNNNNNNNNNNNNNNNNNNNNNNNNNNNNNNNNNAGCAGAGGUAUAUGGUUAAGUAAGAUACCAAAAUCAUUCAAUUGAUGUCUUAGCCAUAUAGUUUGAACCAUCAACUCCCUGCUGCAAUGUAUUCUGCUUCAGCAGUGGAGAGAGCUACACAAGCCUGCUUUUUGCAUUGCCAUGAGAUCAAGGUUGAUCCAAGCAAAUGACAGGUUCCACUUGUGCUCUUCCUAUCAAUAUUGCACCCUGCAAAAUAUGAAUCAGAAUAUCCAGUUAAACUUAAUGAAAUAUUACCUGGAUACCACAAGCCAACUUCUUUAGUUCCUUGCAAAUACUUCAAAAUCCUUUUGGCAGCAUUGUAGUGUGAUUCUUUAGGAGCAGAUUGAAACCUUGCACACAUGCACACUGCAAACAUUAUGUCUGGCCUGCUGGCAGUGAGAUACAGUAGUGAUCCUAUGAGUCCUCUGUAUUUGGUUUCAUCAACAGAAAUUCCAGCUUCAUCAUGAUCCAAAUGACAGCUUGUUGAGAAGGGUGUGCUGAUUGGUUUACACUUGUCCAUUUCAAAUUUCUUCAGCAGAUCCUUGCAAUAGUUAGCUUGACUUAAGAAAAUGCCAUCCUUGAGUUGUUUGACCUGCAAGCCUAGAAAAUAGUUCAACUCACCCAUCAUUGACAUUUCAAACUCACUCUUCAUGACUUUCAUGAAAGCUUCACACAAUUCUCCAUUGUUUGAUCCAAAAAUGAUGUCAUCCACAUAUACUUGUACUAGAAUUGUGUCAUCUCCUUUCUUCUUGAUGAACAAGGUCUUAUCUGAUGUGCCUCUGUCAUAACCUUGAGAGAUGAGAAAAUCACUUAGCCUCUCAUACCAUUGCCUAGGAGCUUGCUUGAGUCCAUAGAGAGCCUUUUUGAGUUUGAACACAUAUUCUGGAUGUUGAUGGUCUUCAAAACCUGGUGGUUGUGAAACAAAUACCUCUUCAUUUAUAUAACCAUUUAGAAAGGCACUCUUCACAUCCAUUUGAAACAGCUUGAACCCUUUGAUGCAGGAGAAGGCAAGCAGCAAUCUAACAGCUUCUAACCGAGCCACUGGUGCAUACGUCUCAUCAUAGUCUAUCCCUUCUUCUUGAUUGUACCCUUUAGCUACUAGCCUAGCCUUGUUUCUGGUGAUCACUCCAUGCUCAUCCAUCUUGUUUCUAAAUACCCAUUUUGUCCCAAUUAUAUUCAUCUCAGGUAUUCUAGGAACAAGAGUCCAGACCUCAUUAAGAGCAAAUUGAUUCAGUUCCUCUUGCAUGGCUAAAAUCCAGUUGCUGUCCUUGAGAGCUUCAUUCAGAUUCUUGGGUUCAGCUUGAGAUACAAAGGCCAUUGCUUCACAGAAAUUGUUCAAGAAUUUUCUAGUUGAUACUCCUUUCUCAAUGUUCCCAAUGACAUUAUCAAGGGUUAAGUCUCUUGGGGUUUUCCACUCUUUUGGCAAACCUGCAGCUGCAGUAGAUUCUUGUAUAGCAUGUGUAUCAGCAGUAUCAAAAUGAAUCGAUUCAUUUUGAUUUAAAACAGAUUUAAAUUCAUUACAGUCAAGAUCAUCAGUAGCAGUUUUAGAUAUGCUAUGAUCAGUUUCAUCAAAAACAACAUGCAUUGAUUCUUCUACUAUAAGCAACCUUUUAUUGAAGACUCUAUAUGCAUGACCAUUCAAAGCAUAACCAAUGUGCACACCUUCAUCAGAUUUAGCAUCAAACUUACCAAGAUUUUCUUUGCCAUUAUUCAAUACAAAGCAUUUACACCCAAAUACCCUAAGGUGGCUCACACUAGGUUUUCUGCCCUUAUACAAUUCAUAUGGGUUUUCUUAAGAAUAGGUCUUAUUAGGGUUCUAUUUAACACAUAAGCUGCAGUAUAAACUGCAUCAGCCCAAAAAUACUUAGGAAGCUUAGAUUCAUUUAACAUAGUUCUAGCUAGUUCCUCUAUUGAUCUAUUUUUCCUUUCAACUACACCAUUUUGUUGGGGUGUCCUAGGGGCUGAAAAGGUAUGUGCUAUCCCAUGCUUCUCACAGAACCUCUCAAAUCUAGCAUUCUGAAACUCUCCCCCAUGAUCACUUCAAAUUGAUUUUAUGCAGCAACCAUUUUCAUUUUGCAGAAUCUUUGCUAAUUUCUUAAAGGCAGUGUAAACAUCAUGUUUAUAGUCCAUGUAAAUCUAGAGUAGUCAUCCACAACAACUAAAGCAUACAGAUUUCCAGCCAAGCUAGCAACUCUAGAUGGACCAAAUAAGUCCAUAUGUAACACAUCCAAUGGAUUUUUUGUAGAAACAAUAUCCUUUAACUUGAAAGAGGAUUUGAUUUGUUUACCUUUCACACAAGCAUCACAAAGCCUGUUGUCCUGAAAUUUAAUGUUAGGUAAACCAGAAACUAAAUCUUUAGAUUUCAAUUUAUUCAAGUGAUUUGUGUGUACGUGAGCUAACCUCCUGUGCCACAGCAAAGACUCAUCACUUCUGGACAGCAAAUACUCAUUUGAAGGGUUAGUUUCCAUGAUAUUCAGCAGAUAUAUGUUAUUCACUCUCUUACCAGUAAAUAGUACCUUACUAGAUGAAUUACUUGAGAUUGUGCAGCCUUUUGACUCAAAGUUCACCUUGUAUCCUUUGUCACAAAGCUGACUUAUGCUGAGAAGACUAUGCUUGAGUCCUUCUACAUACAGCACAUUCUCAAUGGUUGUUGAGUUCCCUGUUCCAACAGUGCCUCUGCCCAAAAUCUUCCCUCGGUUAUUAUCACCAUAGGUUACAUGUCCUUCUGCUUUGAGCUUCAAGCUAGUAAAUUUUGUAAGAUCUCCAGUCAUAUGCUUGGAGCAACCACUAUCCAAGUACCAUUGAUUCUUCUUAUUGUUCAUAUGCUAAACAAAGUAAAAAUGAUACAAAUGGUACCCUUUUCAGUAUAGGGUCUAGCACAGAUUAAAACCUUCUCUUUGGUAGCCAUUUUGCUAAGUUCUUAGGAACAAGAUGCUUUCUAGCAAUGCAAGACCUAGAGGUAUAACCAGAUUUCAUGCAGUAAAAACAGGUUACAUGAGAUGCCUUUUUGCCACUGUUAAAAGCUGAAAAAACUGAUUUUGCUAGAACAAAAAAACUUGAAAGCUUUUUGACAUUGGUUACAUUUCCAGGGGUAUAACCAAGACCAUUCUUAUUGAAAACAACAUUCUGUGAGCCAAGAAGAGACUCAAGGUUUUCUCUUCCCUUGGUGAAAUUGGAAAGGGUUUUCAGCAAAUACUCCACUUGUUUUUCUAAUUUUUUGCAGUUUUCACAGGNNNNNNNNNNNNNNNNNNNNNNNNNNNNNNNNNNNNNNNNNNNNNNNNNNNNNNNNNNNNNNNNNNNNNNNNNNNNNNNNNNNNNNNNNNNNNNNNNNNNUUAAUUGAGGCAUGCAAGCAUGUUAGUUCAAGGCUUACCAAAUCUGUUUUGGCUUUAUGCAAUUCUUCCUCAAGUGUUUUUACUUUAGGUGCAAGCACAUUAUUUACCUUUUGCAGCUUAUUGCAUAUUACAGCUAGCCUAUUUGCUUCAUCAUGUGUUUCCUUGAAAGCAGCAAGCAAAUGAUCAUAGUUAUCAGAAUCCACAGAGAAAUCACUUACUGAAUCAGAGAUUGACUCCUCAUCCUUCAUCAUGAAGCACAGAUUGUUUUCCUCAUUCUCAGUUGAAGAGCUGCUGGUUGAAGAUACUUCAUUUUCUUCCCAUGAGAUGUAGGCUCUUCUUCCCUUGUUCCUUUCAAUUCUCUUGCUGGCAGAUUUUUCCUUUGCUUGAUUAUCUGGACAAUCUGUUUUGAUGUGCCCUGUUUUGCCACAGCCAAAGCAAGUAUAUUUAGAGGAAUUUGAAUCAUUGGGUUUAGGAUACCUUAUUUUCUGUUGGUUCCUAUCUCUGNNNNNNNNNNNNNNNNNNNNNNNNNNNNNNNNNNNNNNNNNNNNNNNNNNNNNNNNNNNNNNNNNNNNNNNNNNNNNNNNNNNNNNNNNNNNNNNNNNNNUGAUCUCACUCUGUUCAGUUGCUUUCAGUGCAAGACCUUUGGGUUUUCUCUCUGUUGUUUCCUGUUCUUUGAGUCUCUUGAGCUCUAGCUCAUGCUCCAUUAGCUUUCCAAAAAGUGCAGCAGUUCCCAGUUUUGACAAAUCACGACUUUCAGAUAUGGCAGUCACCUUUGGUUGCCAGCUUCUGUCGAGGCACUUCAAUAUCUUUAUGUUGAGUUCCUCUCUGUCAAAUUCUUUUCCCAAACCAUUGAGGUGAUUCACAAUAUGGGUGAACCUUUUCUGCACAUCAGCAAUGCUCUCCUCGGGUUGCAUUCUAAACAGUUCAUAUUCUUGGAUGAGAGAAUGUUUUCUUGACCUCUUCACAUCUUCAGUACCCUCAUGAGUGACUUCUAAGACUUCCCACAUCUCCUUAGCUGACUUACAUUGGGAUAUCCUGAAGAACUCAUCCAUUGUCAAUGCAGAGGUUAUGAUGUUCUUGGCCACAAGAUCAUGUUGAGCCUUCCUCCUUUCGAUCUCAUUCCAUUCAGAUCUUGGCUUUACCACUUCUUCAUCCUUGACAACCUGCAUUGGCACAUAAGCUCCAUGGACCACAACUUCCCAAAUUAAUGCAUCAAUAGAUUCCAUGAAAAUUCUCAUUCUAACUUUCCAAAAUGCAUAAUUCAUUCCAUUGAACAUAGGUCGUCUAUUAACAGCAGAUCCUUCAGCAAAAAGCACAUUAAACUCAUACAUUAUUACAAAAAAACUUGAUUAAAAUACAAGUCUUAGCUCUUGAUACCAAUUGUUGGGUUUAAUAGUGUCAAAGUUCAAGAAGGGGGGUGAAUUGACCUUUUAAAAGCUUCUCGCAAAAACAAUAUUUAACACAGUUUACAGAAAAUAAAUCGAUUUAUAUGGAAAUGAACAGAUUUAUUUUAGCACUGUUUGUGUGUUUGAAAAGAGUUUAUGCAGCAAGGUUAAUCACAAGAUCUGCAGAUAUAUUUUCCAGAUGCUCACACACUGAUAUUAGAACGAAAAACAGUGAAUCACCAAAACAACAACCUUCAAUUUCAAGCAAGUGUUUAAGGUUCACUUAAUGGCUUGACAGUUUAUUGAGUGAUUUAUUACAAUCAACCUGUUCUAAUGGCUUUUAACAGAUUAUAAGUGUUCUUAUUGAAAUCAACCAGUUUUCCAGAAAUUAAGAACAAUAUGAACCGUGCCCAGACAGAACAGAUUUAUUUUCAAUUGAACAGAUUUAUUUCUUUGCUGUUUUAUCAAUUAUGCAGAAACGAAAUUGCAGAGAGUGAGAGAGAAUGAACACAAGCAAUUAUACUGGUUCACUCAACUGAGCUACAUCCAGUCUUCACCAACAACAGGUGGAAAUCACUAACACACAGUACAAACAAACACAAUUCCCACUGUUCUUGAAACCUACAAGAACUUAGGUACUCUUGCUGAAAAAACCUAUUUCAGCUCACACACACUCUUCAAGAAAACCUAUCAAGAAGAGUGUUCAACCAAACUAUUACAGGAAAUGAAAAGUGAAACGACUACACCUGAUUGAGGAUACAAAGAUCUGCCUUAAACCGGUAGGCAAGAUUGCUAGAACAGUAGCAGCACCUCACACCAAGCUUUUGGAACCAAACCAAGAACAAGCACUUUGUGAUUUUUCGAAAUCUUUGAAGAACAAAUGCUAAUUCUUUGUAAACUUUUAAUUCUCUGCUGUAAAACUUGUUUUUACAAAUGUAUGAACGAUGAUUAAACUCAGAAACAAGUUUUCAUUUUAUAGAAAACCAACUUAUAACAGAAUUUUGAAAAACAGUUAAAGCUGUUAUAAAAUGAACAGAUUGAAAAUAAAAUGAACAGAUUUAUUUUCAAAAACAGUUAGAAAAUUUGUUAAGUGAGGAGACUUAGUCAACCAUGCUGGUGCAGAGAUAAAACUGAAAAACGUUUAAGCUAGAUAUGGCACCAGAGACAAAAUGAAUCUAUUCAUUUUACAGAUGAACAGAUUUAUUUUUCAAAACGAAAACAGAAAAGCUUAACUAUUUAACCACAGUCGUUUUGAAAGGUAGAAAACUUAGUCAAAAUACAUGAUGCACAAAAUCUAAUUUUCACAAGACUUAGGCAAGGCAUCAGUUUAAAAAUGAAUCUGUUUAUUUAGAAAAGAACAGAUUUAUUUUUAUGCAGUAAACCUGUUUUUUGUAAAACAUGUGAAAAAUAGUUUAAGAAACCUUAUGCUUGUUCUUAUCACAUGGCCAGUGGUUAUGAGGUGAGUUACUCAGCAAAAAGUCCACUCUUAAACAACCUCUAAGCACUACCUAAGACACACUUAAAGCAAAGCAAAAAUACACAUGAAAUGUACAUAAAAGUCUUCAUGAAACACAAUCUUGAAGGGGCAACAACCAUCUUCAACAUUGUUGACCCUCUUCCAGCAAUCAUACAAAGGCUUCAAGGGUAUAUUUUUCAAAAUCCGCUGCAAUGAUAAUGAUCCAAGUCUUCUGGACAGGUUCCCUCUGUACUGGACUAAGGAACCCAAAUUCCAAAAACCCAGAUACCUUGAAGACCUACCCCAACGAGAACGAGAGGUGUGUCUCUUCCUCUCCAACCCUAAGGUAGUGUUUAGCACUGCCGAAUUGAUAAAGAACGAGUACAGCCCUACAGGCUUUAAGGCAUACAUUGGUAUCCCCCUUCCCUUUACUCCUGCUAGCAAUGCCUUGCAUGUGUGUGUUUUCUGAACUCUUCUUUGUUUUCAUUCUCAUGCAGACAGUAUGUUGGACGCUCAAAAAAGAAAGAACUUAACUGCACUAGCCAAACAAAAGAAGACCACCCAAGCCCUUUCUGCCAAGGAUCAAAAAUUGAAGGCAGUGGCUGAAGUCGCCCCUUCUGAGGAUGAAGAAACUUGUUCUUGACUCCUCUUCAAGAGGAAGUGAACAGAUGUUGCUGCAAUUUCUGUCCACUCUGCCUCAAACGACUGAGCUCCCUUCUACCGGGACUUUCCACCCAGCCCUUCCCCUCCUCGUGACAUUGCGAUGUGGAAGGGUAGAGGAGAAAGUGCCUCAAAGGGAGAUCAGUGGGACCCCUUCCCAGACCCAACUUCCUUCCUUCACAAAAUGUUGCUCUCCUAAAAAAUUAAAGGAAGAUUGAAAAACAUGGAGGAGGGUCCACUGAUGGAGCACGCCACAAGGCAACUGGGGGAAACCCUAGUUGCGAACUAUCUUCUCCUUUCCAAGCCGUGGAAAGCAAAGGAGCUGGCCAAAGAAGAAGCCGUCCAAGCUGUAGAGCUCAAACGACAAGUCUUCAAACUCACACUGGAGGUGGAGGAGCUCUGAAAAGUUAACCAAGAGACCAAUGCCCUCCUGUUUGGGAAGUCCCAAGAGGCCUUGGGGCUAUAUGCAAGAAACAAUGAUCUCCGCACUGAGGUGGAGAAGCUGAAGGGAGAGCUGGCUGAGAGGGACGAUGAGGUGGCCAGGCAAAAGAAGGAGAUGGCGCAGAAGGAUGAGCUCCUAUAGAAAACCAAAGAAGAGCUGAUGAGCAAUGCCCCUGACUCCUAGGGGGCAGACUUUGAGGAUGUUGUUGCCCAGGUCACCUGCGUCCACCCUGAGCUGGACCUCUCCCAAAUAGGAUUAGGUAAAGUUAUCGUAGAUGGGCAACUGGUAGAUGAGGAAUAGCCGUGGGGGACUCCCCCUCUAUUGCCUUCCUUUUGUAAUCUAAUGAACAGUUGACAAUUCUGAUAUAUGUAUAUGUGUGUUUUCUUUUCCUGACUUCGACUAACUUAGUAACAAUGCAUGUCUUGAAUGAACACAACUUUCAUAACUUUAAUAACUAACUGAACGCCAAUGAUGGUCCAUACUUAAGUAGCGUGGUCUUCACAAUUAACAAUGGUAGACUUAUGCUUCGGGGUACCUGAGCUCAGAGCCUCCCUGGUCAACAGGUCCUCUUGCACAAAUUGCUUUGCUUUAUUUGUACAUUCUCCCUAAAGGUUGAUUUCACUGUGGUUCACUAUGAACCUUACUACUCCCACUCUUGGAAUCUUACCAAGGAGAGACUUCGCUGAGGUUCACUAUGAACCUUACUGCUCCCACUCUUGGAAUCUUACCAAGGGGAGACUUCGCUAAGGUUCACUAAGAACCUUACUACUCCCACUCUUGGAAUCUUACCAAGUGCAGACUUCACUGAGGUUCACUAUGAACCUUACUGCUCCCACUCUUGGAAUCUUACCAAGGGGAGACUUCGCUGAGGUUCACUAUGAACCUUACUACUCCCACUCUUGGAAUCUUACCAAGGGGAGACUUCGCUGAGGUUCGCUAUGAACCUUACUGCUCCCACUCUUGGAAUCUUACCAAGGGUAUAUUUCAAUGAGGUUCGCUAUGAACCUUACUGUUUCCACUCUUGGAAUCUUACCAAGGGGACAUUUCACUAUUAACACGAGAUACUGUAAGCAUAGUUUUCAAAUAACUUUUUCUUGGGCGACCUCAUUAAAAAACCCUGAUAAGGGAAAAAGAGUGUCCCCUUAAACGUUUGUAUUGCAUACAAUAGCAUAAUUAAUUGAAAUAAAAUUUAAGAUUGGCCCCAUUCCAUGUUCGGGGAAUAAUCUCGCCAUCCAAGGUCUCGAGUCUAUACGCUCCGUUCCCGAGCACCUCUAUCACGCGGAAUGGGCCAGUCCACUUAGGGCAUAACUUGUUCUCCAAUUGAUAGGGAUGAGCCUUUCGCAUUACCAAGUCGACGACCUGGAACUGCUGAGAUUUCAGCUUGGACUUCUGCUUAUAUUCCACCUUCUCUUUAAGGCUUCGGCCUUGAUGUGUGCUUCCUCUCUGACCUUGUCGAGAAGAUCUAAGUUUACCCUCAUUUCCUCAUUAGACUCCUUGGCCACGAAGUUCUGGAAUCGUAGUGAACUUUUCUGGAUCUCGAUGGGGAUCAUGGCAUCCGACCCAUACAACAGGCUAAAAGGGGUCUCCUUGGUGGUGGAUUGGGGAGUGGUGUGGUAGGCCCACAUAAUUCUAGAAACUUCAUCUGCCCAAAUUACCUUGGCUUUUUUCAGUCUCCUCUUUAGGCCUCUGAGCAGGACUCGGUUAGCAGAUUCGACUUGCCCAUUCGUCUAGGAGUGUUCUACCGAGGCGAACACCUGCUUGAUGUUGAGCUCUGUGCAUAGUUUUCCUAGCUAAUGACUUGCAAAUUGGGUGCCAUUGUCAGACACUAAACGCUUUGGGAUUCCAAAACGGAAAACUAUGUUCUUCCACACAAAGUGUUGAACCUUGUGGGCUGUGAUAUGUGCGACAGGCUCAACUUCUAUCCACUUGGUGAAGUACUCGAUGGCUAUCACCAGGUACUUCAUCUGGCAAACUGCUAAAGGAAACGGACCCAGGAUGUCAAUCCCCCAUGUGUGGAAAGGCCAUGGGCUAUGGAUCGAUCGCAACUCCUCUGGGGCGCAUGAUGUUAGUCGGCGUGCUGUUGGCACUGUUUGCACCGCUGUGCGUACCUCGUGCAGUGCUCCCUCAUGUUCGGCCAGUAAUACCCUGCUCGAACAACCUUUGAUGAGAGAGCUUGUCCAUCGAUGUGACUCCCACAAAUACCUUCAUGGAGCUCAUAUUCAGCUUGGUUGUUGCUAGCUUUGAAAGCAAAACGUAGGGCCUGCUCGAUCAGGAACCCGUUUGGUCCCUCUAAGAUGAUACCAGCCCCACUACCUUGCUGGUUAGAGGACCCGUCCACAGACCUGGAAAUGUCCACUUUCUUGGUGUGUGGCUGCCGAGGAGAGUUCUACCAGGAAGUCAGCAUAAACUUGACCCUUGAUAGUGUUAGAAUAUAUGGCUUAAACGAGAGCGGGGGGGUGAAUUGUUUAAGAGAGGUUUUUGAAAACUUUUCAAUGUUUAACAAAUUCUUUGUGUGAACCCAGAACAGAAAUCAAGUUAGCCAAGAAUAUACGCACUAAAAACAGCAAAGCAACAGAAAAACAAUCAGUUGUUUCUUCGAAACAAUUGGUUGUUUAUACCAGAAAAGCUUAAAACAGAAUUUAAAUGAGUAUAGGGUAAGAGAGAGAUACACCAACAAUUUAUGCUGGUUUACUCUUAAGCCAAGAGCUACAUCCAGUCCCCAAAAAACCACUGGGUAACAACUAAGUAAUCAAACCAGAUUACAACACACAAACCACCAAAGUAGUGACCUUGAACCCUUCAAGAAACACACUCCCUUUGGCAAAAUACACCAAGAGUAUUGAUCUUGACCACCUCAAGAGCACACAACACUCCUUGGCAACACAACACCAAAAAUACAGUAGGUUGAGAAGGGAUUACACUUGUUUACAGUACAAACUGAAAUCAAUACAAUUGCAAUCCUAUUCCGUUCUCUUUGAAAACCCAAAGCUUGAUGUGAAUGUUCAAAUCUUGAAAUCAACUUUGUCACAACUGAAAAAAUCAAAUUUGUUUCUCUUUCUUGUUUGAAAACAUAAACAAACCAUUUAUAUUUUCCAAAGAUUAGUCAAAGCAAUUAAUGAAGGAGCAUAUUCAGUUGGAAAUCAUUUAAACCACAUUCAACAACCAAAACAAAAUUCUGUUAGGAUUUUCAAAGAGACAAUCGGUUGAAACCACGAAACAACCGAUUGUUUGGUUUGGCAGUUAAGUCAACCAAACUAAAACAAUUUUCAACCUUUUCAAAAACUCCUAAGAGUAAAACAACCGGUUGAUUCGACAAAACAACAUGUUGUUUUUCACUUAGUUGGAAAAACACUUUAUUUUCUAAAAGAUUUUAAUUCACAUCAGUUUUAGAUUCAACAAAGGAGUGGAUCACAUUCUAUUCUACCCAGAUCCCUCCCCAAACACAGCAGCAACACAAGCCUUGCAUCAAACACAUAGGAUUUGGAUUCUUCAAAGCACUUGAUCAUUCUUGAUCAACAAUCUUCUCCUAUUUGAUGAAGACAAAUACCUGGUCGCUUGUGUUGAUCUUGAUUGAAUAUGAAAUUGUACCUGCAAAACAAAAAUUAUGCAAUCCAGAGCAUCUCUCAUAGUAGGUUAUGAUCAUACAUCAACUAGUUUUUCUGCAUAAACACAAGUGUAGGAAAACCAGCCAAAAACAAAGCAAAAACAGUUUCAUACAAACCAAUUAUGUAGCAGAAAUUAAAAGCAGAAUAGUAGCAGAGUUAUAACAGUUUGUAAGACAACACAAACACCAUAUUCUCCCCCUAUUUGUCUUCACAAAUAGACUUUAGGAGGAGAUUAAACAGAAUAGUUCAACAUAAAGCAAUACAAAGAUAGAAAGAACAACAAAGCCUUGACAUUCAAGCUUAAACAAUCGGUUGUUUCGAGAAAUCAACCGGUUGUUUUGCUUCAGUCUUCUUUUCCAUACUGCAACUCGAAAAUCUAAUUCUGAACAACUUCAAUAUGUUCAUCAAGCAUUUGAAACCAUGUAUCCAUGCUUUGAAAUCUAUUGUCAAAGUUAUGAAAGUUUGAAACAAAAAGAUCAUGAAGAUUUCUUUGAUUUUCCGCAAAGCCAUCUAGCCUAUUCACCAUGUAGCUCUCAAAGGAAGACAUUGAAGGAGUCCUAUCUCCUUGAUGUCCAACACUUGUCCCAGCACCAUAAUUAGUAACAGGUUGUUCUGUAUCUGGAAAAUCCAUAUCAGCACCUUCAACAUCUUCUUGAUCUUCUUCACCAUGUUCAGCAUGAAAGCGACUUGAGGAACCACCUUGUCCACCAUCCUUACUCACCCAUUUUCCAUUGAUCUUGGUAAAACCCAUUUUGCUUAAUGAUCCAUUGUUCACUUCAAAUGUUGACUUCACCUACUCAGAUGUUUAAACCUCAAGAUUCACUUCAAAAUAAUGUAAGAAUUUAGAAAUCAAGAUAGCAUAAGGGUAAUGAUAAUCACUUAACCUCAUAGACUUUUGCAUAUGCUCUUUGAUGAUAUGUAUCCAAUUAAUCUUGAUUUUGUUCAUUAUGCAGUAGAUGUAGACAAGAUCUUCCUCAGUUAGAACAGAAUGGUUGAUUCCUCUUGGUGUUAGAAUCCAAGUGACAAAGAGAGCCAACAAUCUUUCAUUUAAUUUCAGCCCUCCAAUCGAACAAGUUCUUACUUGUGCAUGAGGAUUCUUCAAACAACUUUUGUAAUAUUAAAUCUUGUUGAAGUCUUCCACCACACCAAUGUUUCCUUUGUUGAUUCUCAACCCAACAUACUUUAGACUAGCCAGAGCAACCCACACCUCAUGAGUGAUCUCCAUAUCCACACCCUUGACAUGAGAAACAAGAUUGUUACCUUCAAAUUUCACGUUGGUGUAGAAAAGCCGAAUAAGAUCUGGAUAGAUGUUUCCUUUCAUCUCCAAGAACCUCUUCAAAAGUUGUUAUUUGAGAAGCCUCCUAACAUCAUCCAGCUUUUGACUCUUCAACCAGCCAAAAGAGACAACUUUUGGGUUAUUUAUCACUUUUCUACUUGUUUCAAAGCGAUAUCUCUCAAUCAAUUCAUUGUCUCCUGAAAACCAGCCCUCAAGACGUCCUCCUGACCUCACAACCCUUAUUUUAAUCCUUUUUUAUGUAGGAGGAGUGGAAUCCAUGAAAGCAGAAUGAGAAAAGGCACACACACAAAGGAGAGUAUGAGAUGCAGUAAGAGAUGAGCCAAUGGGUUAUUUUUGUGAAGGAAAACAGUUGUAGAGGGUUUUAUAGCAAAACAAAUUCCCUCUUUGAUCCUUUGGUUGAAGUGGGUUUUAGUCUUCAAGGUAAAAAUUUGUUCCAACUUUUGCACAGAACAAUGUCAGCACAGAGCAGAAAAACACAUGGUCAGGACAUGUGACUUUGACUAAACAUAAAAGGCACUUGAAUUUCCAAGAAAUGGAAUAUAUUCCUUUAUGACAAGAAGUAACUUCCUUCAGAACCAAAUCAGGCUUUCAUGACUGCUUUAUUGACUUAAAGACUCUUUAAGAUUUAAAUUUGCAAAAGAUAGAAUGCAUAAAGAAAUUAAAUCCAUUUAUGCAGUGCCGUCAGAGAAGAAAUAAUCGGCUGUUUCGAGAAAACAAUAUGUUGUUUUUCUGCAACAGCAACAAUGUAUAAAUUUUAAGCAGAAACUGAGAAGAGUUUAAAACAAAUGCAAUUGCUCAUAUGUAGAUGAAGAAUUUAAUAUGAAUUUAUAAUUGAAAAGCAGAGACAGGGAAGGUCUUAUCCUUUUGUUAUGAAGUUCCUUCAAUGAGUCAUUGUUUGUGAUCAAGAAUGUUUCUUUUGGCUUUCAAGACAUCUUGGACUGGUACAUACCCUUAGUUCAGUUCCAAACACACUUCUUUUCUUCCAAAAGCUUGAUCAGAUAACUCAAGACUUCAUGCUUCUUUUAGUAUCCCUGAUCAUAAUGAAUUCAAGCAACAAGAUUUGGUCCCCUUACAAAUGUGGGUCCUUUUGAUUCAUCUUUAUCAUUUGAAACCUCACACCCUUUGGGAAUCCAUUUCAAAAUACCUUUAGGAACAUAAUAUUUCCUAAUUUUACAGAAUCUAACUGAGUGGCCUCUCUUCAUGCAGUAAAAGCAUGUAACAACUGGUUGUUUAAAUCUUUCAAUCGGUUGUUUUUCUGGCAGCUUUGAAAAAGGCUUUGAAAUCCCAUUUUUCUUGUUUUGAAUAUAAAACCCCUAACCAGAUUUUCCAAAAACACAUUUUUGGGAUGUCAAGACAGUUUCAAAGUUGGAUUUACCCUUUGAAAGUUUAUCCACAAUUCUUACAAGAUAGUGGAUCUUACUCUCAAGAGUAUUACAAUUUUUACAAGUCUUGGAGUCACUCAAGUGAGAAGAAUUUUUGCAAUGCAUUUCAAGUUUUUCAAAAUCAAUUUUUGACUUUUCCAAUUCUUCUUCAAGAUUCUUGACUCUAUUUUCAAGCUAGUUAUUCAACCCUUUCAAUCGGUUGUUUGAGAAAGGCAAUCGGUUAGCUUCUUCAUGAGUUUCUUUAAAAGCUUGAAGUAAUUGGCUAUAAUUUUCAGCACUUAAGGAAGCACAAGAACUUACACUGCUUGAGCUACUUGAAUCAUUAUCUCCUUCUGCCAUUAAAUAUAGAUUGGCUUUUUCAUCUUCACUUGAUGAGGAGCUUGAUGAAGAGACUUCAUUUACAUCCCAAGCAAUAUAUGCUCUUUUUGAUUUCCCUUCCUUUUCCUUAUUGCUUGACUUCUUUUCCUUGCCUUCUUUAUUUGGGCAAUCAACUUUUAUAUGCCCUUGUUCUCCACAACCAAAACAAGUAUAAUUGUUAGAAUUGAAAUCACUAGUUUUCUUGUUUCCAUACCUUUCUUUGUUGGAUUCUUUGUUGCGAUUUCUCUUCAAGAAUUUGCUGAACUUUUUGGAUGACAAGCUAAGGUUUUCUUCCUCACUUUCAUCACUUGAAUCUUCCUUAUUCUUGUGCUUGACAGCUUUCAAGGCAAUGUUCCUUACAUGCUUGUCCUUACUUUCUUGAACAUUGAGUCUAUUCAUCUCCAACUCAUGUUCUCUAAGCUUUCCAAACAAGGAGGCCGUAGUCAAGGAUGCCAAGUCCUUUGAAUCAGAAAUUGUCGUGACUUUAGCUUCCCAAGAUCUAUCAAGACACUUGAGAAUCUUGAUGUUUAGCUCCUCUUUGUCAAAGGUUUUUCUAAGACUCAUUAGAUGGUUGAUGAUGUGAGUGAAUCUCUUUUGUACUUCAGCAAUUGAUUCUCCCUUGAGCAUUCUAAACAUCCCAUACUCUUGUAUUAGAGUAUGUUUCCUAGCUCUCUUCACAUAGUUUGUUCCUUCAUGGGUGACUUCUAGAGUAUCCCACAUUUCCUUAACCGAUGCACAUUGUGAGAUCCUGAAAAAUUGAUCAGAAUUCAAAGCAGAGGUUAUGAUAUUCUUGGCAAUACAAUCAAACUUGGCCUUUUUAUUUUCAGCAUCAGUCCAUUGGGACCAAGGUUUUUCAAUAGAAGAUCCAUCCUCUUCAAAUUUUGGAAUAAAAUGGCCAUUUUCAAUUGCAUAUCAAAUUCCUUUAUCAAGAGAUUCAACAAAGAUUUUCAUUCUAACUUUCCAAAACUGAUAAUUUAAACCACAAAACAAAGGUGGCCUGUUAAUUGAGGCACCCUCCCCAAAAGGUAGUUUUUCAGCCAUAGAAAAAAAAAAUUAGGAUCAAACUUGAAUAUAUUUCAAGUACCAAGCUCUUGAUGUCAAUUGUUAGAAUAUAUGGCCUUAAAGAAGAGGGGGGUGAAUUGAUUAAGAGAGGUUUUUGAAAAAAUUUCAAUGUUUAACAAAUUCUUUGUGUGAACCCAGAACAAAAAUCAGGUUAGCCAAGAAUAUAAGCACUAAAGACAGCAAAGCAACAGAAAAACAAUCGGUUGUUUCUUCAAAACAAUCGAUUGUUUAUACUAGAAAAGCUUAAAACAAAAUUUAAAUGAGUUUAGGGUAAGAGAGAGAUACACCAACAGUUUAUACUGGUUCACUCUUAAACCAAGAGCUACAUCCAGUCCCCAGAAAACCACUGCGUAAUCCACUAAGUAAUCAAACUAUAUUACAACACACAAACCACCAAAGUAGUGACCUUGAACCCUUCAAGAAACACACUCCCUUUGGCAAAACACACCUAGGGUAUUGAUCUUGACUACCUCAAGAGCACACAACACUCCUUGGCAACACAACACCAAAAAUACAGUAGGUUGAGAAGGGAUUACACUUGUUUUCAAUACAAACUGAAAUCAAUACAAUUGCAAUCCUAUUUCACUCUCUUUGAAAACCCAAAGCUUGAUGUUAAUGUUCAAAUCUUGAAAUCAACUUUGUCACAACUGAAAACUCAAAUUUGUUUCUCUUUCUUGUUUGAAAACAUAAAUAAACCAAUUAUAUUUUCCAAAGAUUAGUCAAAGCAAUUAAUGAAGGAACGUAUUCAGUUGGAAAUCAUUUAAAGCACAUUCAACAACCAAAACAAAAUUCUGUUAGGAUUUUCAAAGAAAUAAUCGGUUGAAACCACGAAUCAACCGAUUCUUUGGUUUGGCAGUUAAGUCAACCAACUAAAAUAGUUUUCAACCUUUUCAAAAACUCCUAAGAGUAAAACAACCGGUUGAUUCGAAAAAACAACAGGUUGUUUUUCACUUAGUUGGAAAAAUACUUUAUUUUCUAAAAGGUUUUAAUUCACAUCAGUUUUAGAUUCAACAAAGGAGUGGAUCACAUUCUAUUCUACCCAGAUCCUUCCCCAAACAUAGCAGCAACACAAGCCUUGCAUCAAAGACAUAGGAUUUGGAUUCUUCAAAGCACUUGAUCAUUCUUGAUCAACAGAUAGGUCCUCUCGGAUCACAUUGCACAUCGAACUCGGACAGCUCGACCACCUAACGCACCAUCCGACCCGCCACGUCAGGUUUUUGCAAGACCUUGUGGAUGGGAAGGUCGGUCAUCACGAUCACCGUGAAACUCUAAACAUAGUAGCGGAGCCUUCGUGCUGCAAAUACUACUGCUAGAGUUGCCUUCUCAAUGGCCUGAUAGCGCACCUCGAGCCCCUGCAACACUUUGCUAACAAAAUAUAUAGGCCUCUUAAUGCGAUCUUGCCCCUAGACUAUGACUGAGUUGACCGCUCAAUCUGUAAUAGCGAAGUAUAAGUGGAGGGGAGUACCUGGCAGCGGCUUGCACAGAACCGGCGAGCUGGCCAAGUACUCAUUCAGCUUGAGGAAUGCUUCCUCACACUCACCUGUCCACACAAAUCGGUUGUUCCUCCUUAAGCAUUUGAAAUAGGGACAGGGCGACCAUGUGUCCUGUUAGCUACUGUACCUCCUUCACCGAGAUCAGACUUCUCAUGGCUAUGAUCGCUGCACACUUCCUGGGGUUCGCCUCUAUUCCCCGCUCGGUGAGGAGAAACCCUAAGAACUUCCCUGCUUCCACCCCGAAUACGCAUUUUUCGGGAUUUAACUUCAAUUUAUACCUGGCUAUUAUGGUGAAUAGCUCUUCUAGAUCGACAAUGUGUUGGUCCUUUUCCUUGGAGGUGACGACCAUAUCAUCCACAUAUGCCUGCACAUUUCACCCUAUCAUAGGGGCGAGAUGGUGUCCAUCAGCCUCUGGUAGGUUGCACCAGCAUUUUUAAGCCCAAAGGGCAUCACCUUAUAGCAAUAGCUGGAGAGCUUUUUCAUGAAUGUUGUCUUGCAUUCGUCUCGGGGAUGCAUCCAGAUUUGGUUAUAUCCUGAGAAGGCAUCCAGAAAAUUGAGAAGUCUGCAGCCUGACGCGCUAUCUACCAAGGCGUUGAUACUGGGCAGCAGAUAUGAAUCCUUUGGACAGGCCUUGUUCAAAUCCGUAAAAUCAACACACAUCCUUCACUUCCCAUUGGCCUUCUUGACCAACACCACAUUUGCCAACCACCUAGGGUAUUGGAUCUCCCUUUUGUGGCCAGCACUCAAAAACUUUUUAGUUUCUUGCCUGAUGACCAGGCGUCUUUCUUCACUAAAAUUUCUCCCCCUCUGUAGGACAGGCUUGACCUUUGGAUCCAUCGUGAGAUGAUGGCAUAGGAAAUCAAGGUUGAUGUCGGGCAUGUCCGAGGAAGACCAUGCAAAGGCGUCCAGAUGUCGUGCUAUCACCUCGAUAAUCUGGUCCUGUAUUUCUUGGCUUAAAGAUUUGCCAAGCUUAAACUUCUUUCCCCCGAUCUCCCUUUCCAGCACCUCACCUGCAGGCUUAGGUCUCCUCUCCCGGGCUAUCUCUGCACGGGCGACCCCUUCUCCGUCUUGAGGCUGGCUGGUGAUCGAGCAUACCCCUCUCUUCGUCUUCAAGCUAUUCUUAUAGCAUUUCUUUGCCGCCUUUUGGUCGAACUUAAUGGUAAUUAUCGCUCCCUCUAGGGAAGGAAACUUCAUCUUCCUAUGCCUCGUCGAGGCCACUACUCUUAUCCUAUUCAUGGCAGGUCUGCCCAAGAGGAUGUUGCAAACUUAGGGAGCGUUGACGACGAGGUACCUGAUAUUGACGGUUCGGGAUGUGGUGCCGUCUGUGUAGGUCAUCCUUAGCUUUAUGUGCCCCCUUACUUCUACCUAGUCUCUGACGAAACCGUACAGACAGCCGUCGUAUGGUCUUAGCUGGUCGGGCGACAACUACAAUUUGUUGAAGGUCGACCAAAAUAUUACAUCGGUCGAGCUUCCUUGGUCAACGAGGACUCGGUGUACCCUUCUCCCUACCGUUACCACUGAAAUUACCACUGGGUCAUUAUCAUGUGGGACCACAUCCUGUAAAUCAGCCUUCGUGAAGUAGAGGUCGGGCUCAGGUGACUGAUCAGGUUACCGUGCUUCUACCGCCAGCACCUCUCUAGCAUACUUCUUUCGCUAGGAGGCGGUGCAUCCUCCCCCUGAGAAACCCCUAGAGAUCGUGUUGACCUCGCCAUGGACUGGCACUUCAUGUCCCUGAUCCCCUGCUGGGGUCACCACCGUUGAGGCUUCGUGACCUUCCUCUAGGUAUUCUUUCAGGAAGCCAUCCUUCAUCAAAUCAGCCAAUUGGUGUCCAAGUGCCAAACAGUUAUGCAUGCCAUGCCCAAAGCCCUUAUGGAACUCGCACCAAAUGCCCCUGCUUGGCCCCAAUUUCUUGUCACACUUUGGGGGUGGUUUUAGCUUGUCGGCCACUUCUGGGAUAGCGAUCAACUCCUUGAGGUUUAUUCUGAACUUGAGUCGACAAGGCAUGUCUCCCUUCGCUUGCGCCCUAGUCUAAUGCUUUUUCGGCUCGUAGGGCACAUGUAUUGCUAGUGAUCUCUUCUCCAUCGCAACUUCAUGUACCCUCAUGGGUUGAGCUCGACUCCUCUCCCGAGGUCUUUUCGGUCCAACACUUCCACAUUUUUCCGUUACCUCCUCCUCUGUGUCGAUGUGGGUGACAGCUCGACACCGGAUCUCGCUAUUUGUCUUUGGCCGACACCUUAUUAAAGAAUUGCUGAAUGGCCCUGACAGAAUUCCCCGCCUGAAGGCGUGCACCAUCAGAGCUUCAUCCUUGGUGUGGAGCUUUACCAUCAACACCCCGAACCGGUUUAGGAAGUUCUUCAGGGGCUCUCCUUGGUACUGUUUUACUUCGAAGAGGUCGAAAGAGAUAGGAUGUUGAGCUCGAUUGACUAUGAACUGCUCCUUGAACAAAGUAGAGAACUGAUCGAAAGAGGUUAUGUGUCUGUUUGGGAGUUUAAUGAACCAAUAUAAUGACAUGUCUGCGAGCAUCCCCAUGAACAGUUUGCAAUGCAUGGCAUCUAUUCCUCCGCAGUUGACUUUGGGAACAGGUUGUAACUCCGUCUUGAUUGACAUUAAUGCACAUAUAAAAAUCAUUCAUAUCAAUUCCUCACAUACAAAAUUAUUAAGAUUGUUUCCUAAAUAUCGAUUUCUUGCAUAUUUGUAAAAAUGUGUUAUCAUUACAAAUAGAUGUUAUAAAGCAAUUAACAUUUCAAAUUUAUUCCUAGCAUUCAGAUACGUUAAGCAUUAUCAUUUAGGUCAAAUGCUUAGAAGUACUUUCCAGUCAAAUCUAAUAAUCAAACUCAUGAAUAAAGAUUCAAACUUUAAGAAUAAAAUGAUAAUACCAAUCAUCAAUCAAGAAAAUAUUAUAAAUGAAUAUUACCUUAAUAUAUUAGACUUUGAACAGAUUACUCUUAAUCGCAAAGGAAAGACUUAGCCACUCAUAUUGACCAUUAGAAGCAUGAAAAACAAGUAAAGAAGAACCAAGGUGUUUCUCCUUGACAGUUGCCUCCUCCAAGGUUUUUUAUCUCUGAUUAUCCUCCCAAUGAUGUCUAUGGUUAUACAUCAUGUCUUCUAUUUAACCUAAUUAGGCUUGGAUUAAGUGGCAUCUCGACCAAUCGAGAUAUUGCUUUCUUAAGCGAGUUUCAGGAUAAAAAGCCCAACUUUACUGGAGUGAACUCGCUUAAGAGAGCCUUGGGCGAGUCUUGCGAGUUCCUCUGGAGUGAUCUUGCUUGGGUGAGAUUUCACUGCUCCAAGUUUGAAUUUUCAUCUUGUCUUUCACUUGUCCAUUUUCGUUUAGCCAUUUUAUCUCCAUUUUCCCCUAGAUUCUUGAAAUUAGCACAAACUUGGGAAUAAAUCAUUCUUAUUAAUCUCAUAAUCCAAAAAAUAUGUAAAGAGGUUAAAAUUCCUUAAUUAGAUAUUGAAUGAUAAUUUUAUUAACAAUUAAAGUCCACAAGUGUCUAUCUUUUAGUAUGAAAUAUUACUGAAUUAUGGCACUUAUCAACUCCCUCCAAUCUAAAAUCUUGUUUGUCCUAAAGUAAAGUAAAUGAAUAUAAAUAAAUCAUAUUUGAGUUCAAAUAUCAAAACAACUUUAUUUACUAAACAUCAGAUUAAAUUAGAAACUUUUGGUGCUUCCAACUUCAAAUACAAUAAGAUAUACAAAAUAUGCAAAAUAUGACACCCUAUAAAGACGGUUCCGAAAGAACAGUCGUAAGAGAGGCAGUGGCAUUGUUGUAAUUUUUUUUCAAUUUUUUGCUACUUUUAAUGACGGUUUUCUCCUAAACCGUCGUUAUAUAUGUGAUUGAUGGAGCUUCAUAGGGUGUCGUUAUAUGUUGGGUCUGGCACAAAUUUCAGCUACGCUACGCGGAUGGUCUCUCACUCUCCUCACUUCAUGUUCCUCUCAUCGCUCCCUUUCUCACCUCUCCGCACGUAGCUACUCCAUUCAUCUCUUCCUUCUACCUCACUCUCACUGAAUCUACCUCACUUCAUCUUCUUCCUCGCACAACGUCGUGCCUCUGCCUCAAACCCUCGCCCUUGAAUCGCGUUGCCGCUCUCCUACUUUCACCGCGUUGUCACUCUCCUUCCUCCCUCACUUCAUCAUUUCCUCCGCAUCUCCAUAGAAAUCAUGUGCCAACAACGAAUCGCGCCUCCGCACGCUCUUUGUUGCGCCGCUUCUCCUCCACGACACUACUCUCCAUGCCGUCGUGUCUCUUCCGUACCACUGCCCAUCCUUCUAAUUUGAUAAAGGUCAUGGUGGAGAAGGUCUUUUAUGGUGAUGUUGUAGUUCCUGUUCCAACAUCAGAGGUGACAAUUGUAGCAGAGGCAUUGCAUACUUUCGUUGCCUGGCUUAGACAUCUCGUCAGACCUAUGGACUCUAUGGUAUAUCUUUGCACUAAUAGGAUUACAUAUCAGAUAUAUUACAUUCUAAGUAAUUUAAUUAUUUGUUUGUUUGUUGAUGAGUAGUUGGAACCUAAGACAAAACUGUCUCUGCGAAAGAAGAAAAAAUUCUCCACUAAUGAUCUUAUGGCGUUGGUGGAAGUUGCUACAGCUUUACAUACAACUGUUGUUAAGGUUCCAUGGGAUGCUAAUGUUUUUGGAAGGCAUAGUGAUGUACCCUUGUACAUUCACAUGUCUGAUUUGUUGGACCUUGCAUCUGGAAAUCAAGAGAUUAACAUAACAGUUCUGCAAUUAUGGAUGAUGUAAGUUCAAAUAUUAAAAUAUUUAUACUUUUGAUUAAUUAAAUAUAUUAGUUCUAACUUAUUGAAAUUUAGGUAUAUUUGUGGAUUAUGCUUCAAUGAGGGGAAACAAGAUAUAUAUGGGUUUUUACACCCUCAACUCAUUCAAUCACUUAGAAAUAAGAAGUCAGAAACACAAACAUACAUCACCCCUGCCUUAAAGAAUGGAGGAAAAUGAAUUUAUUUUGCUCCGUACAUCCAUGAGUAAGUCCAUAUUUAUUAAAUAAGUUAUACUAAAUUAUUGAAAUAAGAGAAACUAAUUGAUUUGUUAUAUAAGCGUCAUUGGAAACUAUUGAUUAUAUCUGUUCAAGAUCAUACCGCUGCAUGGUUUUGCUCCUUGCAUAAGAAACCCCCUACCUAUUUUAAACACGUUAUAGAUAGGUACGACAAUUUCAUUUAACAUUUAUUAUUACUUAUAUAUUAUAUAAUGUUAUGUAUUCUAACAUGAAAUCUUCUUAUUUCAGUGCUUACUCUGGAUAUAACAUGUUAAGUGAGAGGGGAAGUGCAAAUGCACAAAAACUCACUUGGAUGUACCUUAAUUUAAAGUACAUAUGUUCACUCAAUUUAAUGUGUCUCAUUCAUUCAUUUAAUACAUUUAUUUUUACAUGCAGUCCAACAGAAAAUCUGAAAGUUAUGAGUGCAGUAACUAUGUUAUGCAGUGGAUGUCAACUAUUGGGGUCAGGUAAUACCUCAAUACAAAAACACUUUAAAACUCAGAGUUUAUUAACUAAUUAAAAAAAAUCUAAUGUCACAAUUUUUCAAUGACGAACAGUCGCUAUGUUUGGAAGCAUUGGAGUACGUAAGGACAACAUGGUCAAAGUAUUUUUUAACCGUAAGAUAGAUAAAUUAUUAGAAUGAGAUAAAACUUUUUCAUAUAUUAGCAAAACUUUUUGUAGAAUGUUAUAAUUUGUUGUAUGUAUUUUCCAUAUUUAAAUUAUGAUUUUAAAUUUUUUAAUUUUUUGGAAAUUUAAUAUUUUAUGCAGGUUUGAGGUGUAUAUAUAUAAAAUAAAACAUUUUUUAAAAAAAAAAAUACAUAUAACGACGGUUCCACGUGGAACCAUCUUUAAAAUGCUUUUUUUUAAAAGGGACACACUUCCUCUACCAUCGUUAAAAAUAUUUAAAAAAUAUAUAUUUACAAUAUAAGUAAUGAUGGUUGAGGAUUCGUCGUUAUAAUUUUUUUUAACGACGGUUCUCCAAUCGUCGUUAUAAAUGGUUUAUUUAUAAUGACACCUGUAAUAACAACGGUUCGGGAACCGUAUUUAUGUCCUUUUUAACCAUCAUUAUUGUACCUUUUUGUACUAGUGAAUCAACUUUCAAGAUAACAACUGAAACAAUGAAAUGACAAUUUAUCAAGGGAUUUUUUCCCAUACGUUCACAGGUAAGUGCUUCUCUCAAUUUCCACUUAAUCCUAACAAAUCAAUUGAUUUUAAUUUCACCUUCAUAUUGUUAGAAUAUAUGGCCUUAAAUAAGAGGGGGGUGAAUUGUUUAUAAAAGAUUUUCGAAAAUUUUUGAAGGUUUAAUGAAACUCAGUGAAGAAAUCUAGAAGAGAAAUCAAGUUAGCCAAGAACACAAUCUGUUUUAAAGUGAAACACUGAAAAACAAUUGGUUGUUUAUUCGAAUCAAUCGGUUGUUUAUAUCAGUUAAAACUUAAACAACUUAAAAAUAGAAUUUAAAGGAGUUCAGAGAAAGAGAAAUGCACACAAGUAGUUUAUACUGGUUCACUCUUACAACAAGAGUUACAUCCAAUUCCCAGAAACCACUGGGUAAUCCACUAAGCAAUCAAAACAAAUUACAAAACACCACACACCAAAAUAGUGACCUUGAACCCCUCAAGAAAUACAUUACCUUUGGCAAACCACACCAAGAGUAUUGAUCUUGAACACCUCAAGAACACAACACUCCUUGGCAAUACAACAACAAAAAUACAAAAGAUAAAGAAAGGAUUACACCUGAUCAAAGUUCAAUUGAAAAGAAUACAAUUACACCUGAUCAAAGUUCAAUUGAAAAGAAUACAAUUGCAAUCCUAUUUCACUCUCACUUGAAAAUUCAAAGCUUGAUGUGAAUCUUAAAAACUUGAGAUCAAAUUUGUCAAACUGAAUUUCUCAAAAUUGUUUCUUACUCUUCAGAAACAUAUAACAAACUAUUUAUAUUUUCCAAAGAUUGGUCAAAACAUUUAAUGAAGGAGCAUAUUCAAUUAGAAAUCAUUUAAGACAGAUUCACCAUUCAAAACUGAAUUUUGUAAGGAUUUUCAAAGAAACAAUCGGUUGAAACCACGAAACAACCGAUUGAUUUGGUUUAACAGUUAAGUCAACCAAGUCAAACAACUUUCAACCUUUUUCAAAACCUCUAAGAACAAAACAACCGGUUGAUUCGAGAAAACAACAACUUGUUUUUCACUUAGUUGAAAAAAAAAAUUCAAAAAGGUUUCAAUUCACAUCAGUUUUAAAUUCAACAAAAGAGUGGAUUACACUUUAUUCUACCCUAAUCCCACCCACACAUAGCAUCAACACCAACCUUUCAUCAAACACCUUGGAUUUGGAUUCUUCAAAGCUCUUGAUCACUCUUGAUCAACAAUCUCCCCCUAUUUGAUGAAGACAAAUCCCUGGUUGCUUGUGUUGAUCUUGUUUGAAUCUGACACAGCACCUGUAAAACAGAAAUCAUGCAAUCCAGAACAUCUCUAAUAGCAGGUUAUAAUGAUAUAUCAACUAGUUUUUCUACAUAACCACAAGAGUAGAAAAACUAGCCAUAAACUAUGCCAAAAACAUCAAAAUUGCAACGCCAAAUCAAACAACAUAUGCUGCAGAAUUUAAAGGCACUUGAAUUUCCAAGAUAUGGAAUAUAUUCUUUUUAUGACAAGAAGUAACCUCCUCCUGAACCAAAUCAGACUCAUAUGACUGCUUCAUUGACUCAUAAUUCUUUUAAGAUUGAAAUCUGAAAAAGAUAGAAAGCAUAAAGAAAUUAAAUCAAUUUUAUGCAGAGCUGUCAGAGGAGAAACAAUCGGUUGUUUCGAGAAAACAAUCGGUUGUUUUUCUGAAACAACAACUAAAUAGAAUUUUUAAAAGCAAAGAAGAAUCAAAAUGUAAUUGCUCCACAUAUAUCACAAUUUGAUGAAGAUUUAACACAUAUUAAGAAAAGAAAAACAACAUAAACAAAGAAAGCCUUAUCCUUUUGUCAUAAAGUCCCUUCAAUGAGUCAUUGUUCAUGAUUAAGAAAACUUAUUUUGGCUUUUAAGAAGACUUAAGCUGGUACAGAAUCCUCAGUUCAAUUCCAGAAAGAAUCCUUUCCUUCCAAAAGCUUGAUUUGAUGACUCAAGAGUCCCUACUUGUCUUAGUAUUCCUACAACACAAAAAAUUCAAGAAACAAGAUUUGGGUCCUUAUGAUUUAUAUUUAUCACUGGAAACUUCAGAAUCUUUGGGAAUCCAUCUUAUAAUACCUUUAGGAACAUAAUAUUUCCUAAUUUUACAGAAUCUAACAGAGUGGCCUCUCUUCAUGCAAUAAAAACAUGUAACAACCGGUUGUUUCGAUUUUUCAAUCGGUUAUUUUUCUGGCACUUUUGAAAAAGGCUUUGAAAUCCCAUUUUUCUUGCUUUGAGGAUUAAACCCCAAACCAGAUUUUCCAGAAACACAUUUUUGGGAUGCCAAGACAGUUUCAAAGUUAUAUUUACCCUUUGAAAGUGUAUCCACAGUUCUUACAAGAUAGUGGACUUUACUCUCAAGAGUUUUACAAUUUUCACAAGCUUUUGAGUGACACAUGCAAGAAGAAUUCUUGCAAUGCAAUUCAAGAUUUUCAAAAUCAGUUUUUGAAUUUUCCAAUUCUUCUUCAAGUGUCUUGACUCUAUUUUCAAACCAAUUAUUCAACCCUUUCAACCGGUUGUUCAAGAGAGCCAAUCGGUUAGCUUCCUCAUGAGUUUCUUUAAAAGCUUGAAGCAAUUGACUAUAGUUUUCAGCAUUUAAAGAGGCACAAGAACUUACACUGCUUGAAUCAUCUUUUCUCUCUGCCAUCAAACACAGAUUGGCUUUUUCAUCUUCACUUGAUGAGGAGACUUCAUUUUCAUCCCAAGCAAUUGGCCUUUUUUGAUUUCUCUUUCUUGCUUGACUUUUUUUCCUUGCCUUCUUUAUUUGGGCAUUCAACUUUCAUAUGCCCUUGUUCUCCACAACCAAAACAAAUAUAAUUGUUAGGAGUAAAAUCACUAGUUUUCUUGUUUCCAUACCUUUCUUUGUUGGAUUCUUUGUUGCGGUUUCUCUUCAAGAAUUUGCUGAACUUUUUGGACAGCAAACUAAGAGUUUCUCCCUCACUUUCAUCACUUGAGUCUUGCUUAUUUUUGUUCUUGGCAACUUUCAAGGCUAUGUUCCUUACAUGCUUGUCUUCACUUUCUUGAACAUUGAGUCUAUUCAUCUCUAACUCAUGUUCUCUAAGCUUUCCAAAUAAGGAGGUUGUGGUUAAGGAUGUCAAAUCCUUAGACUCAAAGAUGGAAAAAUUUUUGGUUUCCAAGAUCUAUCAAGACACUUUAGAAUCUUGAUGCUCAACUCCUCCUUGUCAAAAGUUUUUCCAAGACUCAUUAGAUAAUUGACUAUGUGGGUGAAUCUCUUUUGCACUUCAACAAUUGAUUCUCCUUUGAGCAUUCUGAACAUCUCAUACUCUUGUAUUAGAGUAUGUUUCCUUGCCCUUUUCAUAUCAUUUGUCCCUUCAGGGGUGACCUCUAGAGUAUCCCACAUUUCCUUAUCCGCCGAUGCACAUUAUGAGAUACUGAAAAAUUCAUCAGAGUUCAAAGCAGAGGUUAUGAUAUUCUUGGCAAUGCAAUCAAACUUGGCCUUUUUAUUUUCAGCAUCAGUCCAUUGGGACCAAGGUUUUUCAAUAGAAGCACCUUCCUUUUCAAAUUUUGGAAUAAGAGGUUCAUUCUCAAUUGCAUCCCAAAUCCCUUUAUCAAGAGAUUCAACAAAGAUUUUCAUUCUAACCUUUUAAAACUAAUAGUUCAAACCACAAAACAAAGGUGGCCUGUUAAUUGAGGCACCCUCCCCAAAACGUAGUUUUUCAGCCAUAGAAAAAAGGAUUUAGGAUUGAAAACUUGAGUAACUACAAGAACUUAGCUCUUGAUGUCAAUUGUUAGGAUAUAUGACCUUAAACAAGACGGGGGGAAUUGUUUAUAAAAGAUUUUCGAAAACUUUUGAAGGUUUAAUGAAACUCAGUGAAGAAAUCUAGAAGAGGAACCAAGUUAGCCAAGAACACAGUCUAUUUUAAAGUGAAACACAGAAAAACAAUCGGUUGUUUCUUCGAAUCAAUCGGUUGUUUAUACCAGUUAAAACUCAAACAACUUAAAAACAAAAUUUAAAGGAGUUUAGAGAAAGAGAAAUGCACACAAGCAGUUUAUACUGGUUCACUCUUACAACAAGAGCUACGUCCAGUUCCCAGAAACUACUGGGUAAUCCACUAAGCAAUCAAACCAGAUUAAAAAACACCACACACCAAAGUAGUGACCUUGAACCCCUCAAGAAACACACUACAUUUGGCAAACCACACCAAGAGUAUUGAUCUUGAACACCUCAAGAACACACAACACUCUUUGACAAUACAACAGAAAUGCAGAAGAUUCAGAAAGGAUUACACCAGAUCAAAGUUCAACUGAAAAGAAUACAAUUGCAAACCUAUUCCACUCUCACUUGAAAAUCCAAAGCUUGAUUUGAAUCUUGAAAACUUGAGAUCAAAUCUGUCAAACUGAAUUUCUCAAAACUGUUUCUUACUCUUCAGAAACAUAUAACAAACUAUUUAUAUUUUCCAAAGAUUGGUCAAAACAUUUAAUGAAGGAGUGUAUUCAGUUAGAAAUCAUUUAAGACAGAUUCACCAUUCAAAACUGAAUUCUGUUAGUUCAAAGAAACAAUCGGUUGAAACCACGAAACAACCGAUUGAUUUGGUUUAACAGUUAAGUCAACCAAGUCAAACAGCUUUCAACCUUUUUCAAAACCUCUAAGAGCAAAACAAUCGAUUGAUUUGACAAAACAACAGGUUGUUUUUCACUUAGUCGGAAACACAUUUAAUUUUAAAAGGUUUCAAUUCACAUCAAUUUUAGAUUCAACAAAAGAGUGGAUCACACUUUAUUCCACCCAAAUCCCAUCCACACACAGCAUCAACACCAACCUUUCUUUAAACACUUUAGAUUUGGAUUCUUCAAAGCUCUUGAUCACUUUUGAUCAACACAUAUCACAAUCACAUUAGAACAUGAAUAUUAAGGUCUUUUUCAGGGUUAUAAUGGGAUUGAGCUUUCAAUGAAUAUUGGUUUUUCAUAUAAGAAAAUACACAAUUAAAAGAAAAACAACAUACCUACAAUGCAUAUGUGUUAUCUAAUCACUAACUUCUUUUGAGUUUAAUACUUUUCCCCAUUUUCUUUACUUAUUCAUGAUUUCAACUUUUUUUUUUCUAAGAGAAUAGAAAUAGAUUAUUCCUAUUUCUAACCAAAUGAAUUAUUUAAACUUAUAUUAUUCAAACAACUGAAACCAACCAUUCCUUUUUUUCUAUAUAUAAAUUGCAUUUAUGUUCUCCUUCCUUAAACAUGUCAACAGGUAGGAAAAUAUAUUAGUUAAGGUUCAGGGUGCAAUAAUAAUAACAAAUAUUCUUGGCUCAAAAAGGUUAUCACAGAGAUAUAAUCAAUUUAAAUAAAGGUUGGCUAAAUGACUCUAGCUUUCUAAUUAAUACAAAUGCCUUAAUCAUUUUCAUGCUCUUUUAUGAUGUAACAUAAAAUAAAAAAAUCAAGCAACCAUAACUGUCAUUCAUCAGUGAAACUCUCAAACUAUUUAAGAUUCACACACUUACUUGGCUUAAUUAGUCUAAUUCCUUUUUGCUUGUCAUUCUCUAUUUCAACUAAUCAUCCUAUUUAAUUUUUAUGUACCAUAAUCUAAACUAAAUUGGAAUAUGGAUUCAACACAUUUUCUUUUCCAACCUGUGUCUAUAUCAUUUCAUUAUUCUAAUCUUAAACACAAAUUUUGAUUAAUAAUUUUCCCACAAUUCAAAUUAAUAUUCCAAUUCUUACAAUAAUAUUUAAGAAUAAUGUAAACUAGAAAAACAACUCAACAAAUAAAAUAAAACUAAAAAUAACUCAACAUAUAAAAUAAAAUUUAGAAACAAAAUAAGCAAAUUAAACAAACUUAAAGGAAAUAACUAUAAAGAUAAAACCAUGUUUUGUGCUCAAUCAUCUCUUCUUAGCAACUCAUCCAACUAUGUGUUGAAAUCUUAAUAUACAGUCGUAGAUGGUCCUGCUUCAUCUACUUGAAUUGCCCCCCGAAGAAAUAAUACUUAUCUCCAAACCAUGCAAAUAAGCUCCAAAGUGAUCUGCAGGCAUAAAUUCUCAAAAUUUAUGUUAAAACAUUACAGAAAAUCCUUUUAUCAAAACUGAACUAUCAAUUUUAAUGGAUUAAAAAAUUUAUUUAAUAUGUUGAUUUCACUUAAGGUGAAAAUAAUGAAUUAUUUCAAAUUUUCAAUUUUUUAAAACCAUUCCGGAUAAUAACAUCCUUAAAACCAAGAGAUUUCAAUAAGCUAAAAACUAAUUAUAACAGAUUAAAAAAAUCUUUACAAAACUACUUGGGAUUUUAAAUAUAAUUUGAACAAAUUGAUUUCAUAAAAUAAUCAAUUGAAAUAUGUUGGGUUUAAUAGUGCCAAAGUUCAAGAGGGGGGGGUGAAUUGACCUUUUAAAACUUUCUCGCAGAAACAAUGUUUAACUCAGUUUUACAGAAAAUAAAUCGAUUUAUGUGAAAAUGAACAGAUUUAUUUCAGCACUGUUUUUGUUUGAAACGCUUUUAAUACAACAAUAUUAACCACAAGACUAUGCAGAUAGAUUUUCCAUAUGCAUACACACAGAUAUCAGAUUGAAAAACAGUGAAAUACAAAACAGCAAGUUUCAAUUUCCAGUAAGUGAUUAAGGUUCAAUUGAUAGCAUGCUAAUUAAUUGAGUGACCUUUGCAAACAACCUGUUCCAGUGGCUUUUAACAGACUAUGAGUGUUCUUCUUGAUGUCAAGCAAUUUUCCAGAAAUUAAGAACAAUGAAUCACAGAACAGCAAGCUUCAACUUUAAGCAAUUGUUUAAGGUUCAAUUAAUAGCUUUGACAGUUUCUUGGGCAACCUAUCACAGCCAAUCUGUUCCAGUAACUUUUAGCAGAUUUUAUAUGUUCUUAUCAGAUUAAGACAACUUUUUCAGAAAUCAAGAACAGUAUGCACAGUGCCCAGAAAGAACAGAUUUAUUUUCAAUUGAACAGAUUUAUUUCUUUGCUGUUUUAUCAAUUAUGCAGAAACGAAAUUGCAGAGAGUGAGAGAGAAUGAACACAAGCAAUUAUACUGGUUCACUCAACUGAGCUACAUCCAGUCUUCACCAACAACAGGUGGAAAUCACUAACACACAGUACAACCAAGAACAAUUCCCACUGUUCUUGAAACCUACAAGAACUUAGGUACUCUUGCUGAAAAAACCUAUUUCAGCAUACACACACACCCACUCUUCAAGAACACCUACCAAGAAGAGUGUUCAACCAAACUAUUACAAGAAAGAGAUGUGAAACGACUACACCUGAUUGAGGAUACACAGAUCUGCCUUAAACCAGUAGGCAAGAUUGCUAGAACAGUAGCUGCACCUCACACCAAGCUUUUGGAACCAAACCAAGAACAAGCACUUUGUGAUUUUUGAAUCUUUGAAGAACAAAUGCUAAUUCUUUGUAAACACUUAACUCUCUGCUGUCAAAACUUGUUUUUGCAAAUGUAUGAAUUGUUUGAAUUGUUAUUAAACUCAGAAACAAGUUUGCAUUUUAUAGAAAACCAACUUAUAACAGAUUUUUGAAAAACAGUUAAAGCUGUUAUAAAAUGAACAGAUUGAAAAUAAAAUGAACAGAUUUAUUUUCAAAAAGCAGUUAGAGAAUUUGUUAAGUGAGGAGACUUAGUCAACCAUUCUGGUGCAGAGAUAAAACUGAAAAACGUUUAAGCUUGACAUGGCACCAGAGACAAAAAGAAUCUAUUCAUUUACAGAUGAACAGAUUUAUUUUUCAAAACGAAAACAGAGAAAGUUUAACAAUUUAAAACUCAGUCGUUUUGAAAAGAAGAAGACUUAGUCAAAAUAUCUGAUGCACAAAAUCUAAUUUUUACAAGACUUUAGCCAAGGCAUCAGUGAAGAAAAAUGAAUCUGUUUAUUUAGAAAAGAACAAAUUUAUUUUUAUGCAGUAAACGUGUUUUUGUGUAAAACAUGUGAAAAAUAGUUUAAGAAAACUUAUGCUUGUUCUUAUCACAUGGCCAGUGGUUAUGAGGUGAGUUACCCAGCAAAAAGCCCACUCUUAGACAACCUCUAAGCACCACCUAAGACAUACUUAAAGCAAAGCAAAAUACAAAUGAAAUGUACAUAUAAGACUUCAUCAAACACUACAUAUAAGUUCAUCAAACACAAUCUUGAAGGGGCAGCAACCAUCUUCAACAAAAUAUUCACUCCAAUCUUUAAAGAGGUUAAGAAUUUUUAACAGAAUAAAAAUAUCAUUUAGAUCCAUUGAAAUUAUCUUAAUACGAACAAUAAGUUCCAAAUAGUCUGAAAACAUUCUGAAAUUAUUCUUGGAUUAUGUGGAUCAUUAACCUUGGUAAUCGGAAAAAUACAGACACAUAAACUCACAGACACACACUAUGUAAUCUAAGUCUUCUCUUCAAACUUGGAUUCAUCAAAUAACUCAUCUUCAAUUGUACCUGCAUAUGAGUGCUUUGAGCAUAUCUUGUUUAGAUUCAUAAAGUCUGCGCACAUUCGCCAUUUGACGCUCACCUUUUUUUACCAUGACCACAUUAGCUAAUCACUCUGUGGUACAAUCCAAGUAGACAAGAAGAUGACCAAGGACUCAAGAGACCAUUCACACUAUGAGCAGUCAUCUCAACAAUCAAGUCAAGACCCCACCAAAGAUCUAAUGGACCUCACCAGAAGAAGAACUGGGCAUAGACAUGUCGUAAAUAAUUUGGGGUCACUUUAGGGGUCCAAAUAACAAGAUAGGCUAUAGUAGGUUCAUAUAGCAUAAAAGGGAGUGUUCUUAGCGAAAUUGGCUUAUAUUAAGCCCACUUUUCAAGACAAGGCAUCUAGGUUUAGGAAGGUUGCCCUACCUUCUAGAAAACCUAGCCAAAGGGGUGGUUUUGACUUUAGUCAACCUCCCUUGGCCGCCCCUUUUCAUGCCCAUUAUACCCUUGUUUCAUCUUGUUUUCCAAGGCACCCAUUGUUAAAAAUAGGGUGUCUUGCCUCAUGUUAUGACCCAUUUAAAAUUUCAAAUAGAAAGGAAACUCUGCACAAAUUGUGAGUGAGAUUUGUGUUCUCUCAACUUUGGUCUUAUCUUGUGAGAGUGAGAGCUCUUCAAGUGGCGACCCUCAUCACUUAUCUUGGAGAUCCCACACCUCCAAGUGGCGUGUUCAUUCAUUCCCUUCACCAUAAGCUUUCCUAUCCUUCAUCUUUUCUUCCAUUUUCGAUUACACCAUUUAUCCUUGUGUUUAUGUUCUUGUUUUGCUUCCAUUUUCAAUUCGGUCUCCUUCAUUAUAUUUGCUUCCAUUUGUGUUCUUUCAUUUUCGCAAAGCAUCAUCAUCUUCACCAUAUCUUGUGUUUUCCUUUUUGCCUUUGGAAGUGAACAUUCACACUUAACCACUUGGUUAAGUUCGUGUCCAGUGGGGAUCUUCCCUAGGUCUCACCCUAUAAUUGCUAAAAUUCAAACCAUGAACAAAGUGCCACCAUUAAAAUGGACAAACCUAAAAUCAACUCACAUCACUCUGGAUAUUAGAUUUCCCGAAUAUGCUCACACUAAAAGAAAAUCAUUAAAUAGAUAGAGACAAAAAUUCAUUAGUUACUAUAUUGACUAAAUUAGAUACUAUGUUAGAGAUUAAACAAAAUUUUGAUAUCUAAAGUAGUCUCUAUUAUUAAUAAAAAUCAUAAACUACUUUCUAAAUUGGUAUCUAAUUAGCUACCAAGGUAUCUACAGUGGUAUCAAAUUAACUGCUAGUAUCUAAAACUUUGGUUGUUAAUUAGAUACUAAUUUAGAAACUAGUUUAUAAAUUUUAUUAAUAAUAGAAAUUAAUUUAGAUGCAAAUAAGUUUUUAGUCUCUAAAGUAGUAUCUAAUUUAGUCAAUAUAGUAACUAAUUACUUUUGGUAUCUAAAAUUUAUUUAUAUUUAAUGAUUUCCUUAUAGUGUCACCCACUAGUAGUUUAUGAUAUUCUUCUUUGAUUACCUGUCUUUUUUCUUCACAAAUUUCCUUCUUCUCUAAAUAAUUGGCUUCACCCUCGGUUGACAACUAAAAGAAUGGCAUAAGAAGUCGAUAUCUAUACUAGGAAUUUCAAAGGUCGUCCAGAAAAAGAACUAUAAGUUUGCUUUUAUCAAAUUUAUCAAUUUACUCUCGACUUGUUUGUGCAAGGCUCUGCCAAUUUUUAUCUUCUGGCCCUUCCUAAUGUUCGUCAUCUCCCACUAGUUGCGGCCUCAAAUCUUUGUACAUGAUUCAUGGUUCAAGGUCUAAAUUUUUUAUAUCGAAUGAGUAGGUUGUUGAGUAAGCAUUUUGACACAUGUGCAAACUAUUCGCGUGAAACUUCCAGGUCGUCCUUUAAUAUACCUUUAAUGUCACAAUGUUUCCUUUAGAAGCUGGGAACUUGACUUUGAAAUGUAUGAAAGACACUAAUGCUCCUAGUUUAUUCAAGAAAGGUUUCCCAAGGAGCAGAUUAUAAGUGUAAGGACCUUUAACUACAAUAUAUCUCACCAUAAUAGUACUUAUUGACUCUUCAUCGGUAAAGGUGGUUUGGAGAUCAACAUAUCCCCACACUUCUACUUGAACUGCUAAAAAUCUGACCAAAACACCAUCAGAUGACUUGAGUUGAUCUGAUACAGUCAUUCUUAAGUGUUGAAUGGAGAUUGAUGGAAGGCAGCGAAAGACUUGUAAAUUUGUGGAGGGAGCACAAAAUGGCUAUAGAGGUUCUUGGUUUGGGCAUGAGUUUACAAGGUUGAUGACUAUUUUACAACAAGUGUACCGUGUCAGAAGUAAUAAAUACCUAAGGAUGAAUAUUGAACUCACAAGGAACAUUUCCAAAUCUCAAGUAUAAUAUUCACUAAAUAUAAGAAAAUAUAUAAAAGUUUUUUGGAAAGGUUGUUUGUAUGGUGAAUUUGCAAGAAAUUAAAUAAAGAAAAGUAAAAGAGUUGUAUGAAUCAAUUGGGGUUCAUCCUUCUCACUCGUCUAUAUUUUUCAAAAGAAUAUAAUAUUCAAUCUUGAUUGAUAUUGAUGCAUAUAUAAAAAUCAUUCAUAUUGAUUCCUCGCAUAAAAAUUAUUAAGAGAGACUCCUAAAUAUCGAUUCCUCGCAUAUUUAUAAAAUUCCUUAUCAUUACGAACAAAUGUUAUAAAACAAUUAACAUUUCAAAUCUAUUCCUAGUAUUCAAAUAUGUUAAGCAUUAUCAUUUAGGUCAGAUUCUUAGAAGUACUUUCCAGUCAAAUUUAAGGAUCAAAAUCAUGAAUAAUUCAAUCUUUAAGAAUAAAAUGAUAAUACCAAUCAUCAAUCAAGAAUUGAAAUGUUAAUGGUUUCUAAAAAAAUAACUUAAACAAUAUGUUUAGUUUAUUUCAUAUACGAUUUGAUAACAUAUACCUAUAUUUGUUCAUAUACACAAUACAUUCAUAGUAUAUUACCACACAAAUAACAUGUACAAGAGUAUGUUAUCAAAAUAAAUUAUCUUAACAAGACAACUUUAUUCAAGUUAAUUAUCACUAUAAAUUCACAAGUCAAAUCAAUUCAUCAUCUUAUCAUCAACUACAUGCAUACACACAUACAAACAAACACACGUACACACACAUACCACACAUGGAUCCAUGCAUUCAAUGAUAUUUAUCAAGGAAUGUCUCAUACGGAAAACUCAUAAUAAGCAUUCACUAGUAGAGACACUACAAGAAAAAAUAGUUUUAACGAAGGUUUAUUUUUACAUUAUCAAGGGUUAAAACCCCUAUUAAGUCAUUUACCCAAGGUUGCAGUUUGCCCCGUUAAACCAUCCCUGGGGAACGUAUUUCCCGGGGUAUUUUUAAACCUCAAGAAAAGUCUUUCAAAACCCUUACUAAAUAUCAUGGGUUUAAGAACCUCCGUAAAAUACCAUGGGUUUCAAAACCUCUAUUAAGUAUCAUAGGUUUCAAAACCUCCGUAAAACACCAUGGGUCUCAAAACCUCCAUAACCAUGGGUUUCAAAACCUUCGUUAAAUUCUAUGGGUUUAAGAACCUCCGUAAAAUACCAUGAGUUUCAAAAUUUCCGUAAAAUGACUUGUCGUUUGAAAUAACCUUCAACCCCAUUUUCCACCAUCCACUACAAAAAAAAUCACGUUUAGCGACCACCAAAUUCGGUCACUAAAAGCACUAUAAUUGGUGGCUAAACAUAUUUGCGACCGAAACAGUCACCAAAUAAAGAUGGAAGCGAAAACCCUAGUCGCAAAGCCUUUAGCGACCGAAUUAUAAAGUGGUCGCUAAUUUGCAACCGAAAUUUCGGUGGCUAAAUCGGUCAUAGAAAAUUUGGUCAUCAAAAUUCAGAAACCAAAUUAGCAACCGAUAUUUCAGUGGCUAAAUCGGUUGCAGAAAAUUUGGUCACCAAAAUUCGGAAAUCAAAUUAGCGACCAAACUUUUGUAAACAAAUCGGUGGCUAAAUUGGUGGCUGAAAUAGAAGGUGAUAGUGACCACCAUUUUCGGUCGCUAGUGGAUUAAUUAAAAAAAAAACUUUUGGUGGCUAAUUCGGUGGCUAAAUGGAGACCCUAUAACAACAUAUUUGAUUUCGAUGGCUAAAUAUUUUUUUUAAUUACAGCAAUCGAUUCUAUUUCAGUAGCUAAAAAACAACUUUGUAGAUGUAGCCACCAAGUCGGUUUCGAUGACUAUUUUUUAUGUAUUAUUAAUAUCUAUUUAAACUAGUAUUUUGACCAUUUUAUAAAAAAAUUCAAAUAUGCUUAUAGAUACUUAAAAUUGUGGGAAGCUAAAUAGGAAUGAACUUCAAAUACAUAAUUUAAGAAAUGAAAUCAAAUUGAUUAUUGUUAAAUAUAUAUAUAUAUAUAUAUAUAUAUAUAUAUAUAUAUAUUUGUUGUAGUAAGAAGUAAUUAAGGAAUUAAAAUGUUUAAAAAUACAAGUAUUCGGUUUUAAUGUUAAGUUUUGUAAUAACUAAAAUCAUGUCAAGUCUUCAUGUUUCAAUGGAUCAAAGGUUAUGCAAUGUGACGUAACAACAACACUAAAAUAGUAUUAAUAAAUCCAGGUUCCAUAUUUUUAUACAAACAAGAAAGAGAAACCUAAUUUGGAUGAUGAAGGAUUACAGUGUCUUUGUAUAUAAAAUGAACCAAGGCCUAAUAGACGCAAGAAAAUAAUUAGAUAAUGAAGAAAAAUGGUAUGAGAUUACACAUUAAAACUGAACUAAGUAGCAAUGCUACCUUGAAAACUCUAGGCUCCAUGUCAUUGAGAACUAUCACCCUAUCAUCUUUCCCUAACCCAUUGGAAAACAACAGGAAAAAUAAAACUGGAUGCCUCACACUAACAACAUUCUUCAACAAAAAUAAUGCAGGUGCCUUGUACUUCUCAAACAUAAGCUUUGUUGUCCUGCAAUAAUAAAAUCCAAAAUAUACGAACUGACACUUUAAGAUGAGCUCAUAAUUCUAGACAAUAAAUUAUAAUAAGAAUACAUUUCUCUCUGCUAUUGAGAGUUUGAAGAAGGCUCUACAAGGAUCAUAGGAUGCUCUUUAGGAUCAAUAAGUAGGCAAUCCCUACCAAAAACAGAAAGCAUGGUCGAUCAAUAGGCACUCUCUACCAGAAAAAGAAUGUGAACCAGUGACAAAUAAAAUAAUAUGUGGAUUUUAUAGUGACCAUGCAUGAAACUUGUUUUAAAUCAUGCUAUUUAAUUAGAACCAUUUGUCUGGACACCCCAAGGUAAAAAUUGAAGCAACAAUUACCCUAUUAACAUUCUAGGGUAGGUUAAAAAUUCAUUACAAUCUUAAAAUGCAACAAUAAAAGAAUAGUAAUGCAUAUUAUAGAAUUUGGCACAUGCAGAAUUAUAUACAUGAAUAGAGUCAUAGUAGCUGGGAGGAUGAAACUAGCCUAAGGGGGUACUGUUGCUCCCCCAUGGCAUGGACCAGCAGGUUUGAGAUCUAGAACUACAGAAAAUAAGGUCUGCAGAUCAUGUAAUAUGAAGCAUGGCCUCAGUAGGAUGGAAGGGGAAAUGUGUGUGAAGCAAUUACCAAGCCAAUGUUAAAGCAGAAUAUAAACUUAUUGAAUGAGGGGUGUCGUGCAAUAGGGAUGCAAAACCUAUACAUGCUUCAAAAUGAAAUGAGAGCAAUCAAAACUACAUCUAGAAGAAAAAAAACAUUAUUGUUGAAAAUAACCAUUACAUGGAAAUUAGCCUUACCUUUAGUUGUCUCUGCUGGAAGAACAAUUUAAUAUUGACAAGGGUCUAAAUCUACAACUACAACAAAGAAAUUAAAAAUAAAAAAAAAGAACCCAGGUAGCAAAAUUGAAGUGAAUCAGGAAAGCAUGAGAGUAAUUGUAUUAGGUUUAACCUAUGAAGCUAUAAUGGGAAAUAGUUGGUAAGAAAACCCAGAUGAUGCAAUUGAAAGGUGUAAGCAGAGAAAAUGUCACUUGGCAGCAAUGUUCAUAUUCAAUAUAGUUUAUAAUAGUCAUAGAUUAAAUAAUGUGAAUGGAAUCAGAAGCAAAGAAUGGUGGCAGAGUAAACUUGCUUCUAAAUGCAAGGUUUAGACAAUCCAAUUAAAGCUAACACACCAAUGUCUAUAAAAAAAUUCAUUAUUAUUAAGAAAACUAAACAUGAAAUAAAGCUUCAACUAUUAUCUAUGUCAUUCCUUAUCAAUUAUAGGAGCAUACGAUCCCAAAACUAUUGUCGCUGGUAAAGUUUGUGAUACUUUAGUUAUAGUUAUAUUACAAAACCAAAGCAACACUAGAUAAUAAUAACUAAAAAUAUACGAGAAACUAAAAUUAAAAUUAAAAAAAAUAUAUAUUAACUAAACCAAGAUGUUGAAAAUAUAAUUAUUAUACAAGAACAAACACUUUAGAAUUUAACUUGAAUACCUGCAAGUUCAUAUACGAAUUAAUAGAAACCAAAUAACCUGAAGAAAAAAAAAACCAGUGAAGACAAUCAACAAAAUGAAAUCCAUGCAGUAUUUGACCACCUUAGGAAACUGCAAGGAAGCAUUUAGAAAUGAAAUAACAAUAGAGAAAAUGAUCCAUAACAAAUCAUCAUACCCUUGUACUCCAUUCUCCACUUGAGUUUCACAAUUACAGGCUUCCUGGUCAAAUUAUUCAAGACAGGUUUGGGAUUAACUGGUAUAGUCUGCAAAACACGAGGUAAAAAAUAAACUUACAAAAAUUAGAAAAUAAAGCACAAUCAAUCACACGCUGUGAUCUUUUAUACUCAAAGAACAUUGGCUAGUUCUAGAUCUACUUCCACUAAAACUCUUUCAUUCCGAUUAAACAUCAAAAAAAUGCACAACAAUUCAGAAAAUGGAGAUCGGAGAUCUAGGGCAUGAAAAAUGGGGAAAAUGAAAAGCAAUUUUAAGAAACCAAAUCGGGGCAAAUUGAAAACGAAUACCAAAUAAGAGCUUCGAUUGAGAUGAUUGAGCUUCGAUUGAGAGAUGAAGAUUAGAAUAUAUGGAGAUGAAGAGCAAACAACUACUGUGUGUAUAAAAACCACGAAACUUUAUAAGUAUGUGAAAAACUGCGGGAAGUGUGUAAGAAUAUGAGAGUGUGUCACAGAUUUGCGUCAUUCUCGUUCGCGAUGCAGAGGCCCUAGAAAGAGAGAGAGAGGUGGGGGAGCAAUGUAGCGAAAACCUAAAUUGUUGGCGUUCAUCGUCAUCGUCGUUGGCGGCAGUCUAAGAAGCCAUGACCUGAGCGAGGCGCUGAGCAGCGGCUUUGCCUGCAACAUUCUGAGUCCUUUUGACGGUUGAAAUUCGAGUUGCAGUGAGGGUGAGUGAGGAAGAACAAGAAUGGCCAUUUCCUUUUUCUUUUUCUUUUUUUUUUAUUAUUAUUAUUAUUAUUAGUAUUAGUAUUAGUAAAAGACACAUUUAUAUUUAGCCACCAAAAAAAAUCGGUGACUAAAAAAUAAACAUAUUUGGUGGCUGAUUCGGUAGAAAAAAUAAACCGUUACAUUUAGCGACCAAAAGAAAAUCGGUGGCUAAAAUAUAAACAUAUUUGGUAGCUGAUUCGGUGGCAGAAAUAAACAAUUACUUUUAGCGACCAAAAGAAAAUCGGUGGCUAAAAUAUAAACAUAUUGGGUGGCUAAUUCGGUGGCAGAAAAUAAGCAAUUAUAUUUAGCGACCGAAAGAAAAUCAGUGGCUAAAAAAUAAACAUAUUCGGUCGCUAAUUUGGUCGCAGAUAUAUUUUUCCCAAUUUAUUCAAAACAGCCACCACUUUAGCGACCGAUGGUUUUGUGACUCUCAUGUUCGGUCGCUGAUUCGGUCGCAAAACUAACUAACAUCAUUACAAUUCAUUCGGUCACUGUUUCGGUCGCAGAUUUGACACUGAAGGUAUUUGGUGGCUAUUUCGGUCGUAAAUUGCAACUACUUAUUUUCGGUCGCUAAAUUCGGUGACUAAAUAGUUAUUUUCUUGUAGUGAUCUCUAACGGUCCUUCUAACUUCUCUCUUCCAUCGUAGACACACUACUCUCCGGCACAGGCUUAAUGAUCGCCAACGACAAUCCUAACAAGGAAUCACAAUUCAGUCACACUUAUGUUUAUUAUAUCUAAGGACAAGAAACACUAAAUAAAGCAUUAUCUUCUUCUUACCCCAAUAUUGCUUCUUCGAUCACCUUACUACCCCAACUCAUGUCACAAGCCACUGUUACCUAGCUCGACAACAACUAAUGUUUAUCACUUCUUUAUAUAUCAUAAAUAAUUGCAUUAUUUGUUAGAUGUUGACUUCAAAGUCAUGUGUGUUCUUGGCUACGAGGGCUUCAAAGUCUGUAAGAACAUAUUGUGAGGAGAAAUUAACUUUAUCAAUUCUCAAUUUCACAGUGAAUUAAUUAUUGGAUGAAUUUUAAAAUAAAGGUCUUAAUCUAAAAUAUUUCAAAAUUAUGAGAAUUAUAUAUUGACAAUUAUAACUAAAACUAACAUUACAGAUAAAAUAUACAUACAUCAAAAGCUAAAACAAAAUAAGUCAAAUUUUUUGAAGUAUGAGUUCGUAACAAAAAAAACUAGGAAUUAUAUAAACCAAAUACCAUAAAUCAUAAGAAAUAUGCAAAUACUGUUAAAAUACUUAUUAUCCAAGAUUAUUUUGCUGAAUUUUUAAAAUAAAUAUUUGAAACUUUAGAAAACUUAUUUGUAAUGUAAAGUUACAUUUUCAAAAUUUUAGAGAAUUUAGUUAUAAAAUUUAUAAAUAUAUUAAAACUAUAUAGUUUUCCAUUAUUUAUUUAUAAAUAGAUUUAGUUAUAUUUAUUUAUUGAAGUUCGAAAAUAAUGGAGUGUUUUCUUGAAGUUCAACAAUAAAUCUUUGAAAUUUAACAAAUGUUAAAAAAACAUCCGUUAUUUUUUUGAGAUUUUAAAUAUAAACCUUGAAAUCAAUUAAAUCUCAGUUAAUUAAAUCAAUUCAUUGGAUUAUUUAAACUUCGCUAAAUAACCUCCAUUAAAACCUUUUUUUUUCUUGUAGUGAGACUAUAUGAAUCAAGGUAAGUUUAAGGUAUAGGCAUAUCCAAAACUCAUAAAAGGUGUUUUGACGAUACAAUAAACUUCCCUCCAACUUCUUACCACUUGUGGAUGGAGUUCCUUACUCCUUCCAUAAGUUCUUCGGUUGAAGAUGGUUUGAAUGUGGAGAAUGGAUGAAAAAGAAAUAAUUGAAUAAAAAUGGUAAGAAAUGAAUGAGUUUGGGUGUGAAUUAUGAGAAUGGUGCUAGGAAGGAGGUUAGGCCAAUCUUCUAUCUAAUUUUCUAAGGCUUUUAAACUUAAGAAUGAGAGCAAAAGAAAAAUGAGACUUGAGAGAAACCAUAUAGGCAUAAAUUUAUUAAUCAAAUCAAGUCUUAUGUUUAUAAUAGAAGAACUCUUUAUUUAUAAAGCCAAAAUUGACUAAUGGAACAAAAAACUCUUCAUUCAUGGAGUGAUAUGUGACACCUAAAAACUAUUCAUUCAUGGGUUGCCAUGUGGCAAUAUAUGUAUCCCAAAGCUCUCCAUUCAAGAUGUGACAAGUGGCAUAAGGAGGAGAUGAAGGCAAGCAUGAGGUGCCUAAGUCAUCAUGAAGGACAAGGAAGAGUCGCUUUGGAAAAAGGAAGGGAAGGGCUUCUUGUAGGUGUCCAAGUGGCGCCUAUGUGUAUGUCAAGUAGAUUUCCCUUCAAGCUCUAAGGGCCCAAAAAGUGUAAUAUAGAAUUUUAAAGAUAGAAAUAGAAAUUUCUAAUUACUCUACAAAUUUACAAGACUUUUAGAAAGAAAAUCUUCUAUUAAACAAUUGUUCUCUUCUGGCCUAAAGAUUUUGGGGGUGGGAUGGUCCUCCAUCACUUGAUGUUUUAGUUUACACGACUUGGACUAUCAAUGAAUGUAACAACAUAAUUUCUUGCUUAAUACAAAAAUUCAAACAAUGGUUCACAAAUCAUCUCAGAUGUGUGACCCUAAAUUCAUACAUUUCUCAUCAUUCUCAACAACAUUUUUUGUAUACAACAUAAUUCAUUUAAACAACACCAUAAAUCAAUUCAAUGUACAAUUAUAUAUUAUAUUUACAUUUAUAUUUAACAUUCAUAUUCAAUCAAUUAACAUAAACAUAAAUUAAGAAAAAAAAAUUGUUUGAGUGAAAAAUCAUUCACUUAAGCGAAAUAGGACCAAGAGCAAAGGUUGAGUUUGUACUCUAUUUUUGCUUGAGUGAAAAUAUCAAAAACUCAAUUGUAUUCAAUAGGACCAAACGGACCAAACUGUUUCCAAAAUUUUACUCAAAAUCAUUAUAAAAAGUUCAACUUUUAAAGAAAUUAAAAUGGUCAUCACAACUAUAAUUUGCUUAGUUACCAUACUCUACUGAUUUCAAUUCAACCUUGAUCAUUCAAAUUUAAUAUAAUCUCCAUCCACAUUGAAUACUAAACCUAAACUCACACUAAUACCUGAAAACUAUGGGAACUAACUUUACUCCUUUGAACUAUAUUUAAAAACCAAUUUAAGAAACUUCAUACCUUAACAUGCACAAUUUAACCACUCUAUCAACAUCUUAACACAAGUAAUGAGUUCAGGGUGUUAUAGAUCAAACACCCAUUAACUCAAAACUCACAAUUGCACCCAACUUAAACUCAAGAUAACAAUUCUUAUUCCAAACACAACAAAAGAAUUCACUUUAACUUUAAAGUCAAUUAACAAAGAAAUCUUCAAUUUAACAUGCAUUUGAAUUCUACUUCAAAAUCUAAAUAUGAAAUUGUAACAAAACAAUUAUUUUACUAAAUUCUCACAACUAAACUAAAUCAUGUUUCAAAUUCAUUAUCAAAAUAUCUCUAAGGAUAAUUUUCAUUACUUAUAAUUCCAUGCUUCCAAGUAAGUUCUAGCUAAAAGAGAAGAAUCACUUAAAAUCUAGAAACAACAAAUUAUUCAAAUAUAACAAAAAUUCAAUACAAAUUUUAUAGUUAAGAUUAUCACUUUUCUCAACCCACCAAGAUUCAUGAAAAAAUCUAAAAGAAAAAAAAAUAAUAAAGAAUUUUCAAAAUCAAAUAGUUACUUACUUUAAUUAAAAAACCGACUCAAAAGAAAAAAUUAUAGGAACCAAAAUUAAAAAUUUAUAAUUUUCUAAAUAGUAAAAGCAUAUUUAAUUUUGUUAAAUUUCAUAUUUAAAUUUCUAAAAUAUACUUUGCUACAAACAAAUGAAAUAAAUAAAUGAAAUUAUUACAUUUAGUAUGUUUAUUAUAUUUCAUAAGAUCAAUCAUGAUUACACGGUAUAUUCAAGAUUUUUUAUUAUGGUAUUUUCAGAAGAAAAAAAUAUAGAGUACUAAAAAUAAAGAUAAUUUUACACUGGUUAGUUACAAAUAUUAAUAAAUUAAUUGAGUCUUAUAAUAAUUACCUUAAAAUUUAUACCAGUAGUAACUUAUAACUAAAUGCCAAUAUAAAUACAAUAUCAUCUUAUUGAACUCUUAUUUAUUUUAUUCUUUAAGAUUGAUGAAAAGUUUAUCUUUUACAAACCUUUUGUGCAUGCAUAAUAAAAAAAAUCAUUGAUCUAACCGUUAUGGGUGACAUUUAUUAUAAAGGACAAUGCUAUGCUCAUAUCAUAUAUUCAUAUAUGCCCUCGUGAACUUGCUUUUCCCUUUUUCCUUUUUAACUACACUCGUGAGUCUAUUAAGCAUUGGAUUAAACUAUGGUGACGUGUAUUUCAUUGAAAUGCAUAUCUUAAAAUCGUAAAGAUUUUUAUCUCAUGAUAAAUUAUGGUACAAUUAAAAGUUAUUGACUAAAUGUUCCCAAAGUGAAGGACAAUGUACCCAUGAAUUUUCGAUUUUUGUUUAUCUUAUAAACGAGGUAUUCUAAUUAAGAGAUAAGAGAAAAAAAAAUGUAUUUUUAAAAUUUGAAUACGAUAACAUCAUUUUUAAUAUUUUGAAAUUCUUAAAACUAAAAAUCUCUCUUAAGAGAAGUAUUUAUUUAUUUUCUUGAACAAUAUUUACACAAAAUUUAUUAAAUAAUGUAAUUUCGAUUUCUAAUUCAGUAAUUUAAUUUUUCAUUAUUUUAAUAAUUUUUCCCGAUAAUAGAAAUAAAGUGUAUAAAAGAAGUGUAUUUUUGUCCCAAUUAAUGUAGGGAGACUUUUACGUUUUUUUGUUUUUUUAUUUGAAAUUUCAAUCGAUGAAAAGAAUGAAAAAUAUAAUUAAGUAUAUGUUUCCGUAAAGAUCUGGUGAAAAUAUGUACUAACUAAUCAUUCGAAUUAACAAACACAAUCUUAAUGUCUUCUGAUAUCUCGAAUGAAAUGAAAAUCAAUCUCAAUAUGCUUGAUCUUUUUAUAAAAGAAGAAAUUUGAGCUAAUAUGAAGAGUAACUUGAUUAUCACAUAUGAGUGUCAUCUGAGUGAUCUCUCCAAAUUACAAUUGUUUAAGUAACUAUUUAAGCCAAAUAAACUCACAAGUAGCUGAAGUCAUAACUUUAUAUUUUGCUUCAGCACUAGAUCUUGUCACAACAUUUUGUUUCUUGAUCUUCCAAGAAAUCAAAUUAUCACAAAUAGAAACACAAUAUUCGAAAGUUGAUCUUCUACCAAAUAAAAAUCUUGCCCAAUCAACAUCUGAAUAACAUACAACUCUAGUAUGAUUAUUGUGACCAUAUAACAAGAAUUUUCUAGAAGAAUCUUUAAUGUACUUCAAUAUAUAAAUGACUGCAUUCCAAUGAUCAACACAUGGGAAAUUAAAAAGAAUUGACUCAUCACACUAACUCCAAAUGAAAUAUCAGGAGGAGUAACAAUAAAAUGGUUCAAUUUUUCAACUAGUAUUUUCUACUUCACAGGAUCUGAGAGAGGCUCCCCGUGACUAGGUAGGAGUUUGACAUUAGGAUCCAUAUGUUGUUUUAUUUGAGAGAUAUCAUGGUGAUCACUGCUUGUAAGAACAAUAUUAUCAACAUGUACUACUAGAUAGAUACACCAACACUUGAGUAACACUAAAACAAUUAAUGAUCUACAUCACUACUUGUCAUACCAAAUUGUUGAACAACAUUACUAAACUUUCCAAACCAGACCCUAUGCGAGUGCUUGAGGCCAUAUAAAGUUUUGUGAAGAUAACAUACCAAUCCAGAAGACUCCCCUUAAGCAACAAAACCAAGAUGUUGCUUUAUAUAAGUUUCUUUCUGCAAAUCCCCAUUACGAAAAACAUUUUUGAAAUCAAGUUGAUAAAGAGGUCAUCUUUGAAAAGCUUUCAUGGCUAUGAAUAAACUAACAGAAAACCAUCUUUGCCACUAGAGAAAAAUGUAUCACCAUAGUCCAAACAAAAAAAUUGUGUAUAACCUUUAGCCACAAGAUAAGCUUUGAGACAAUCAAUAGUACCAUUAGGACCAACUUUGAUAGCAAAAACCCAUAUGCAACCAAUAAUAGAUUUCCCAUAAGGUAAAGGAACAAGUUCCCAAGUUCCACUAGUCUGAAGAACACUUUUUCAUCAAUCAUUGUUUGAUGCCAACCAGGAUGAGCUAAGGCAAGUAUAAAGAGUUUGAGAUAGUCGAUGGUAGCUUAAAGUAGUAUAAUGUGGAGAGUGAUUAUGGGUAGAACUUAUAACUUUAUGGAUGAUAAUUAGGAGAUUAGGUUCAACUAUUGGAGACAGAGGGGCGAAGGAGUUGGCACUGGAAGAGAGUCAUUUAGUGGACGAUAAGAAGUGUGAUAACAACUGUAAACUUGAAGAGGUGGUGGAGAAGGAGAAUCUUUAAGUACACUAGACACAACAAAAGGACCAAAGAACAUUGGAAUAUGUACUUGGUCAGAUGAACACACAUGUGGAGAAGAUAAAUACUUAAAAUGCAAAAAAGACUCGAUGAAGGUGACAUCUGCAGAAAUGAAAUAGCGGUUAAGAGAGGGUGAGAAACAUUUAUAUCCCUUUUUAGAUCUAAUGAACCCUAAAAGGACACAUUUGUGUGAUGUAGCAGAUAAUUUAUCAAGACCAUGACAAAAACUGUGAACAAAACAUGUAGACCCAAAAACUUUAAGUGGUUAGGGAUGAAGAAGUUCAUGAGAAAAUAGAAUAUAAUAAGAAAUUUUAUUCUCUAAAAAUGAAGAUGAGAUACCAUUAAUUAGAUAACAUGCACUAAAAGAGAUUGUCUUAAUGUAUCAAAUGAAGGAGUACUAGAUGAAGUAGGUAAACAAUAGAUGUUUGAGAUGAAGCAUUAGAAGAGACUAUAAAUGAAGAUUAGAGACAAAAGAAAAAACUCUAAAAUUCAAAUGGACUUCGACCUACAAGACAAAGUCAAGUUCAUAACAAGAAUGACGUGGUGAUCCUAUCGAUGCGACAAUGUUGUGGCAGAACAAAGACGAUAGUGAAAACAACUCUAGUGAGCAGUGAGUUCAUCAAGAAGGCAAAAAUAUUAACUUACCUCUAAAUACCAUAUUAAAAAAAACAGGAUAAAUAUCUUGUGUAAAAUACACACAUAGAGUUGUUUAUUUAUAAAUGAAAAUAAUAACAUAAUAGCAUAACAAUAACAUAAAUUAUAAUUCAACAAAAAUAUUUAACUUCUAUAUGACCUAUUACUAACCUUACAUUGUAUUUAAAGAAAAAAAGUUACAAAAAUCUAUGUGAUGUAUCAUUUUAAUAGUACUAAAGAGAAAAUACAACCAAAAUUAUUUUCAUUAUGGAUAAAUAAUUUAUGAAAAUCUUAUUAUGAUGAUGAAUCUCGUAACACUUGUUUAUUCUUAAGAAUGAGAGAAAUCUUUAAAACAAUAUUUUAAAAUUCUAAAUUAAGAGAUAAUAUAAAAGUUAUUUAGUCAUAACCAUUUCUUUGUCAUUUUCUAAAAAGCUUAAAAGGGUUUAGAAAAAAAUAAUAUUUAAUACAUGCUUUUGGAAAGAAAAUAACCAAAUAAUAUUGGCUUUGAUACCAAUAUACUUGAUGAAAAAACAUAUAUGUAACGAAGAUUUUUUUUAAAAGACUUGAUGAUUUUAAUCAAAUGGAAAAGAAGAAAGUGUUUCCUGGUUUAAUAUAUUAGGAGCUAUAACAGCGAGAUUUGAUUAUUUUAUAAACAAGAUAAUCGAGUUUCACACAUGAUACUCAAAUUGUUUUUUUUUAUAUGAAAAUAGAUUCACUAAAAUAGAAAAAAUUAAGUCACUUAAAUAUAAAUAGUUAGUUGGAAAUCUCUGUUAAUUUAAUGGAUAAUAACCAAUGAAUCUUGAUAAUUGAUCCAUUAAAUAUAUUUAAUAAUGGUCAUUCCAAAGUCUUAAAAUUAUAUCUCUCUUAAAAAGCUAUAACUAUGAAGUCCAACCUUAAAAGUUGAAGAUGGUAAGCUAUCUUGAAAAUAUGAUAAAAAUUAAUUAUCUUAUCUUUGUAGGAAAAAAUUUUCCUUUCAUUGGAACUUGUGAAAAAGAGAAAUGCAAGUAAAGAAAAAUAAUAACAUAAAGAGAAAUAAAAGAAUAAAUAUUCAUCAUAGUCUAAGAUUAAAAAUUAUAAAGAAUUAGUUAUGAUUUUUUCAAUAAUAAUAAAUAUGACAUGUAAUUCAAAUUAGUUAAUUGAAUUUUUCUAUAAAAUUUAUAACAUAUAUUAUUAGACGUGUGAGACUUCUCACAUAUAACUAUAUAGUUUUAUCUAAACCAUAAAUAUGAUUUAACAUCUCGAUAAAAAAAAAUACCUCGGUAAAGUUAAAUUAAAAAGCAAUGAAGGAGAGCUAAAAAUGAACUAUUUUAAAAUUAAUAAAAUAUUAUUAACUUGUCAAAUUUUGCCACGUCCAUAAAAGCUAGUUCUUAAAGUGGCAUGCUUUGGAAUGGUCCUCCACAGGGACCAGCGUCAUCCACAAACGCCAUUUAUUAUUUUUUAGUAAUGCCAAACAUCGUGCAAUGCAUUGCUUUGUUUACAUUAUAAUAAUCAUUGUUCUAAUAUUUUGCAACUUUAUAAAAGUGGACGAUGACGACGAAAUUACGUGGAAGAGAAGGACAUAUAUCUUAAACAUAUUAAUUAAGAAGUUAUUAAAUACGAUUUAAGUAUAAAAAGAAUACAAUAUGAAUAUGUUAAUAACAUUUAAUAUUUUUAGCUAAUUAGUAAAGAUAAUUUUAGAAAGUAAUAAAUAUUAAAUUUUUAAGUUAUAUUAAGUGUACAAAUUAGUGUUUUAAUUAUGUAGUCAUUCAUUUAUACAUUUUAUAAUGUCAUUAUUAUUAUUUUAAUUUUCGUUUACUUUUCUCUAAUUUUUUGAAAAUCAUUCUCAUUUUUUUUUUCGAUGAAAGAGUACUAGUGAGAUAGUGGUAAGCAGAAUUGAUUUUCACAAAUCAGAAUUAAGUUUUUCUCUUUUUAAUAUCUCAACUUUUUUAUGGUUUAAUUGCAUAUGGAGUUUUAGUCGAAAACACGAAUGUCUGGUAGCAUAGGUUCAUGUUGAUAUCUUUAAUUUGUAAAUCAAACAUCAUGAAUACAAGUUAUAUUUUCUCUACUUUUUUUCAUAGUUUUUUUAGCAAUUCUAUAAAAAAAACACACACACACAAAAGGUAAGGCAACUGACAAAUUUACUUUAUAUUUAUUUAAAAAUUGAGUUGAAAUUAGAUUUCGAGUUAAAGCUCAAACGUGUUAAAAUGAUUUGAGAUUAAAAGUAUAAUUUGAUAUUAAAAUUGUUAAUAAAUAUUAAAUAAUUAAAACUUAAAACUUAAUAUCUCAUUAAACCGUUGAUAAGAUUUGAACAGUUAUACCUUGUAAAUUGAUAGUUUUAGUGAAUCAGGAUUUUUAACAUUAAACCUUUAACAAACUUUAACUUUUGAUUUCAGAAUUUUUUUUUGAUUGUUAGAUUAUAUAUAUUUACUUUAAAAGAUUUUUCAAAUAAAAAAAACUAUGGAAGCUGGAGCAACAACAAAAGUUGGCAAAGUAACUAAACUACAUUGGUAACCAUACAUACACACAUUUUAUUAUACUAUAUAAAAUUAAUAACGGAUGUCUCUCAUAUGUUCAAAUAACAACAAUAAUAAAAUAAAAUUUCAAAUUCCAAAAACAAAAAAUAAUACUAAUAGCAUGUUUGGUUUUCUAACCAAGAAUGGUACUAAGAGCAGCACCGACCAGAAUGGUUAGUGAGUACACUCCGAAACGCGAUUUCGACAUAGAUGACGCGCCGUUUGGCCGGGACGGCGUCGUUUCGUUUGAGGACGAUCCCGGCGAAGACGAUGAAGACGGGCUUGUUGCUGCCGGUGUUGAUUCUGAAGGAGGAGACGACAAUGGUGGCGACGGUGUAGUAGCCGGAGCGAAGGGGGAAGGUGGGUAUGAUGGAGGGAUGGUGGAUGGAUAGGGUGAUAGGGAAGGUGGGGAAGGUGGGGAUGAAGAUGAUGGAGGUUGGGUGACAGGGGAAUUGGAAUUUGGAGUUGGGGCAUAGGGGUAGGGUGAUUGAGAUGUUGGGGAAGGAGUGUUUGGAGGUGACGGAAUGUAGGGAGGUUGGGAAAUGGGAGAAGGAGUGGUGGAUGGUGGUGUGGAAAUGUAAGAAGGUGGCUGGGAUAUUGGGGAAGGAGUGGUGGAUGGUGGUGUGGAAAUGUAAGGUGGCUGGGAUAUUGGGGAAGGAGUGGUGUUUGGAGGUGAUGGGAUGUAAGGAGGCUGAGAUAUUGGGGAAGGAGUGUUUGGAGGUGAUGGGGUGUAAGGAGGCUGGGAAGUAGGAGAAGGAGUAUUGGGUUGUGGAGGCACAUAAGGUGACUGAGAAAAGGGUGAUGGGGUUAUUGGAACAAAGGGUGGUUGAUGAUGAGGGGAAGGGGUGUUUGGAGGUAGAGGAGCAUGGGGUGGAUGGUUAUUAGGGGAAGGAGCAUAAGUGGGAGAAGGUGUGUUGGGAGGUAUGGGAGCAUAGGGUGGUUGAGCUUUGGGAGGAAAGGGAAGAUUAGUAGGAGGUGAAGGUGCUUCUGGAGGAGUAUAAACAGGGGGAGGAGUUUGAUGAGGUGGAUAAGGAGCUUUUGGAGGAGAAUAUGGAGGAGGCUCUCUCACAGCCAACACCACAAUAAUAAGUUUCUGACCCUUCUCACAAUUAUAAUCUUUUCCACUGAUGAAAUAAAAGGGACCCGAACGAUCAAACUGAAACUGGGAGGCACCAUCCUCAAACUUCUUGAUCGGGUUCUUCUUGUUACAUUUCUCAUAAUCCUCUUUGUUCACCACCAAAACCGAGUCCGAUCCCUUCUUGUACUUAAAAACUAUGAACAGGAAAAAACAUACAAGUUAAAAGCAUUCAUUCAGAAGGCAGAAAAAAAACUGGAAAGCUUUAGAAUGAAAAUGAACUGACCAAGAGUGUCACUGACUUGGAACCUCAUCCUUUCAGCCCAGUGAUUGUAAUUCUCAGAAGGGUACAAAAGCCACCCAUCUUUUCCACCAACGUUGAAGGUGUAUGCCUGAGACCCCGAGAGGAGACUGAAAAGAAACGACAAGAGACAAAAAACACUAAUCCGAAGCUCCAUGUUGCAGAGAGAGAGAGGAGAGAGAGAAGGAAGAGAGGUGUAGAAAGAAGUGAUGAAAUGGAUUGAUAUAAAGAAAGUGUUGUCCUUGGUUACCGUUGUUGGGGUGCUUGUAGUGUAGGACCAGCGAAGCGUGUUAAACGCGGUGGGGGGGUUUACGUGGGAAGACUAAGACUUACAUGUGGGCAAAUGAUAGAGAAAGAGAAAUUAAAGUUUGAGAAAGUUUGUUUAAUAUAAUAAUAUAUAAUAUGCAGCUACGUGCCACACUUCCCAGCACUGCCAUCUAUCACCAUUCGGACUCAUUUUAUUUUGAAAUUUCCAACCUCACCGAUGCUAUAUGCUUUCUACACAUUAAAAUGUUUCAAAAACAAUAAUAAUAGAAAGAAAACCAAAUCACGGAACUCUAUUGUUUCUGGUAUAUCCAUAUGCUACACUAUUCCGAUUCUCAUUUCAGACCCAUUAAUAAUUCUGCUAUUCCAUGCUUAGAUUGUUCCAAAUCAUAUACUGUAUCAAACAGAGACAGGGACAAAUUUUAAUAGGUUCUUGCUGAUUAACAAAUAUUAAAUUGUUCUCUAUCUUUUGUUCACAUAUAACCUGUGAAGAAUAAAUAGACGGAUUUUAAUUUUUUUCAUAAAGAUUAAAUAUGAAAAUGGUGUGUGUCUGCUUUGAGAGAGAUUAGCAACUAUUGGAAGAGCAUUUGGAUCGUCAAUCUACAGUUAUGCCUUUGGUCCACAAUGACUAUAAUAAAAUUUGAUUUAUUUAAGAAAGAGUAAACGAUAAUUAAGUUUCCAAAGAAAUUAAAUAUUAUUUUAAUUUCACUGUAUUUUAUUAUUAAGUUUUACAAAAUUAUUUUAUUAAUAAAAAAUAUCUUAAAGACCAAUUCCACAUGAACUUAGAUAUUAUUUUAUCAUAAAACUACAGUUUUCUGGAUCAAUUUGAAAAAGUAAUAAAAAUUUAUACUUUUUCAAUAAUUUUAGGUAUAAGUAUCUUGUCAUAUCAGUUAGAAAUGUUAGAAAUGGUCAUGAAAAAAAUAUUAUUAAAAAAAUAUAAAAUAUUAAGUUGAACGUUUAAAUAUGUUUUUUUUAUGUAUUUUUACUUAAAAAUAGCUUCUUUUUAGUUUAAAUUUUUAGAAUUUUUAGUUAUUUGUAAUAAGGGGACUAGAAUAAGUUUUUAUUAAUAUUUUUUUAUAUAAUAAUAAGUUAGUAUGAAAAUAUUUUAUCAUUCUGAUACAUAUUAAAAAUCUAUUCUGAUACGUAUUAAAAACCGGUUUAUCAUGUAGAAAAAAAUAUGAUAAAAGAUUAAUUUCAAUAGUUUCUUUAUUAUAAUAGUCUAAAAUUUAGAAUAGAAAAUAAAAAUUUCUGUGAAAUAAAAGUACAUUUAAUCCUUAAAUUUAUAAAGUUUUUAAUUAAUAAAAUAUAAUUUUAAAAUUAGUUUUUAUUAUUUAAAAUUAAAGGCAAAAUUAGUCAUUUACUAGUUAAGAAAUAAACCUCUAGUCGUCAUCCUUUGUUUUUUUUUUAGUCAAAACGUAUGCUUUGUUUUGCUUUUUCAUAGACUGUUUGGUACGUGAAAUUGACUACCCAGUUAGGAGUUAAUCAUCACAUCCACUUUACAUCAUGUUUUGCUUUUAUUAACAUUUUUAUUAAGUGAUUAGGUUUUUUCAUUAGAUUAGAUGACAAGUGUAAAGUAUUUAAAAUUUGUAUGAAUAACUAAUUUCUAUCAUUUACCCACUUUUAGAAUUUUAGUAGAAUAUACAAGUAUUACUUAAUAAAAAUAUUUUAUAUUAAAAAAAAUCUAUAGUUUUAAAAAUUGGAUUCCUUUUAUAAGAAAACAUUAAAGCCAAACACACCUUAAUUAUUACAUUUUGUGGAUGAAUGUUGACCUAUUUAAAAUUUGUAUGAAUAACUAAUUUCUAUCAUUUACCCACUUUUAGAAUUUUAGUAGAAUAUACGAGUAUUACUUAAUAAAAUUAUUUUAUAUUAAAAAAAAUUCUACAGUUUUAAAAAUUGGAUUCCUUUUAUAAGAAAACAUUAAAGCCAAACACACCUAAUUAUUUCAUUUUGUGGAUGAAUGUUGACCUAUUUAAAAUUUGUAUUAAUAACUAAUUUCUAUCAUAUACCCACUUUUAGAAUUUUAGUAGAAUAUACGAGUAUUACUUACUUAAACUAUUUUAUAUUAAAAAAAAGUCUAUAGUUUUAAAAAUUGAAUUUCUUUUAUAAGAAAACAUUAAAGCCAAACACACCUUAAUUAUUACAUUGUGUGGAUAAAUGUUGACCUAUUUAAAAUUUGUAUUAAUAACUAAUUUCUAUCAUAUACCCACUUUUAGAAUUUUAGCAGAAUAUGCGAGUAUUACUUAAUUAAAUUAUUUUAUAUUAAAAAAUAGUUAUAGUUUUAAAAAUUGGAUUCCUUUUAUAAGAAAAUAUUAAAGCCAAACUCACCUUAAUUAUUACAUUUUGUGGAUGAUUGUUGACCUAGAGAAAGCCAUUAGAAUCCCAUCUAAUCUUGUACUUGGAAUUUAUUGGUGAAGAGUAGAAAUUUCCGAUAUCUGAAUAACAUUAUUGUUUGGUACAAUAACGUUACCAUAUUUUAAAUUAGUAUAUAUGAUGGGACAUGAACACUUAUUUCCUCUAAAAUCUUUAUUUUAAAAAAUCUCCAAGUAAAUUACUAAAAUGACAUCAUUUUUCAUUGAAACUCAAAUAUGCCUUUCAAAUAUCAUUCACAUUUUGUUCCUAUCUUAAAUAAUCUUUUCCAUUUAUACAAUGUGUGAUAUCACUCACUUAUCUUAUUUAAUUAACAUCUAGGUACUUAAUAGUAUACUACUAAUUAAAACGCGUCACUUUACCGUUAGUAUUUAAUAUUAGGUUAUAGGCAUGCUAAGAAUGAUUAUAAGUGUAUUAUUAAUAUUAACUCUCCCUCCCUAAUAUGGCUGUAUCAUUUCUUCCUCUCAUUGAUUGUUUAUUCAAUAUCAAUCUUGUACUCUCUUUUCUUAUAUUUUUUAGUAAAAAUAAACAUAAAACAUUUAUUUUAAUUGUCACAAAUUUGUGUAUUUUAAAAUGAGUUAUAUAGUAAUGCAUUCACAUUAUACAAUAAUUUUAUUUUAUCAUAUAAUAUUAAAUAAAUAAUAACUCUUAAUAAUUUCUAAAAUAGAUAUUGAUAAUUUCAUUUUAUCAUAAAAUGGUUGUUUAUAGUGAUUUACUAUUCACAGACAACCGAGAAUAUGGGGUAAAAUGGGAGAAUGAAGGGAAGGUCAAGAAAAAUUAGUUAAUGUGAUUUUUUCAAUUUUACCAUUUUUUUAUAUAUUAAUUAUUACAUAAAUUUAAUUAACAUUAAUAUUUUAAUAAAAUAAUAAUAAUUAAUAAAAUUUGAUGGAGGUGUGCCUUCAUCCGUAGCUUUUCUUUGGUGGAAUUGGCGGAAACAUUCAUGGAAGAAGACGAGCAAGGAACUCAUGAAGAGUGGUGGACUCCUUGAAGGUGCAUGCUAGGUGUGGAGAGUGAGUGGUGAGGCCAUCUCACUUGGCAAAGAUGAAGAAUGAAGAUUAAAAUGUCUAUCCUAGAGAGGUAGGAGACAAGAAGCAAAAUUGGCACAAUUUUGGCAGCAAUUUGCUCGAGAAUAAUCUUGCUAUUUCAUGACCCAAACACCUCCUUAUAUAGGAUUGGAGGGUCAGAAUUGGAAGAGUCAAAUACAAAUGAAAUACAAACUAAAUAAAAUGUGAUGCAUUUGGCGCCUAAUUUGAGACUUAGCACAUGGAGCAUGUGAUGGAAAGCUUUUAAGCACAUGGAACAUGUGCUUUCUUCUCCAAGGCUUAGUCAUAACCGACCUUGGUUAAUUUAGGUGUUCAAAGAACCCUAAUUUAACCAAGGUUGGUUUUUAGGUACCAAAUUUCACCUAAAAAGAAAUUACAAGUAAAAUUUCCUAUUUUACUUUAACAAAAUUAAAUCCUACUUCUUACACUAGAGUUUAUGGCAUUUUAAACACGUACAAGAAGGUUUCUCUGCCAUCAGUAGCAGUAUUUCAAUCAUUUUGAUCCUUCUUGGCCAUGACUCUAGUGGUAGGCCCAAAUCUUCUCUUUGUUGGGCUUGCACUUGGACUUGUCCUUGGGCCUCUUCCAUCAUCCCCUCCCUCUUGAAAAGGAUUUGUCCUCAAAUCCAAUGCUUCUAUUUCUUCUUCUUCAUUACUUCCUACAAAAGGCAUUAAGUCCACAACAUUAAAAGUAUGAUGAACUCCAUAUUCUUUUGGUAAAUCAAGAAUAUAUGCAUUGUUGUUGAUUCUUUUGAGGACUUGGAAGGGUUCGUCACCUUGGGGACUAAGUUUGGACUUCCUCUUAGUUGGAAAUCUAUCUUUCCUAAGAUGAAACCAAAUUAAAUCUCCUUCUUCAAAAAUUAUCUCUCUCUUCCCCUUAUUGUUAUGUUUUGUAUAUUUCUCAGUUUGCUGAUGUAUUUGUUCUUUAACCCUCUCAUGCAUUUUCUUAACAAAUUCAGCUUUUAUUACUCAUUCCUUAUGCACAAAUUCUUGUGGAUUAGGAAGGGGCAACAAAUCUAAAGGAGUAAGAGGAUUAAAUCCAUAAACAACCUCAAAUGGAGAAAUAUUAGUAGUUUUAUUAACUACUCUAUUGUAUGCAAACUCAAUAUGAGAAAGAUACUCAUCCCAAGAUUUAUGGUUGCCUUUCAUGACUGCCCUAAGCAUAGUACCAAGAGAUCGAUUUACAACUUCGGUUUGUCCAUCCGUUUGAGGAUGACAAGAAGUUGAAAAUUCAAUUUGGUUUCAAGUCUUGCCCAAAGGGUUCUCCAAAAAUGGCUUAUAAAUUUUGGAUAUCUAUCGGAGACUAUGCUUCUAGGUAGUCCAUGAAGUCUUACCACAUCUCUAAAGAAAAGUCUAGAGAUAUUAUUUGCAUCAUCCACUUUGUGACAUGGUAUAAAAUGUGCCAUUUUACUAAAACGAUCCACAACCACAAAAAUGGAAUCAGAACCUCUUGCAGUCUUAGGAAGUCCAAGAAUAAAAUCCAUACUAAUGUCUUCCCAUGGAGCACUUGCAAAAGGUAAAGGAGUAUAGAGUCCAUGAGGAAUUGUUUUAGACUUAUCUUUUAAACAUGAUAUACAUCUAAAACAAUGUCUUUGGACGUCUCUUAUCAUAUGUGGCCAAAAGAAUUUUCCUUUUAAAAGCUCUAGAGUCUUAUCAACUCCAAAAUGGCCCAUGAGACCUCCUUCAUGAGAUUCUUUUACAAGAAGUUUUCUAUGUGUUCCUUGAGGUAUACAAAGUUUUCCUUCUUUAAAAAGAUACCCCUCAGACACAAAAUCCUCCUUUUUCUCUAUGUUCUCAUUUAACAAAGAUGGAUGUAAAAUCAUGAUCUUCUUUGUAGAGUUCAAUUAUGUUUUCAAAUCCAAGAAUUUGGGCUCCAAGUUUUGAAAACAGGGCAUGUCUCCUUGAGAGAGCAUCGACCAUAAUGUUUGUACUACCCUUCUUGUAUUUGAUAACAUAAGGAAAUUGUUCAAGAAGUUUCAUCCAUUUUGCAUGUCGUUUGUUCAACUUAUGUUGACCUUUCAAAUAUUUUAAAGGCUCAUGAUCACUAUGAAUGACAAAUUCUUUAGAGACUAGAUAGUGCUCCCAAGUCUUUAAGGUCCUCACAAGUGCAUAAAGCUCUUUAUCAUAGGUGGGGUAGUUGAGAGUGGCUCCAUGAAUUUUUUCGCUAAAGUAAGCAAUUGGAUGUCCACCUUGCAACAACACGACACCUAUGCCUACUCCCGAUGCAUCACACUCUAGCUCAAAAGUUUUUGCAAAAUUUGGUAAAGAUAGAAUGGGUGCAUUAGUGAGUUGAGCUUUUAGCCUCUUGAAGGCUUGAUCUUGCUUCUCGGUCGAACAAAAUGGAGUGUCUUUCUUCACUAACUCAUUGAGUGGCUGAUGUAACCCAAAAAUACAUAAAGAUGACCAAGGAUGUUAUACUUGAAGGGUCAUCUAAAUAAGGAAAUAAGAACUUCAUCAAUAGAAGAAAUGGACGAGGCCCAAAGCAUUUAAAGUUCUUCUUAUUGUCUUCUCAAAAGAUGAGGCCCAAGCCCAAUUAAUAUCUUUUGUAAUAUUUUUAGAAUAGUUUCAAGAUAGAACAUUAAAAGGGAAGUAAUAGGAAAAGUCACUUUUCUAGAAUGAGGAAGUGACUUGAAAAAGGGUGGCAUUUACCUUGUCUUUUCAUAUGCCUUGCCUUUUCAUUUACAAGUGACUCUUCAUGUAUUUUUACCUUUUCAUGACCGGUUCUCUAUGCCUAUAUAAAGAGGAGCCUUGCUUUUGUAAACACAAGUUGAAUCUUUUAGUAAAGAAAGUAUACCAAAUUGGUGUGAGAGAGUUUGUGAGACUAGUUCUCCUCUCUUCUUCCUAGUCUUAUCUUGGGAGAUUCUUGGAACUCUCAAGUGGCGGCAUCCACUCAUCUUGAAGCUUCUCCACCCUUCAAGUGGCGUGAACAUUCCAAGGGUCAUCAACCACAUAAGUUUCUUCUACCUUUUCAUGUUCUUCUUCCAUUUCCAUGUCAAUCAAAACUAUAAAACAUGUGUCUUUGUUGUUCUUGAUGUUUCAAGCAGUAGAAAUGUGUUAGGUUCUGCUUUUAAUUGGUUCAUUGUAAUUUCUCGCUGUUGUAUUCGGUUUAUAUGUGCUUAAUUGAUAUUUCAAUCGGUGCAUUUGUCUCCUUUUCACAAAUCAAUCGGUUCAUGUUCUUCUUAUGGGUUUCUAUGCGGUUUUGGCUUGGUUUUUGUGUUCUUGAAUGAUUAUAGAAUCUUGAUCCAAUUCUUGAAAAUGUCUUUUCAUAUACCAACUCAUAUCAGUGGUGAAGCUAGACUUGAGAAGUUAGGCACAAAUCUUCUAUAAAAGCUUGCUAAUCCAUGAAAACUUCUAACUUCCCCUACAUUUUGUGGAAUUGGCCAUUCUUGGAUGGCUUUGAUUUUUUCGGGGUCAACAUGUACCCCAUUUUUGUUAACUAUAAAUCCUAAAAAUACUACACUAUCAACACAAAAAGUACAUUUAUCUCUAUUAGCAAACAAACUAUUAUUCUUAAGCACUAGGAGAACUUCCCUAAAGCGACUUAGGUGAGAUUCUAAACUUUUGCUAUAUACUAAAAUAUCAUCAAACUAAACUACUACAUAUUUACCUACACAAUCCCUUAAGACAUGAUUCAUUAGCCUCAUGAGAGUGCUAGGAGCAUUAGUGAGCUCAAAAGGCAUCACUAACCAUUCAUAUAGUCCAAAUUUGGUUUUAAAAGCGAUUUCCCACUCAUCACCUUCUUUAAUUCUAAUUUGGUGAUAUCCACUUCUAAGAUCAAUUUUAGAAAAUAUGAUGGACCCAUGCAAUUCAUCAAGCAUGUCAUCUAGUCUUGGAAUUGGAUGCCUAUACUUGAUGGUGAUGUUAUUGAUGGCUCUACAAUCACAACACAUUCUCCACUUGCCAUCUUUUUUGGGCACCAACAAGACAGGUACAACACAAGGGCUUAGGAUCUUUUGAACCCAACCCUUAUCCAACAAAUCAUGCACUUGUGAUUCUGUCUCCUUAGUUUCUUCAGAAUUAGUUCUAUAGGCUGGUCUAUUUGGUAGACUAGCUCCUGGAACUAAAUUUAUUUGAUGUUCAAUUCCUCUAAAAGGGGGAAGUCCACUAGAGCCUUCCUUAGAGAAUAUGUCAUCAAAGUCUUUUAAAAGAUCUUUUACUUGAGGAGGUAGAACACAUGUCUCAGUAAGCGUAGCAAUGCAGGUAAGUGUUCCUUUACAAAGUAGGAGGUUUGAAGGUUCUUCAAAAAGAAGUAUUUUUUCGAUCUUAUUUUCAAAUUUUUCUUCUUCUUUCUGAAUGACCUUGUGGGAAGGAACACUCUUUUCCCAUGCCUCUUUUUCCCUAAGGGUUUUUUCUUGGUUUUUUACUCUAUUUUUCUCUUCCUCUCUUUGUUUUCUCAUUUGUAGUUGGUCCUUUAUCACUUGGGAAAAUGAUAAGGGAUAAAGUACAAACUUCUUUUCUUUGUGAGUGAAAGUAAUCUCAUUGGUAAGACCAUUGUGGUUUUCUUAUCAAAUUGCCAAGGUCUUCCCAACAAAAUAUGACAAGCUUUCAUGGGCACUACAUCACACAAAACUUUAUCCUUAUAGUUCCCCACAGAAAACUCGACUUUCACUUGUUGAUCUACAGUUAAAUCCCCAUCUUCAUUGAUCCAUUGAAGUUUGUAAGGUUUUGGAUGAGGGAUUAACUGUAGAUUCAACUUUUCAACCAUCCUAGCGCUACAACAAUUGCAGCAAGAACCACUAUCCACAAUGAGAGAGCACACAUUUUCAAAAACUUUACACCUUGUGUGAAAUAUGUUCUCCCUUUGUGUCUCUUGGCUCAUACUAGGUUGAUUGUUGAGGGUUCUACGGAUCAUCAUUAAUUCACCCUCACAUGGAUAAGCCCCUUCAUUAUCUUUUUUUUCUUCUUCCCCACUAGCUUCAUUACUUUAGCUGCUAUAUACUGUUGGGUCUAUUAGUGUCUAAGUUCAAGAGGGGAGGGGUGAAUUGAGAUUAUAAAAUUUUCGCAAGACCACACAAUUUUUCAGUAUUCCAGAGGCAAAAAGAACAGAUUGUUUUUACAUGAAACAGAUUGAUUCUUCAGAGCAGUCUUGGCACAAUUUGAAUUUGUUCAAUGUAAAAUUGUGAUCAACAGAGAAUUAUAACAAAAUCAGAUCAGUUUAAUAUUGUGAGGAUGAAGGAUACAGUUAUGCUUAGAAAUCAAGCAAAAUUACUCAACACAAGGUUUUGAGAGGAAUGAUCCUUUCUCAGGUUUUAAUGAAUGGACAGUUUGUUCACAAAUCACUUAAACCAUUAUAUACAGCAGCCUUGUUUAUGAUCAGAGAACUUUAACAAAUCAGGAAGAACAAUUUUCACUUAAACCCAGAAUUAACAGAUUCAAUUUCAAAAGAACAGAUUUAGUUCUUGACAGAAUUAAACAAAAAAAAAAACAGAAAUGAGUGCAGGGACGAGAAGACAAGGCACACAAGUUUUUAUACUGGUUCACUCAUACAGAGCUACAUCCAGUCUCACCUUACCCCAAGGUGGAAUUCACUAAAAAUAGUACCAAUCACUUACAAACACAGCAGUUCUUGAACACUACAAGAACAACACACACAAUGCUGAAAAACCCUAUUUCAGCACACCUUGCACUCCAAGAAACCCUAUCAAGGAGUGACUAACACUUACACCUUUACAAAACAGAAUAAAGGAAAGAUUACACCUGAAAAGAAGAUGCAAGAACCCAAAACCAGUAGUUCAAUUUGCUGCAGAACUGCACCAACACCUUCACCAAGAUCAAAGGUUUCCUAGAACAAGCACACUUGAAAAUCUCUUUGGAAAACCUUUCAAAAAUCUUUCAAUCCUUCUUCUCACAUGGAAAGUGUUUGAUCUCUGUCAAAAACGUAAUUGCUCAGCCCUACUUUCAUGUGAGAGAGACUUUUCUUUAUAUAGAAAACAGUUUCUAACUUCUUUUCAAAAAAAUAGUUGAAAAGCAGUUAUGAAAACAACAGAUUCAUUUUUGAACUUAACAGAUUUAUUUUGUGAAAACCGCCAACUCAACUAACUGAAAUAACUGUCUGAGUUGUAUCUUUGGUGCCCUAACUAACUUGUGAAAAACCUUUCAACUCACCAAAGAAUAAACCUGUUCUUUCUCAGUGAAACAGAUUAAAAUAUAGCAAACAGGCCAGCUCAACUUUAACUGAAAUAACUGUCUAAGCUUUACCUGUGGUGCCCUAACAGAAUUUUAGAAAAGCCUUUUAACAGAGAAGAAAUAAACAGAUUCUUUCUCCAUAAAACAGAUUUAUUUGUGUACUGUUUUAAAGCUGUUAAAAACAUUUUAAAAAGCUUUUCAAAAACCAUUUAACCACAUCAUGUGCUUGAUCUAGACUUGGUUAGGCAUCUAGGAUGGGUUAUUCAGCAAAAGGCAACCUUACACAAUUACAAGCCUAAUUAUAACCGAAUCUAAAACCUAUUACAAUCUUCAAAGCACUCAAGUUAUUUUCUUCAUCAAACACACAUCAAGCCUUGGUAGGGAAGAAGCUUCCUCCAACUUCAACAUAUACAUCCUUACCCCUUUAAGAAUAUAGUUCUCCUAUUUUGGCAUUGGGAAGCUAUAUGACCUCUUCCAAAGCAUUUAAAACAUUUUUUUAUCUCGGCUACGGGAUUGUGGGGUUAUCACUUCUUUAUCUAUAUUUUUGGGAGUUUCCUUAGAUCUUUCCUUUGAAGUUUCCUCCCUUUUAUACUCUCUCUUGGGAUAGGAGUUAGAAUAUGAACCUUCCCUACGACUUGAAGCUUUUCUUAAGUUUUGUUGUUCAACUUUGAUACAGAGUUGAAUUAAAUCAUUCAAGUGUCUAUAUGGUAAAAGUUAAACUCUAUCUCUAAUCUCAAGAUUGAGUCCACUCAAAAACCUUGCUAUGGUAGUGGUUUUAGACUCCCUAAUUGAGGCUCUCAUCAUGUAUAAUUCCAUUGUUUUGCCUAUAUUCCUCUACACUCAUAGUCUUUUGUUGGAGUCUUUGGAGUUUGUCCAUUAACUCCCUAUUAUAAUAGGAGGGAAUAUGGCGGCGUCUUAAGGCUCGUUUUAGUUAGUGAUCUCGGCUCAGCUAGUCCUUUCUUUCGUGAUGAACUGUUGGCUCCCCUAAGAUCAUUCUAAUACUCUAUGGGAGGGUUCUUAUGAAGGUGCCUAUCUUGCUCAAGGGCAGUCCACCAAUACAUAGCAUUACCUUGAAAGCUUAGGGUGGCUAGGGGUACUUUUCGUUCCUCACUCACUCUAUGGGAAACAAACAAUUAUUCUACCUUCAUUUCCCAAUUUAAGUAAGUUUCUACGUUUUCCAUGGAAAUAAGGUAGAUCUACCCUAACCUCCUUUUCUUGUCUUUCUCUUCUAGCUCUCCUAGGGGGUGGUUGAUAAUAGUAAUUAAUCUAAUAUUUUGUUCCCCAAAAGAUUCAUCUCCCCUAGAGCUAGAUGCAUGAGAACUUUUUUUUGAUUUAUUGUUUUCAUCCCUUUCUUUAGCCAAUUUCAAUUCUUUGAGUUGGGACUCAUUUUGCAAUUGUUUAUAUGAAAGUGAUUGAAAGUCUUGUGCUAAUUGUUUCAAAAGAGUUUUAAUAGACUCUCUAUCACUUUCACUAGAAUGAUAAGAAUGAGAAGUCAUGGUUAAAGUUAUGUGUUAAAAGCAAUUUACUAAAAGAAAUAUAGGUGGAGUAAUGUAGGUAGAUUCCCAAGAAAGGGAGGUGGAUCACUUAAGUACCAAGCCUUUCCUUGCCAGAUUCUAUCCUUCAAGACUUUCACAAACCUUUUUCUAAGUAAUUCACUUAGAACACAAUCAAGAAUGAAAACAAUUUUAAGAAAAACAAUGCAAAGCAAUUAAACAAAGCAAAACAAUUAAACAAAACAAAGUAAUUAGAUAAUACAAUUUGAAAAGAAUUGCUAUCUAGUAAGAUUUAAACUAGGCGUAUCCUAAGGUGAGGCUUCUAGGCACUUAGAACCAUUGAAGACACAUUCACCGUCUAUUACGCAAUACAAAGCAAUUAAACACUUAAUAGAAAAAUUUCUAUCUAGAAAGCUUGUAAACUAGACGUUUCCUAGGGCGAGGCUUCUUGGCACUUUGAACCUUUGAAGACACUCUCACCAUAUAAUACGCAAUUAGUCCACCAAUUAUUCAAGAUUUUGCAAGUUACAACUCAAAGAAAAUACAAAGCAAAUUGAAUUGACAAAAAUUUAGAAAUUUUUAUUCUAUGCAAUUCUUCUUUUCUUUUUGUCAUUCCUUCUUUGUGUAAGUGUUUAAACUCACUUGUUGCUGCUCUCUUGCUCAACCUCUCAAGGAUAUUUAACUUUAAAAAUUCAAAACAGCACCUACUAAGUGAUAAAGCUCUCACAAAAAAUGUUAGCUCCAAACUUAACAAGCACCUUUGAAUGAUUUAUCCACCAAGAAAUGAGGUUAACAAAAGUUAAAGCAACAAAAAUUCAAUUUGAAAUUGGAAAACAACAAAGGGAGUUGAUGUAUGACAACUUGAAAGAGUAAUUGAAAAAAUAUUGACAAGCAAACAAAAUAAGGUACUCAACAAAUGGAUAUCACACAAAUUGAACCUAGAGAAUGACACUAGAAUUGGAUUAACAAAAAUCAAAACAAUACUACAUAAUAUUAAGGUGUCAAAAAGCGUGACUUACUUGAUUUAUGUUGAGCAAAUUAUUUCAAAUUUGAAUUUGAAUUUUUAACCACAAAUAGAUCAAGAUAUUAACUAACUUUUGGCGUUGGAAUCACCAAUUAAUUGUGAUAAAAUUUUCAAAUAUGAUGAUGCUUCACCAUUUUUUUUUCGCGCCAAAAUUGCACACUGAUUGUAUUUGAUUUAUCAUUUUUUUUUCUAUUUUGAAUUUCGCUUCACUUUUUUUUUCACUUUUUUUCUAACACUUCAAACUAUUGAGAUCCAUAAUUUCAUAAUUUUUCUCCAACGAAUUUUAAUUUCAUAAACAAAAACAGCCAGCACAGAAUAAAAAACAGAGGAAGCCUAAUUCUGGAAUUAAAAACAGUUUUAAGAAACUUCAAAAACACAAUAGAAUUAAUGUAUAAUAAGUCGUGUGGAUCUAGCACACAAAUAUGAACUCAAAUCUUAAAAUGCACCAAAGGAUCAAACAAAAAAUUAUAAAUAUGGACUCAAAAAGAAAAUCAAUGAACCAAAAUUAUGAAGAAAAGUACUACAUAAAAGUGUUGACAAUUUAGGAGAAACAUGACUUGACAAAACAUCUAUGGAUUCAAAAAUCAAAAUGACUCAAACACAACAAUAUGAACCGAUUAAAAUUGCAAGAAAGACUCAAAUCUAGCAAAAUUAAAACAGCAACACCAAAACUCAAAGGAAUCCUACACAAAAUUGAAAUUAGAAGCUCAAGAACAAUUUGAACACAUUGCACUGAUUGGAUUUAUCCAAACAGCAUCUAAAACAGUUAAAAUGCAAAAACAACAAGACAAUCAAGGAUACAAGAUGAACAACACGAAAUUAUAAAGAACAACACAAAAUUAAAAUGAGAAGAAGAAGACACAUUUAGCUCUUGAAGAACCUAGGCUCAUGAUACCACUUGAUGGAGGUGUGCCUUCAUCCGUAGCUUUUCUUUACUGGAAUUGGCGGAAGCAUUCAUGGAAGAAGACGAGCAAGGAACUCAUGAAGAAUGGUGGACUCCUUGAAGGUGCAUGCUAAGUGUGGAGAGUGAGUGGUGAGGCUAUCUCACUUGGCAAAGAUGAAGAAUGAAGAUUAAAAUGUCUAUCCUAGAGAGGUAGGAGACAAGGAGCAAAAUUGGCACAAUUUUGGCAGCAAUUUGCUCGAGAAUAAUCUUGCUAUUUCAUGACCCAAGCACCUCCUUAUAUAGGAUUGGAGGGUCGGAAUUGGAAGAGUCAAAUACAAAUGAAAUACAAGCUAAAUCAAAUGUGAAGCAUUUGGCGCCUAAUUUGAGACUUAACACAUGGAGCAUGUGAUGGAAAGCUUUUAAGCACAUGGAACAUGUGCUUUCUUCUCCAAGGCUUAGUCAUAACCGGCCUUGGUUAAUUUAGGUGUUCAAAAAACCCUAAUUUAACCAAGGUUGGUUUUUAGGUACCAAAAUUCACCUAAAAAGAAAUUACAAGUAAAAUUUCCUAUUCUACUUUAACAAAAUUAAAUCCUACUUCUACACUAGAGUUUAUGGCAUUUUAAACAUGUAGAAGAAGGUUUCUCUGCCAUCAGUAUCAGUAUUCCAAUCUUGUUGAUCCUUCUUGGUCAUGGCUCUAGUGGUAAGUCGAGGUCUUCUCUUUGUUGGACUUGCACUUGGACUUGUCCUUAGGCCUCUUCCAUCAAAAUUAAUAAUAAAAUAAAAUUUUAAUACAAAAUAUUUAGUUAUUUAUAAUAAACAAAUUAAUGGUUAUAAAUAUAAUAAUAUUAUUUACAUUUAAUAUAAAAUUAUUUUCUAAUUAUAAUUUUUAUAUAAGAAUAUUUAAAUUAUUUAUUUCUACAUAAUAGUUUAUAACUUUUACAUAUAUUCAUAAUUUUUCGUGUAAAUUAUUUUUUGUCAAGUAACUCGUAUUUUUUUUCGAAAAUAAUUAUUCAAUGUUAUUGGAAAUAACUUACAUAAUUUUAAUUAACCUAAAUCUACAUAAAAAUACAUAAUAUUUGGUUAUUCUAUUUUUUUGAAACAAUGGUAAAUUUAUAAUCUUAUAAUUUACAUCUUUCAGAAAAUCAAAAUACCCUCACAACAAUGACAUCACUCACAAACUUCAAUAGAUUUUUUUCACAAAUUCACUCUAGCAUACUCCAAUCUAAACACAACGACUUUCUUCAUACUUUUCUCUCAAAUCUUUACACAUUCACUCUCUCAAAUCCUCACACUUCCCCUCCUCAAUUUAAACACAACUUAAAAAUUAUUGUUUUAAUUAGUUAACCAAUUGGACUAGAACUCGUGAGUAACAAACAUGGGUCUCAAUAGGCUGCAAUCACCAGGUAUUUUGUAACAGGAAAAAAGAGUGAUUUUGACUAAGAUAGAAAUUAAAGGAAAUAUUUUAUUUAUUAAUUUAUAAUAUAUAUAUAUAUAUAUAUAUAUAUAUAUAUAUAUAUAUAUAUAUAUAUAUAUAUUUAUUAUAUAUAUAUAUAUAUAUAUAUAUAUAUANNNNNNNNNNNNNNNNNNNNNNNNNNNNNNNNNNNNNNNNNNNNNNNNNNNNNNNNNNNNNNNNNNNNNNNNNNNNNNNNNNNNNNNNNNNNNNNNNNNNNNNNNNNNNNNNNNNNNNNNNNNNNNNNNNNNNNNNNNNNNNNNNNNNNNNNNNNNNNNNNNNNNNNNNNNNNNNNNNNNNNNNNNNNNNNNNNNNNNNNNNNNNNNNNNNNNNNNNNNNNNNNNNNNNNNNNNNNNNNNNNNNNNNNNNNNNNNNNNNNNNNNNNNNNNNNNNNNNNNNNNNNNNNNNNNNNNNNNNNNNNNNNNNNNNNNNNNNNNNNNNNNNNNNNNNNNNNNNNNNNNNNNNNNNNNNNNNNNNNNNNNNNNNNNNNNNNNNNNNNNNNNNNNNNNNNNNNNNNNNNNNNNNNNNNNNNNNNNNNNNNNNNNNNNNNNNNNNNNNNNNNNNNNNNNNNNNNNNNNNNNNNNNNNNNNNNNNNNNNNNNNNNNNNNNNNNNNNNAAUUUUAUUAAUAUUAUUUAAAUUAAUAACAUUAUUAAUUAUUGCAAUAAUGUUAUUAAUAUUAUUAACAUUAUUAAAUAUUAUUAAUAUUAUUAAUUAUUAAUAACAUUAUUAAUUAUUACAAUAAUUUUAUUAAUAUUACUAACAUUAUUAAAUAUUAUUAAUAUUAUUAAUUAUUAAUAACAUUAUUAAUUAUUACAAUAAUCUUAUUAAUAUUACUAACAAUAUUACAAUAAUUUUAUUUUUAAGUAAUUCAUAUGAAAUGACAAAAUAUUCUAUUGUAUUAAUAAAAUGAAAUAUAUUAUAUAAGGGUAGAAUCGAAAAGGUUUGUAAACAUCAAAAAAAGGUUAUAAUAAUGGACAAUUCACUUUAUAUAUAGGUAUAAAUUAUUAUUAUUAUUAUUAUUAUUAUUAAUAUUAUUAAAUAUUAUUAAUAUUGUUAAUAUUGUUAAUAUUAUUAAUAUUAUUAAUUGUAUUAAAUAUUAUUAAUAUUAUUAAAUAUUAUUAAUAUCAUAAAAUAUUAUUAAUAUCAUAAAAUAUUAUUAAUAUCAUUAAAUAUUAUUAAUAUCAUUAAAUAUUAUUAAUAUCGUUAAAUAUUAAUAAUAUGAUGAAAUAUUAAAAAUAAUAUUAAAUAUUACUAAUAUUUUUAAAUAUUACUAAUAUUUUUAAAUAUUACUAAUAUUUUUAAAUAUUACUAAUAUUUUUAAAUAUUACUAAUAUUUUUAAAUAUUACUAAUAUUUUUAAAUAUUACUAAUAUUUUUAAAUAUUACUAAUAUUUUUAAAUAUUACUAAUAUUUUUAAAUAUUACUAAUAUUUUUAAAUAUUACUAAUAUUUUUAAAUAUUACUAAUAUUAUUAAAUAUUACUAAUAUUAUUAAAUAUUAUUAAGUAUUACUAAUAUUAUUAAAUAUUAUUAGUAUUAUUAAUAUUAUAAAUACAUUAAUGAUAUUAAUAUUAUUUAUAUUAUUAAUAUUAUAAAUAUAUUAGUGCUAUUAAUAUUUUUUUAUUAAUAUUAUUAUUACUAAUAUUAUUAAUUUUAUUCAUGUUAUUAAUAUCAUUAAUAAGAUUAAUAUUACUAAUACUAUUAAUAUUAUUAGUAACUAGCGGGAACACAGGCACUCACGUGCCUGUAUAUCCGCAUUUUUCAUUUUUACUAUUUAUAUAUUCAUAUAAUUUUAAUAAAUAUUAAAUUAUAUGAGAAGAUGUGUAAAUUAUCUAAAUGCAUCAUUGAUAAUAGUUUUAUUAAGAUUUGAUGUUAAUUUUUUAUAUUUUCAUUUUAUUGUUUUUGAAUAUUAAAUUUUGAUUUAACUUGGGUGUAAUCUUGAACUUUGUAAGGUUAUCAAGAUUAAAAUUAAGGUUUAAAAAAAUGGACCAGCAAACAAUGUCAAAACAUAAUGCAAAUGGUUGUAUGUUGGAAGUUGUAGAAUCUAUCACCAUAUCAAUUGAAUUCACAUCUUCCAUGGCAAAGAAGUGGAAAAAAAAUAAAAUAAUAAACUAAAUACAAAUUACCAAACUUCCAACUUAUGUAAUAUCUAAUAGAUCAAAGCACCAGUAGACAUAAAAACUUUGCCCGCAAAGCUGGGCUUAGGAUUCAUACAAAAAUAUAAAAUAAUUAAGAAAGCAAUAGAAACAAAAAUGUUCAAAUCCUAUAACAAUGAGACACGUCUCUGCUUCGAACGCUUUGGGAAGUGCGAGAAGGAGGAAGCAAUGGUGGUUGUUGUUGUACAGUGGUGAUUGAAGAGGGACUAAGAUGGGUGAGAGUAGGAGAAGAACAUGGAGCGUGAAGGAAGAAGGUUCAAAAUGUGUCAAAAUUUAUGAGCAUUUUUUUUUUGGAUGUAACGGGUGAAAACUACUCCUUAUAAGGAAGUGGAAGAAAGUGGGAUAACCGCUCAACUACUCCUUAUAAGGGAGUGAAUGUAACGGGUGAAAACUACUCCUUCACAAGAAAGUGGAUGUAAAUGGUGACGGUGAAAACUACUGAAGAAAGUGGUAACCGCUCAGUAAUAAUCAAAUUGUUGUCACUGCUCACAUUUCCUAAUAUUUAUUUCUCUCUCAUAAAACAAACACUCCCUCUCAUUAUGCAAUUAAUUUUCAAAAUAAAUUAUCUCUUUCAAUUCAAACGGUUGCUCCAUUUAUUUCAAAUAUUUUAUUAAAUUUAUUUCUCUCUCAUACAACAAACACUCUCUCAUUAUGCAAUUAAUUUUCAAAAUAAAUUAUCUCUUUCAAUUCAUAACCACUCCUCCACCUCUCUCUCAAUUCAUAACCGUUCCUCCACCUCUCUUUCAAUUCAUAACUGUUCCUCCACAUCUCUUUCAAUUCAAAACCGCUUUUCCACCUCUCUUUCAAUUCAAAACCGUCCCACUACGUAUACCAAAUAUUGUAGAAAAAAUAAGAAAGGGACCAUAAUACAAUAAUAAAAUUAAAUAUUAAUAUAAGGAUAAAAUGGGAAAAAAAUUAAGAGCAGUUAAGAGGGGAAUAAGAAAUGACACAAUGACCAUAAUACAAUAAUAAAAUUAAAUAUUAAUAUAAGGAUAAAACAGGAAAAAAAAUUAAGAGCAAUUAAGAGGGGAAUCCCCUUUAUAUAUAGGUAUAGAUAAUAUUAUUCAUAUUAUUUAUAUUAUUAAUAUAAUACUAAUAAUAUUAUAUAUAUUAUUUUAUUUAUUAUUAUUAAUUUUAUAAUAUUAAUGGUUCUCGUCGGUUGAUUUUUUCACCAGUUGACUUUUUGUCGGUUGACUCUGGUGAUAAGCUUUAGCUCCGGUCUGUCUUCUCUGUGCUAGACUUUAAACUAGAGGGGGGAUGAAUGUUUUAAAGAGGGUUUUCGCAAACUUUUAAGUAUAGAAUGAAAUUACUUUGAGAAAACUUGAUUAAGAAUUCAGUUUGUCAAAAACACAAAGCAAUUUAGCACAACACUAGAAAAACAUUCGGUUGUUUCGCAGAAACAAUCGGUUGUUUAUACUAGUUCACAAAUAUAAACUGAAAUUAAAGAUUUCAAGGGUUCGAGAGAUUGCACACACAGGUUUAUACUGGUUCACUCUUAAACCAAGAGCUACAUCCAGUCUUCCCAGAAACCACUGGGGAAUCCACUAAGCAAUCAACCCUAGAUUACUUACAACACCACCAAAGAAGUGACCUUGAUCCCCUCAAGACACACACUUCCUUUGGCUCAGCACAAACACCACCAAGAAUGCUGAUCUUGACAACCUCAAGAGCACACAACACUUCUUAGCUUCACACACAGAGUUUACAGAAGGUACAAAAGGAUUACACUUGUUACAGAAAAGAUCUGAAAUCAAUACAAGAUGAAAAUCCUAUAUCACACUCUCUUGAUCAAAGCAAUCUUCAACUCUUCAAAAGAAAAACCAGUGAAAAACUUCAAAACCUUAUUGUACUGGACCAGAGCACUGGGCUCGGUGCUUAGGUGAUCGGACAUCGGCACCUGUGUGGAGCAGGUUAGCUUGGUGAUCUGGUCGAGUUAAUGGGCCAGUGGAACCCAAGAAUGCGUGUGUUAAAACCCGUAUAUAUGUAAGGCCUAAUCAGCGAGAAAGUGCAUGUGGUGUGUAUUUGGGUCUAGCACAAGUAAAUAUCCCCUAAAGACGCCUAGGCCCAAGAGCGCUAGGGUUUUCAGGGGUAAGCUGCAUGCAUGAUACGUAAAGGUUAGAGCGCCUACAGUGACAGAUGGGCCCCAUGAUGCUGGUAUAUGAGUUGGUACCCUGACAGCCAUGUUGUUAAGAUUAUGCACUCCAAAGAGGAAGAUUUUGCGCGAUUGUUACACUAAGAUUGUGUGACAUUAUAACAGAAUGCCCUCCCAUCAUACCUGCUUUCACUUGAGAUAAAGUCUCGUGAGAGAAGGGUUGUUACAAUGAAGUAACCUAAAAGUAGUCUAUAAAAGGGACUCGAGAUCCCUAGUAAAGGUACACCGUUUCUAAUGAAACUACUUGCUUACUUACUCAUUGUUUCUUAGCCCAGUACUGAAUUGAUUGUCGGAGUGCAAUCAACAGGUAGGGCCCCCUCUGUUUCAAAUGGAGCCGCAUUCCAACGUCCCCGGGAAAGAGCAAAUCCAGCAGAGGCAAACAGAGUCACAACCUACUCUCAGAGUCAACCGACUACUAGGUCAACCCACAAGAACAUUUGGCACCCACCGUGGGGCCUGAUAAAACUAGGUCCCAUCCACAGUUGUGAUCAGAGCUAUCAGGCGAUAUGAGGAAUACAAGACAAGGCACCGCUGGACAGGAAGAAGGCGACAACGUUACCAUGCAAUAACUCAUGGAAACUAUCCACACUCUUCAGUAGACAGUGGAGGCAUCCAAGGCUGAUUAGGAAAGGGUUUUGGUUGAGGUUCGAGCUAAGCAGGCACUUAGGAAAGACCAAUUCAGGGUCGAGUUGGAUGCGUCGCGGACAGACAACGAAGAUUUACGCAUGGCCAAUAGGAUUUGCGGAGAGAUUUGCAAUGCUUAGGGGAACACACGGUAGGGGAGCAAAACCCGCCUAUCCCAGUCAGGGCUUGCCCCAUGCCAUUCUCCCAAGCGAUCAUGAAUGUCGUGAUACCUACCAAUUUCAUGACCCCAAAAAUCACUUUCACAGGUACUGAAGACCUGGAGGCCCACAUCACAACUUUCCACACUCAGAUGAUGAUCUCGGGAGGAACAGACGCCAUGCAUUGCAAGUUAUUUAUGGGAACGUUCGUAGGCAGAACAUUGGAUUGGUUCAUCAGUCUCCCCGAUGGACACAUCACCUCGUUUGAUCAAUUCUCUACAUUUUUCAGGGAGCAGUUCAUUGUCAACAGUGCUCCACCCCCUGUCUCUUUCGACCUCUUUGAUGUGAAGCAAUACCAGGGAGAGCCCCUUAAGGACUUCCUGAAUCGGUUUGGGGCGCUGGUUGUAAAACUACCAAGGAUGAAGCUAUGAUGGUGCAUGCCUUCAGGCGGGGAAUUUUGUCAGGGCCCUUCAGCGACUCUUUAAUAACGUGUCAACCAAAGACGUUUAGCGAGAUUCGGCACCGAGUUGUUGCUCACAUCUGCACAGAGGAAUAGGAAACAAAAAAACGUGGAAGCGUUGGACCGACAAGACCUCGGGAGAGCGGUCGUGCUCAACCCAUAAGUGAUGGAGAUCAAGAUCAAGACCAAAUGUAGGCCAAUACUCAAGGACAAGAAGAGGAAGAGGCUCAAGUGUUAGACGCUCAAAGAGUUGGUAGCCCACCUCAAAGGCUUACAAGAAGUCAAUUCAAGGCAUUAGGAAAUAAUGGAAUGUUGUUUUCUCUUUUUGUAAUAUCUUUGUGUUAGAAGGUGCUUAGAGGGAAACAUAAGACACCUCUUUUGUAAAAGCAUCUUUAGGUCUUUAGUUUAGGAAAAAAAUAGGAAGCUUGGGGGGUGUGAGCUUAGUAGAGGGGUGUAGGCGUAAUAGGGAGGUGCCAAACUAAGAAAAGAAGUCACACCUUCCUCAUGCUCUAAGUUGGCGCCACUUUUAUGUCAUUUGGGGGGUAAUUUGAGUUUAAUUAGCUUUUCAUUUCAGCACCUCUUAGGCUAUAAAUAAAGGUGUUUGCCUUUGUAAAAUUCAGAUUGGAAAUUGGAAUUAGAGAAACUCUACUCAAUUUGAGAGAGAAUUGUGAGAACUUGUCUUCUCCUUCACCUUGUCUUAUCUUGAGUGCAUUUGGUUCUCUCAAGUGGCGGCACUAGCUCACUUAUCUUGGAGCCUUCACCAUCCAAUUGGUGUGAUCAUCAAACCAAGUCCUUCAUCUCCAUAAGUUCUUCUUUCUUUCAUCUCCUAGCUCAUUUGAAUCUAAAACAUGUCUUAGUUUACUUUUCUAGCAUUUUCAUUCGGUAUUCUAGCUUGUUUCUGAAUUUGCUUCGGUUCAUCUUCUCCUUGGCUGUUCCUAUUUGAUUCUUCUUCAUUUCUUGCAUUUUGUUCGGUUCAAUUUCAGCAUUGUAGCUUUCUAUUCGGUCCUUUUUCUUUUAUACACAAUUUAAUCGGUUCAAUUGGCAAUAGAUGGAUCUUCCAUAUGAGUUUGGUGUUUGGUGCAAGUUUUGGUGAGUUCUUAAAACAUAGAACAUUGAUCCAAUUCUAUUAAAAGUGCCUAAGCUAUCUCCAACUCAAGUUGAUUCCAUAGAAUGUCAAAGAAUCAUCUCUAUUUGGCUAGUGGAAUCAUAUCAUGUGGUAUCUAGAAUUUAGGUUUGUUCUUGUUUAAUUUUGAGUUGUGUUGCACUUUAAUUCAAGAGCUCUAUAAUUCUUGUUGUUUACCUUUCUGUUUUUAGGCUUAUUUUGAGUUUUAUUGCUGUUUUCUUAAUUGUGCCUAUCAUGUGUUUGUGUAUUUUCCUUUUUGAAUCCAUACAAGUUUUGUCAUAGUCAUGUUUUUCCAAGAAUGUCAUCACUUCUUGUAGUACUUUUAUUGAAUUUUUUGUUUCUUGCUUUGGUGUAAUACAGUUUUCUGAGUUUGAUACUUGAUCCUUUGUGCAUUUUCUGUUUUAGUUUUGAGUUCAUACUUGUAUUUUAGAUCUAUACAAGUUCCUAUACAUCAUUUCCAUUAUGUCUUUGCUAGUUCUUAAUUCUGUUUUUCAUUCCUGUUAGGAUUCCUCUGUUUUUCUGAAAACGUGCUCACUGUUUCGAUUUAUUGCAAUUGAUUUACUCACUGGAAAUUUCUGAAAUUAUGGAUUUGUGUUCUUUAAAGUGUUAUAAAAGAGUAGAAAAAAGAAGUACUUAAAAAUUCCAAGUACAAAAAAAAUGAUAAAUCAAAAACAAAAAGUAACCGCCCAAACAUGCGCCCUACGAGCCGAAAAAGCAUUAGACUAGGGCAUGAGCGAAGGGAGACAUGCCUUGUCGACACAAGUUCAGAAUAAAACUCAAGGAGCUUAUCGCUAUCCCAGACGUGGCCGACAAGCUAAAGCCACCCCCAAAGAGUGACAAGAGAUUGGGGCCAAGCAGGGGCACCUGGUGCGAGUUCCACAAGGCCUUUGGGCAUGACUUGCAAAACUAUUUGGCACUUGGAUACUAAUUGGCUAAUUUGGUGAAGAAUGGAUUCCUGAAGGAAUACUUAGAGGAAGGUCAUGAAGCCUCAACGGUGGUGACCUUAGCAGGGAUCAGGGACACAAAGUACCAUUCCAUGGCGAGGUUAACACGAUCUUUGGGGGGUUUCUCAUGAGGAGGAUGCACCACCUCCCAGCGAAAGAAGUAUGUUAUAAGGGUGAUGGCAAUAGAAGCACGGGAACCUGACCAGUCACCUGAGCCCGACCUCUACUUCACGAAGGCUGAUUUACAGGAUGUGGUCCCACAUGAUAAUGACCCAGUGGUAAUUUCAGUGGUGAUAGUAGGGAGAAGGGUACACCGAGUCCUCAUCGACCAAGGGAGCUCGACAUAUGUAAUGUUUUGGUCGACCUUCAACAAAUUGGAGUUGUCGCCCGACCAACUGAGACCUUAUGACGGCUGUUUGUACGGUUUUGCUGGAGACCAGGUAAAAGUAAGUGGGCACGUGGAGCUAAGGACGACCUUCACAGACAACACCACGUCCCGCACCGUCAAUAUCAGGUACCUUGUCAUCAACUUACAACAUCCUUUUGGGAAGACCUACCCUGAAUAGGAUAUGAGCGGUGGCCUCAACGAGGCAUAUGAAGAUGAAGUUGCCUUCCCUCGAGGAAACGAUAAUUACCAUUAAGUCUGACCAAAAGGCGGGAAAUAAAUGCUAUGUGAAUAGCUUGAAGACGAACAUAGAGGUGUGCUCGAUCACCAGCCAGCCUUAGGAGGGAGAAGGGAUCACCCGUGUAGAGAUGGGUUGGGAGAGGCGACCUAAGCCUGUAGGUGAGGUGCUGGAAAGGGAGAUCGGGAGAAAGAAGUUUAAGCUUGGCAAAUCUUUAGGCCAGGAAAUACAGGACCAGAUCGCCGAGGUAAUAACACGACAUUUGGACGCCUUUGCGUGGUGUGCCUUGGACAUGCCCGACAUCGACCCUGAUUUCCUAUGCCAUCAUCUCACGAUGGAUCCAAAGGUCAAGCCUGUUUGCUAGAGGCAGAGGAAGUUCAAUGACGAAAGAUGCCUGGUCAUGAGGCAAGAGACCUAGAAGCUGCUGAGUGCGCCACAUAACGGAGAUCCAAUACCCUGAGUGGUUAGCAAACAUGGUGUUGGUCAAGAAGACCAACGAAAAGUGGAGGAUGUGCGUCGAUUUUACGGAUUUGAACAAGGCUUGUCCAAAGUAUUCAUAUCCGUUGCCCAACAUUGACACACUAGUGGAUAACGCGUCAGGUUGCAAACUUCUCAGUUUUCUGGAUGCCUUCUCAGGAUAUAACCAAAUUCGGAUGCAUCCCCAAGACGAAUGCAAGAAAACAUUCAUGACAGAGCUCUCCAGCUAUUGUUAUACGGUGAUGCCCUUUGGGCUAAAAAAUGUCGACGCGACCUAUUAGAGGCUGAUGGACAGGGUUUUCGCCCCUAUGAUAGGGCAAAACGUGCAGGCAUAUGUGGAUGAUAUGAUCAUCACCUCCCAGGAGAAGGACCAACACAUUGCCGACUUAGAGGAGCUAUUCACCACAAUAGCCAGGUAUAAAUUGAAGUUAAAACCCGAAAAGUGCGUAUUCGGGGUAGAGGCAGGGAAUUUCUUAUGAUUCCUCCUCACCGAGUGGGGAAUAAAGGCGAACCCCGAGAAAUGUGCGACGAUCAUAGCUAUGAGAAGCCUGACCUCGGUGAAGGAGGUACAACAAUUGACGGGGCGAAUGGCCGCUCUGUCCCGAUUUGUAUCUGCAGGAGGAGAUAGAGGGCAUCCCUAUCUCCUGUGUUUGAAGAGGGACAACCGAUUUGUGUGGACAAACGAGUGUGAAGAAUCGUUCCUCAAGCUGAAGAAGUACCUGUCCAGCCCGCCAGUUCUGUGCAAGCCGCUGCCAGGUACUCCCCUCCGUCUGUACUUUGCUAUUACAGAACGAGCGAUCAUAGUCCAGGAGCAGGAUUGCAUCCAAAGGCCUAUAUAUUUUGUUAGCAAAGUGCAGCAGGGGCCCGAAGUGCGCUAUCAGGCCAUUGAGAAGGCGGCUCUAGCAGUAGUAUUUGCAGCACGAAGGCUUCGCUACUAUUUCUAGAGCUUCACGGUGAUCGUGAUGAUCGACCUUCCCAUCCGUAAGGUCUUGCAGAAACCUGACGUGGCGGGACGGAUGGUGUGCUGGGCGGUCGAGCUGUCAGAGUUUGAUUUGCAGUAUGAGACGAGAGGACCUAUCAAGGGUCAAGUUUAUGUUGACUUCUUGGUAGAACUCUCCUUGGCAACCACACACCAAGACAAUGGAGAUUUCCAAUGGGUCCUUUCUGUGGACGGGUCCUCUGAGCAGUGAGGCUGGUAUCAUCCAUGAGGGACAAAACGGGCUACUAAUCAAGCAGGCCCUACGAUUUGCUUUCAACUCUAGCAACAACCAAGCUGAAUAUGAGGCCUUGGUGGCAGGAAUGUUGCUAGCCAAAGAGAUGGCUGCCCGAAGUUUGUUAGUGAAGAGUGACUCACUACUGGUAGUCGGGAAAGUUACGGGCGAGUACUAGGCCAAGGACCCUAGAUGGCCGCGUAUCUAAAGUGUGUCAUGCUCCUGAAAGAGGCGUUCACUGCUUUUGAGUUGGGCACAUUCCCAGGGAACAAAAUGCCCGAGCUGACUUACUGGCAAAGCUCGCCAGCUUAGGCAGGGGGGUCGACAAAGGAAAAUUACCCAGGAAACCUUAAAAGUCCCCAGGACCACCACAGGCGGCGUGGAAGAGGUCCAGCAGGUAAGUGCCUUCGAGGGCGGAAGGAGAGGUCACCGGUCGUUGACCCAGGAAACAUUGAGGGUACCUAAGAUAAGUGCAUAUGACUUGUCAGUGGGAGAAUCGUCGCAUGUUUGCCUGGUCGACGAAGGUGAAACCUGGAUGACACCCUAUAGGCGUUACCUGGCGAAUGGUCUACUCCCACAGGAGCCAACGGAGGCCAAAAUCGUUAAGAAGAAUGCAUACAGAUAUACCUUGGCUGAUGGAAAGUUGUUCAAGCAUGACUUCUCUCACCGUAUCCUGUCCUGUGUGAGUGGUGAGCAGUGCACACGUAUCAUGACUGAGCUCCAUGAAGGUAUCUGUGGGAGUCACAUCGGUGGACGAGCUCUCUCAUCAAAGGCUAUUCGAGCAGGAUAUUACUGACCGACCAUAAGGGAGGAUUGCACGAGGUACACACAAUGGUGCAAACAGUGCCAACAACACGCCAACUAGCAUCAUGCGCCCCCGGAGGCGUUGCGAUCGAUCCAUAGCCCAUGACCUUUCCACACAUGGGGGAUUGACAUCUUGGGUCCAUUUCCCUUAGAAGUUCGCCAAAUGAAGUACCUGGUGGUAGCCAUCGAGUACUUCACCAAGUGGAUAGAAGCUGAGCCUAUGGCACAAAUCACAACUCACAAGGUUCAACACUUUGUAUGGAAGAACAUAGUUUUCCGUUUUGGAAUCCCAAAGCAUGUAGUGUUUGACAACCACACCCAUUUUGCAAGUCAGCAGCUAGGCAAACUAUGCACAGAGCUCGACAUCAAACAGGUGUUCGCCUCGGUAUAACACGCCUAGACGAAUGGACAGGUCGAAUAUGCUAAGUGAGUCAUGCUCAGAGGCCUAAAGAGGAGACUGGAGAAAGCCAAGGGAACUUGGGCAGAUCUGGUUCCUAGAAUUGUAUGGGCCUAGCACACCAUUCCUCAAUCCACCACCAAAGAGACGCCUUUUAGCCUAGUGUAUGGGUCAAAUGCUCUGAUCCCCGUCAAGAUCCAUGACAGUUCACCUCGAUUCCAGAACUUCGUGAUUGAGGAGAAUAACGAGGAAAUGAGGGUAAACUUAGAUCUGCUCGACAAGGUCAGAGAGGAAGCACGCAUCAAGACCGAAGCCUUGAAGAGAAGGGUGGAGUAUAAGCAGAAGUCCAAGCUAAAACCUCGGCAGUUCCGGGUCGCCGACUUGGUAAUGCGAAAGGCUCACCCCUAUCAGUUGGAGAACAAGUUGUCUCCUAAGUGGAUUGGCCCAUUCCGUGUGAUAGAGGUGCUCGGUAACGGAGCGUAUAGACUCGAGAACUUGGAAGGCGAGAUCAUUCCUCGAACAUGGAAUGAGGCUAAUCUUAAAUUUUAUUUCAGUUAAUUAUGCUAUUGUAUGCAGUACGAACGUUUAAGGCGACACUCUUUUCCCCUUAUCAGGGUUUUUUAAAUAGGUCUCCCAAUAAAAGUUAUUUGAAAACUAUGCUUGCAGUAUAUCGUGCUAACAGUGAAAUAUCCCCUUGGUAAGAUUCCAAGAGUGGGAACAGUAGAGUUCAUAGCGAACCUCCCCCUAGUAAGAUUCCAAGAGUGGGAACAAUAGGGUUCGUAAGCGAACCUCCCUUUGGUAAGAUUCCAAGAAUGGGAACAAUAGGUUUCAUAAGCGAACCUCCCCCUUGGUAAGAUUCCAAGAGUGGGAACAGUAGGGUUCAUAGCGAACCUUGUUCAAGAUGGGAAGCUUUGAUGUGCAAAAUCCUCAUGAAGGCUGAAGCUGUGUGAUGUUUAAGGUUUAGGUUUUGGUUUGGGGUUUAGAAUCUUUGUAAAGAUCAGUUUUGAAUCUCAGACAAAGCUCAUUUCAACCAGUUUUAAAGAUUAAAGUGUUUUUCCAUGCAAAGGGAAAAACAACCGAUUAAAGUUUCGAAAUAAUCGGUUGUGUUUAACUUAGCUGGCAAAUAAGGUUUUGAAACUGUUUUAUAACUGACAAGAGCAUUCAACCGGUUAAAUCGUGGUUUUAACCGAUUAAAUGUAUGUCCUUGCAACAGCUUUUUGAAAAUCUAUUUUAAUUGAUUUGGUUGUUUUGAUUUGCUUCAACGUUAGCAUUUCAAGUAUUAUAAAUAUGUUUUUGAUUCAAACGUUUAAAGAUUGAUGAAAUAAAAACUUUAGAUACUCUGAGUUGAGAUUGAUUUGAAAGAUUACAAAACUGCUUGUGAAAAGGUUUUUCAUCAAGUUUUAACAAGAUUGCUUUGUGCUUUGUUGUGGUUCAAAGAACUGAUCAUUAGGGUGCUAGUGUAUUGUGUUGUACCAGGUGUUUUCUAAUCCUGUUCAAGUUCUUGUAAUUGUUCAUAUAACAUUCUGUAUAACUGUGUGAAAUCCUGUAAAGUUAGUGUAAUUCUGGCUUGAGGUGUGUGUUGUGUGUAAGGAGGGUGAGUAGGCUUUGUGGGAUUCAAAGUCACCUCUUUGUGUGUGGUGUUUGUGUAAUCUGUGAUCGGUUGCAUAGUGAAAACUCAGUGAUUUGACUGAGGACUGGAUGUAGCUCUAUGAUAGAGUGAACCAGUAUAAUCUCUGUGUGUAAUUCUCUCUAUCCCUUCUCUCUAUAUUUGUUUGUAUUUUUCCGCUGUCAUAAACAACCGGUUAAAUCACUAUUUUAACCGAUUAAAAUUCUGCUUCUGUUUCUGUUUGGUAAUUUGAUUAGCUUUCUGAAUUGCUUUUCUGGGUUGAUUGAAAAAGUUUUAUUCUAAGCCAAGUAUUUGUAAAAAUAGUUUGAAAACAAUUCAUCCCCUCUUGUUUUAGCCAUCAAAUCUAACAAUUGGCAUCAAGAGCAAGGUUCUUGAAAGUUAUUCAAGUUUUUUGAUUUCUGGUUUUUGAAAAUCUUGAUGGCUGAUAAAUUUUUUUUGGGGAAGGUGCCUCUUUGAACAAACAACCUUUGUUCUAUGGUCAAAACUAUCCUAUUUGGUGCAUAAGAAUGAAAUUCUUUAUUCAAUCCUUAAAUAAGAAUAUUUGGAAUGUUAUUUCAAAUAAUACCUAUGUGCAUAUGCCUGAAAUUAAUGAAUCUUGUAAAUAACAUCUUGACUGUAUGGCACAACAUAUUAUUGUGUCUGCUCUAGACUCUGAUGUACUGCUCAAGAUUUUAGAAUGCACUACAGCUAAAGGAAUGUUGGACAAACUUGAGGAAUUGCACAAGAAUCCAAGGAGUGACUUGGUAGAUAAAGAAGAGUCAUCUGCUGGCUCAAUCUCUUCUAAAAAUAAAGUGGAAGUCUGCUUAAUGACCAAGGGAGAAUCAAAAUCAAGUCAAGUAAGUACAUCCUAUUCUAAUAAGUGUGAAAGUUAUUUUCAAUUUCUUGAUGCUUUCCAAGAAAUUCAUGAGGAAGCUAAGAGAUUAACUUUUUCAAAUAACCGAUUGAAAUGUGAAAACAACAAGUUGAAAAUGAAAAUCACAGUUUUGGAAAAAGACUUGAAUCAAUCAAAAACUGAUUUAGAAAAUUCUGAUUUGAUGCAUGAAAAAUCCUUUUGCAAAUGUGAUUCAAAUUUUUGCAAAACCUGUGAGUCUCUUCAAGAGAAAGUCUUAUAUCUUGUGAAAACAAUUGAUGUUAUUUCGAAAGGAAAAUCAAAUUUUGAAAAUGUGUUGGCAUCCCAAACAUGUGUUUUUGAAAAAUUUGGCUUGGGUUUUAACCCUCAAAGCAAACAAAGUGGGUGCACAAAACCUUUUUCAACCUUUACUAAAAAACAAUCGGUUAAAGCAUCGAAACAACCGGUUGUUUGUUGUUUCUAUUGCAUGAAAAAGGGACACUCUGUUAGGUUCUGCAGAAUCAGAAAGUUCUCUGUACCUAAGGGUAUUCUGAAAUGGGUUCCUAAAGAGCCUAAUGAUUCUUGGAAACAUAUUAACAUCUAUGGACCCAAAUUCACAAGGGGACCAGAUUUAGCAACUUGAUUUUGUUUCUUUUGUAGAGUUGUUUGGAGAGAAAACAACACCUAUGGUACCUAGAUAGUGGCUGUUCAAAACAUAUGACAGGUGAUGCAUCUAGGUUCAUCAGCAUUUCUCUCAAACCAGAUGGUGAUGUAAGCUACGGUGACAAUAACAAGGGAAGAAUUCUUGGCAAAGGUACAAUCAGUAAUGAAAGUAGUUUGCUUAUUCAUGAUGUGCUCUAUGUUGAAGGAUUGAAGCACAACUUGCUUAGCAUCAGUCAACUUUGUGAUAGAGGUUACCAAGUGACCUUUAGGACCAACUAAUGUGAAAUUCGCUUACCUAAUUCAAAGGAUGUUCUUCUCAUUGGUAAAAGAUCUAGCAACAUUUAUCUACUUGAUAUAUCUAGUCAUGCUUCAUUAGAUUGUCUUCUAUCAAAGCAUGAAGAAUCAUGGUUGUGGCAUAGAAGGUUUGCUCAUAUUCAUAUGAAUCAUCUAAAUAAGCUUGUGUCAAAUGAACUUGUUUAUGGCUUACCCAAACUCAAAUUUGAAAAAGAACAUGUGUGUGAAGCAUGUCAAAGGGGGAAACAAACUAGAAAAUCUUUUUCUUUGAAAAACUAUUUCAACUUCAAAACCCCUUGAACUUUUGCACACGGAUCUUUUCGGUCCUUCUAGGACUAUGAGUCUUGGAGGAAAUCUAUAUGGUCUUGUUGUUGUAGAUGACUAUUCCAGGUACACUUGGACACUCUUUCUACAUACAAAGAAGGAUGCAUAUUCAUAAUUUAAGAAGCUUGCAAGGAAACUUCAGAAGACAUGUUGCAGUAACAUAGGAGCAAUAAGAAGUGAUCAUGGAGGGGAGUUUCAAAAUGAAAAGUUCAUUAGCUUCUGCAACAAAUUGGGGAUUUCUUCAUAACUUCUCUGCACAAAGAACACCCCAACAGAAUGGUGUGGUGGAGAGGAAAAACAGGUUUCUAGAGGAGCUUGCAAGGACAAUUCUAAAUGAUUUUGGUCUACCAAAAUGCUUUUGGGCUGAUGCUGUGAGCACUGCAUGCUACUUGAUGAAUCAUGUGCUGAUUAGGCCUAUACUGAAGAAAACACCUUAUGAGUUGCUGAAUGGGAGAAAGCCAAAUGUGAGCCACCUAAAAGUCUUUGAUUGUAAGUGUUAUGUCCUUAACAAUGGCAAAGAAAUUUUAGGUAAGUUUGAUGCUAAAUCAGAUAAAGGUAUCUUUCUGGGUUACUCUCUUAAUAGCCAUGCUUAUAGAGUCUUCAAUAAAAAGCUUAUGACUGUUGAAGAAUCCAUUCAGGUUAUUUUUUAUGAGACUAACAAUUGUGACAAGCUCCAACUAAGAUCAAUACAGAGGAGGAUGAUCAAAACAUCUUUUUAAAGAAUCUUGACAGCAACACUGAAUUUCAACCGAUUGAAUCCUCGAUUCAACCGAUUGAAAAUCUGCAGCAGGAAGAUCUGCCAAAAGAUUGGAAGGUUCCUAAGGAUCUGUCCAUUGACGACAUCAUAAAUCAAAUCCACAGAGGAGUUUCAACCAGAAGGCAUGUGGCAAAGUUAUGCAAUCACUCUGCAUUUGUUUCAAAGAUUGAACCUCAAUCAGUACGUGAAGUUCUGAAGGAUGAAUUCUGGACAGCAGCUAUGCAAGAAGAGUUAAAUCAGUUUGUAAGGAAUGAAGUCUGGACUCUUGUUCCGAGAACCAAUUAAAUGAAUGUGAUAGGUACCAAGUGGGUUUUCAGAAACAAAUCUGAUGACUCGGGCAUCAUUACAAGAAACAAAGCGAGACUAGUGGCCAAAGGAUACAAUCAAGCUGAAGGCAUCGAUUAUGAUGAAACCUUCACACCUGUUGCAAGAUUGGAAGUAGUAAGAUUGUUAUUAGCUUUUGCUUGUAUGAGUGGUUUUAAAUUGUUUCAGAUGGAUGUGAAGAGUGCAUUUCUCAAUGGGAUCGUGAAUAAGGAGAUAUAUGUCUCACAACCACCUGGCUUUGAAGAUCACAAACAUCCAGAGUGUGUAUACAAGCUCAAGAAGGAAUUGUGUGGCCUCAAACAAGUUCCACGUCAAUGGUAUGAAGGGAUAAGUCUUUUUCUUUUAUCUCAUGAGUAUGAAAGAGGUAAAGUAGAUAAGACUUUGUUUAUUAAGAAGGCUGGAACUGAUAUUAUUUUGGUACAAAUAUACGUUGAUGAUAUUGUAUUUGGCUCGUCUAAUGUGAAACUUUGUGAGGACUUUGUCUAAGCUAUGCAGGGGGAGUUCGAGAUGUCAAUGAUGGGAGAACUCUCCUUCUUUCUCUUUCUACAAGUUAAGCAGUCCAAAGAAGGAAUCUUGAUAUGCCAAUCAAAGUAUUGCAAAGAAAUCCUUAAGAAGUUCGAGAUGGAAGCUUGCAAAGUAGCAGCAACUCCAAUGUCAACUAACUGCUACUUAGAAGUUGAUGAAGCUGGACGAGAGGUUAAUCAAACCAUGUAUAGGGGUUUAAUAGGUUCACUUCUUUAUCUAACUACAAGCAGACCAAACAUUAUGUUUGUUGUGUGUCUAUGUGCUAGAUUUCAGUCUUGCCCCAAGGAAUCACAUAUCAAGGCUGCAAAGAGGAUCCUGAAAUAUCUUAAAGGCACAAUAUUCAUGGGCUUAUGGUAUCCCUCUCUUUCUCCUAUACAUUUAGUAGGUUAUUCUGAUUCGGAUUUUCCAGGUUGCAAAUUAGUUAGGAAGAGUACAAGUGGAACAUGCUACUUGCUUGAUUCAAGCCUCAUUUCAUGGCAUAGUAAGAAACAAGCGUGUGUAGCCUUAUCCAUUGCUGAAGUUGAAUAUAUAGCAGCUGGUAACUGUUGUGUGCAGAUUCUAUGGAUCAAAUAACAACUUGAGGAUUUUGGAGUAAAGAUGAGUAAAGUUCCUCUUCUAUGUGACAAUACAAGUGCCAUUAACUUGACAAAGAAUCAUAUUCAACACUCGAGGACCAAACACAUUGAAAUAAGACACCAUUUCAUUCAUGAUCAUAUAGCCAAUGGAGACUGUGAGAUCAAGUUCGUUUCCACAGAAAGACAACUGGCUGAUAUCUUCACCAAGCCUUUAUCCAAGGAUAAGUUCUACUAUUUACGAAAUGAAUUGGGAAUUCUAGAUAUGCAUGCUUUAUCCUAGUUAUAUUCUAUUUUGUUUUGUCUAUUUGAUGAGACAAAUAGGGGGAGAAGAGUUUAGAAGGGUUGUUGGAAGCUGUAAUGUUCUGCUGUUUUAUUCUGGUUUGUUUACAACUUCAACCGGUUAUCUCUGUAUUAUAACCGAUUGUUCUUAUAUGCAUCUACUUAUUUUAAAAUCUGAUAUAUAGUGCAUAUCUGUUUGGACUAGUCUAUUCCGUGUUUGUUCAGUGUUUGCAGGUUUUAACAGAUUCUAAACAAAGAACAUUCCUAAAAGCAUCUCAGGGAUUUGUCUCCAUCAAAUAAAGGAGAUUGUUGAAGAUGGGAAGCUUUGAUGUGCCAAAUCCCCAUGAAGCCUGAAGCUGUGUGAUGUUUUAGGUUUAGGUUUUGGUUUGGGGCUUAGAAUCUUUGUAAAGAUCAGUUUUGAAUCUCAGACAAAGCUCAUUUCAACCAGUUUUAAAGAUUAAAGUGUUUUUCCAUGCAAAGGGAAAAACAACCGAUUAAAGUUUCGAAAUAUUCGGCUAUUUGUAACUUAGCUGGUAAAGAAGGUUUUGAAAUUGUUUUAUAACAGAUAAGAGCAUUCAACCGGUUAAAUCGUGGUUUUAACCGAUUAAAUAUAUGUCCUUGUAACAACUUUUUGAAAAUCUGUUUUAACUGAUUUGGUUGUUUAGAUUUGCUUCAACGUUAGCAUUUCAAGUAUUAUAAAUAUGUUUUUGAUUCAAACAUGUAAAGAUUGAUGAAACAUAAACUUUUGAUACUCUGAGUUGAGAUUGAUUUGAGAGAUUACAAAACUGCUUGUGAAAAGGUUUUUUUAUCAAGUUUUAGCAAGAUUGCUUUGUGCUUUGUUGUGGUUCAAAGAACUGAUCAAUAGGGUGUUGGUGUAUUGUGUUUUACCAGGUGUUUUCUAAUCUUGUUCAAGUUCUUGUAAUUGUUCACAUAACAUUCUGUAUAACUAUGUGAAAUCAUGUAAAGUAGGUGUAAUUCAGGCUUGAGGUGUGUGUUGUGUGCAAGGAGGGUGAGUAGGCUUUGUGGGAUUCAAAGUCACCUCUUUGUGUGUGGUGUUUGUGUAAUCUGUGAUUGGUUGCAUAGUGAAAACUCAGUGGUUUGACUGAGGACUGGAUGUAGCUCUGUGAUAGAGUGAACCAGUAUAAUCUCUGUGUGUAAAUCUCUCUAUCCCUUCUCUCUAUAUCUGUUUAUAUUUUUCCGCUGUCAUAAACAACCGGUUAAAUCACUAUUUUAACCGAUUAAAAUUUUGCUUUUGUUUUUGUUUGGUAAUUUGAUUAGCUUUCUGAAUUGCUUUUCUGGGUUGAUUGAAAAAGUUUUAUUCUAAGCCAAGUAUUUGUGAAAAUAGUUUGAAAACAAUUCACCCCCCCCUCUUGUUGUAGCCAUAAAAUCUAACAAACCUCCCCUUGGUAAGAUGCCAAGAGUGGGAGCGAAGUCUUUCCUUGGUAAGAUUCCAAGAGUAGCAGCGAAUAUCCCCUUGGUAAGAUUCCAAGAGUGGGAACAUUAAGUGUCAUAGCAAACCUCAGUGAAGUCUCCCCUUGGUAAGAUUCCAAGAGUGGGAGCGAAGUCUCCCCUUGCUAAGAUUCAAAGAGUGGGAGCGAGAUCUCCCUUUGGGGGAGUAGUAAGGCUCAUAGCAAUUCAGGCAAUACCUCUUGCUCAGAAAGCUCAGGUUGCCACUUGCACGAACCACAGUAAAACUUCUCUUUAGGGAGUACGUACAGAUAAAGCAAAGCAAUUCGUGCAGGAGGACCUGUUGACCAGCGAGGCUCUCUGAACUCAGGUACCCCAGAGCAUAAGUGUACCAUUGAUUAAUCAGGAGGACCAUGCUACUUACGUAUGGUCGAUCAUUGGUGUUCGAUUAGUUAUUAAACUGAUGAAAGUUGUGUCCAUUCAAGGCAUACACUAUUAUUAAACUAGCCGAAGUCAGGAAGGGAAACAUGCAUAUAUAUAUGUAUGUACACAAGAAAGGUAAGUUGUUCGUUAGAUUACAAAAGGAAGGCAAUAGCAGGGGAGUCCCCUGCGGCUAUUCCUUAUCUACUAGUUGCCCAUCUACGACAACUUUACCUAAUCCUAUCUGGGAGAGAUCCAGCUCAGGGUGCACGCAGGUGACUUAAGCCAUGGCAUCUUCAAAGCCUGUCGUGUAGGAGUAAGCGACAUCGCUCGUCAGCUCGUCCUUGGUCUUUUGUAGGAGCUCAUCCUUCUGUGCCAACUCCUCUUUCUGCCUGGCCACCUCCUCGUCCCUCCCAGCCAACUCUCCCUUCAGCUUCUCCACCUCAGUGCGGGGAUUGUUGUUUCUUGCGUACAACCCCAUGGCCUCUUGGGACUUCCUGAAAAGGAGGGCCUUGGUCUCUUGGUGCACUUUCCAAAGCUCUUCCACCUCCAACGUAAGUCAGGUGACUUGUCGUUUGAGCCCUACAACUUGGAGGGCUUCUUCUUUGGCCAGCUCCUUUGCUUUCCACAGUUUGGAGAGGAGAAAGCAAUUUGCCACUAGGGUUUCCCCCAGUUUCCUUGUGGCGUGCUCCAUCAAUGGACCCUCCUCCAGGCUCUCCAAUCUUCCCUUAAUUUUGGAGCAGAGCAUCAUUUUGUGAAGGAAGGAGACUGGGUCCCAGUGAUCUCACUCUGAAGCACUUUUUCCUCUACCUCAUGCACUGCAAUGUCGCGAGGAGGGGAAAGGCUGGGUGGAAAAUCCCGGUAGGAAGGAGCUCGGCCGCCUGAGGUGGAGUGGACAAAACCUACAGCAGCAUCUGUUCGCUUCCUCUUGAAGACGAGUCCAGAACAAGUUUCAUCGUCCUUAGAAGGGGUGACUUCAGCCACUGCCUUCAAUUUUUGACCCUUGGCAGAAGGGACUUGGGUGGUCUUCUUUUGUUUAGCCAGAGCGGCUAAGUUCUUUCUCUUUUGAGUGUCCAACAUGCUAUAUGCAUGAGAAUGAAAACAAUGAACAGUUCAGAAAACACACACAUGCAAGAUAUGGCUAGCAGGAGUAAAGGGAAGGAGGAUACCAAUGUAUUCCUUAAGGCUUGUAGGGCUAUACUCGUUCUUUAUCAAUUCGGCAUUGCUAAACACUGCCUUGAGGUUGAAGAGGAAGAGACACACCUCUCGUUCUCGCCGGGGUAGGUCUUCAAGGUAUCUGGGUUUUGGAAUUCGGGUUCCUUAGUCCAGUAUAGAGGAAACCCGUCCAGAAGGCUUGGAUCGCUAUCAUUGCAGCGGAUUUUGAAAAACUUACCCUUGAAGCCUUUGUAUGAUUGCAUGAAGAGGGUCAACAAAACUCUCCCAACAACCCCGUUAAAGCUCACCCACAUCUUCCGACCUGAUUUUUUGGCUUCGAAGAAGUAAAGGAAGACGUCCACUGAUAGCAGAUGGCCAAAGUGGUGGCACAAGAUGGAAAAUCCCCGAACAAACGCCCAUCUAUUUUAGUGUAGCUGGGUAGGGGCGGUGUUGAUCUCGGUGAGAAGGGCUCUUUCGAAACUAUGAAAGGGAAGGCGUAGAAGGAGUUUUUUGAAAACAGUAGAGUAGAUGAAGUAGAAUGGGCCAUCUAGGUCCGAUGACUCAUCACAGCAAACAGGUUCAUCUUCCAUACAAGGCAUAACCUUAACGAACUUGUCGUGCUCUUUGCCAAAAAGACAGUUCUUUUUAGGGUGCUCACUCUUCCUAUACAACAUUAUCCUCGCAUGGGGUGGUGAAUUCCGAGGUUUCCUAUAAAAGGUUACUAGAAGCCCAGGGGUAUAGGGUUUCGUAAUCCAUCUUACGAGGAAUCUAAAACAAAGAAAGAAAACAAAUGCAGUACUCAGAGGAGGAAGCGCAUGCGUUUUGAAGAAAGAAGUAAGGAAACAGAAAACAAAGGUAUUUACGGUCAUAGAUACGAGAAAUAUAAACAGUCCCAGCGCAGUUAUGAGCAGCUUAAAGGCAUUGAAAUGGCAGAAUGAAAGCAGUCAUAAGAUAAAAAACGCACCUUGAGAUGAUUGAGGAAAGGAGGCGAGGAGGCUUGUUUGGAGAGGUGAAAGCAGAGUGGUCAAAGAAAAGUGUUCAAAGAGAAGCACGAAGAUGGAAUGAAACAGUGAAGGGAGCGCAAGAAUUGAAGGGUUAACGUAUAAGGGAAGCGCAAGCGGCAACAUUUUCCAACCGUUGAUGAUGGCCACGUGUGCGCUUGUGAGAUAGUAUGGUGAGACGUCACCUCAAAACAAUGUGUGGGUCGCGUCAUUCAAAAGACACGUAAGUCGCCUUAGGCGAGAAGUUAGCCUUUUCACUGGAACAAGUUCCAGCUCGAGCCUGGGGGGCUUGUGUACUGGACCAGAGCGCCAGGCUCGGUGCUCAGGUGAUCGGACAUCGACACCUGUGUGGAACAAGUUAGCUCGGUGGUCUGGUCGAGUUAAUGGGUCACAUAAGUGGGACCUAAGAAUGCGUGUGUUGAAAUCCGUGUAUAUGUAAGGCCUAAUCAGCGAGAAAGUGCAUGUGGUGUGUAUAGUACAUUUGGGUCUACCACAAGUAAAUAUCACCUAAAGACGCCUAGGGUUUUCAGGGGUAAGCUGCAUGCAUGAUACGUAAAGGUUAGAGCGCCUACAGUGACAGAUGGGCCGCAUGAUGCUGGUACAUGAGUUGGUACCCUGGCGGCCAUGCUAUUAAGAUUAUGCACUCCAAGGAGGAAGAUUCUACGCGGUUGUUACACUAAGAUUGUGUGACAUCGUAACAGAAUGUCCUCCCAUCAGACCUACUUUCACUCAAGAUAAGGUUCUCGUGAGAGAAUGGUUGUUAUAAUGAAGUAACCUAAAAGUAGUCUAUAAAAGGGACUCGAGAUCCCUGGUAAAGGUACAUCGUUUCUAAGACUGAAACUACUUGCUUACUUACUCAUUGUUUCUUAGCCCAGUACUGACUAUAUCAUCAGAGUGUAAUCAACAUGUAAGGCCCCCUCUGUUUCAAAUGGAGCCGCGUUAUAACGUCCCAGGGAAAGAGAAAAUCCAGCAGAGGCAGACGGAGUCACAACCUGUUCCCAGAGUCAACAAGAACACUUAAAUUAGCGUAUCAAAAUAUUAUUUCAAUUAUUCUCCAACGGGAUUACUAGUAUAACUGGGCCAAACUCAUGACCCACCUUAUAGGCCCAAUAACCAAGCUGACCUACCCACAAUGUGCACCGAGCUCCGAUCACUGAGCACCGAGUACUCUGUCCAAUACAUAAGACCCCAAGCUCGAGUUGAGCUUAGCUGAGAGAAGUGGCUUUUCGAGUGCUCUGGUAGCUUACGUGGCAGUUCCUCAUUGGGUAGGUGUGGCGUGGCGCAUGAAGCGUUUCUGAGGUGACGUCUCGCCACACUCAAUCUUGAACGUACAUGUGACCCUUAUCAACGGCGGGAAAGCGUUGCCACUUGACAUUCCCAUAGACGUAUAAGCCAACGUUCAAAAACUCACUACCACUCACUGUUUCAUUUCUUUAACUCUUGCAAAACCCUCGCGCUCUUCGAACUUCCUCUGCACCCUCCUUCGAGCACCCAGAAACCUUUAUUGUCUUUGACUUACUUACUUUGCCUAGCCUGAAUAUGUGUGUUUGUAUUCUGCUUGUGUUUGUGUUUUUUUGAUAUACUUCUACAAUGGAUUACAAAGCUUUGUACCCCUAGGCACCUUCAAACCUCUUAUAGGAGACCUUCAUGUAUACCUCCCGUGAGCUUAUAAUGGCCCUUAGAAAGGGUGAAUGCAAGUUUAGCAAAGAGAAUGAUAGAUCUUUUAGGAUAAUCCCAUGUAGGGAGGAUGAACCCGUCUACUGUGAUGAGUCGUCGGAUCCUAAGGGUCCAUUCAGUUAUUUUUAUACCACCGUGUUUAAAAGGAUUCUUCUUCGUCUAUCCCCUGCCUAGCUACACCCAAACAACUAGGCAUUUGUUCGGGGCUACAUUAUCCUCUGCACACAAUUUGGCCUUUUUCCCAUCUGUUGAAGUCUUUUUGUAUUUGUUUGAGGCCAAACACCUAGGCUGUCAGCUUUGGGUAAUGAGGUGUCUGGAAGGGCACUAUUGUCACUCUUCCAACAGUCUUAUAAGGGCUUUAAAGGUAAAUUUUUGAAGAUAUGCUGCAACAAAAGGGAUCAAACCUUUCUGGAUGGGUUUUUAUUGUAUUGGACUGAAAAAUCGCGCUUCCAAGGUGCUCGGCGCCUGGAAGAUCUGCCUCAGCGCGACUAGGAGGCCUGCCAAUUCUUGUUGAGCUUAAAGGUGGUCUUCGAUACUUCCUUUCUCAUAAGCAGAGAGUUCACCCUCGGGGCUCUAAAGUCUUAUAUUGGUACUCUUCAUUCCCUACUCUUGAUAGGGCUAACUUUGCUAUUGUUGCUAACUACUUCUUGUCCUCUUUCGUAGAUAGUAUGUUGGCUAGGAUUGACAAGAAAGAGUAGGCGAACACGACCAAGAGGAUGAGGGCGGCUGCUCAAGUGCCUCAGGAUCUUAAGCUCAAAGCUCCAACCACUGUCGUUCCAGCCUCUACUGAAGAUGAUGAGGAAACGAAUUAUGGGUUGGUCUUCAAAAGUAAGAGGAAAGACAUAGCCGCCCCUAUCGAGCAUUCCCACUCAAAUGGGUGGGCUCCUUCCUACCGCGCUCCCUCAGCAAGUCCAACCCUGCCAUGCGACAUGAUGGUGGUGCAAGAGGAAGAGGGAAUGAGCUCCAGGGGAAAGGGUUUAUGGGACCUUGACUUGGACGUCCCCUCCUUCCUUGAGAAGACCCUUCUACCCAACGAGGAGAAGGAGAAACUCAUAACCCUCGAGGAAGAUCGCUUGGUGCACGAAACCAUGAGGCAACUGGGGCAAGCCCUUGCUGCAAGUUUCUUUCUCGUCACUAAGUUAAAAGAUUGGAGGGUCGGCGGGUCAAAAGGCUCAAGAGAUUGUUGAGCUCCAUAAAGGAAUGGAGAAUCUUCAAGCCAAGCUUCGGCAAUCCAAACUCCUACGCCAAGAAAUGGAGAGUCUUCAAGCAGAGCUUCAGCAAUCCAAACUGCUACAGAAGGAAACUGAAGCCCUAUUGACUGAGAAGGCUAAGGAGGCCUCGAGCUUGACUAAGGAAAAGGAGAAAGUCUUGGCAGAGGUUGAAAAGAUCAAGGAAGAACUAGCAUUAAAAGAUGAGGGCAUUGCCAAAGAGAAAGAAGCCUUCAAGAACGAUGCCCCUCAAUCCUACCUUGUAGGGUUUGACGAGGCUGUCGAGCAAGCCUCGGGCCUUCAUCCCGAAAUCAAUUUCUCCCAACUUGGCCUGGGUAAGACCGUGAUCAACAGGCAGCUUGUGGAGGAGUAGCCUAGUCUCCAUCUUUCAUGUAACUCAUAAUGCUUUGAACACUUUGAACAAUAUUGCACAUUUUCUUUUAUAAGCACUUUUUAUCCAUGCAUGUUAACAACAACUUUAUUUACUAAUCUAGCUAUUUAACUUAGUAAAUUUCGACUAGCGUAGCUAACGUAUACUUCAUUAUUUAACUUAGUGAAACAUGAUUAGCAUAAGUUUAAUAUCUAUUGAUAACAUACCAAUCAAAUACUUAUGCCAACCCUCCGAGCUAAAAUGACAACAGACUCAAUGUAUAAACCAAGUAUGAAAAAUCACGGUGCUCUUAAAGAACUAACCUUUUUAUGAACAUUUUUACCCCCUAAGCAGGAGUCAUAUACUUUGACCUUGCUAGCCAUGGCUUCACAUACUCGAAGAGCUGCACCUUUCUAAGCUUGGUCUUCUCAACCUGCGCUAAGAAUGAUUCAUCUAUCUUCUUGAAACAUCUAACCCAGGUGGUCGCUUACACACCAAGUCAACUCCAUUUUAGCCCAAACAAUCACCUUCACCACACAUUACUUAAUCACUCCACAAAGUGCUCGAAUUCAGGUGAUCGUCCUCUCGACAGACUACCCUGACUUCUUAGAUAAUUUAGUCUCAAUACUCAUCUGCAGAGCGCUCGAACUCGGGUGGUCAUACCGACGCCGAGGUAGGUCAUAUUACCUGCCUAUAGAUGACCAAUUUUUACAUAGAGCGCUUGCUCAGGUCAUCUCACCGAGAGAGGUUGAUAUGAAUCCACUAGCAAAGAAGAGAUGAUUCUUUGACAUUCUAUGGACUCAACUUGAGUUGGAGAUAGCUUAGGCACUUAUAAUAGAAUUGGAUCAAGGUUCUAUGUUUCAAGAACUCACCAAGACUUGCACCAAACACCAAACUCAUAUGGAGGAGCCAUCUAUUGUCAAUUGAACCGAACAAAUUGUGUAAAAAGGCAAAGACACCGAUUAAAACUCUUAAGAAAGCCAAUGAACCGAACAGAAUUAUGAAAAGAAGCUACUGAACUGGAUUAAAACAAAAUCAAAUGAAAACAACCGAACAAAAGUGCAAGGAAAGGAAGAUGAACCGAACAAAAGAAACUAAGACAUGUUUAAGCUUCAUAUAAAAUGGAGAUGAAAGAAAGAAGAACUUAUGGAGAUNNNNNNNNNNNNNNNNNNNNNNNNNNNNNNNNNNNNNNNNNNNNNNNNNNNNNNNNNNNNNNNNNNNNNNNNNNNNNNNNNNNNNNNNNNNNNNNNNNNNGGGUGGAUGUCCUCUUCCUUCAUUAAUAAAAGCCUCCUUUAUUUGAUUCUCAUCAUACUCCUCGAGUUGGAGAGAAUUCGUCCAUGAAUUAUGAAUCCCUGCAUAUAACAAAGUCAGUUUAUUUUUACAAUUAAAAGUGGAAGAAAAAGGUAAACAUGACUUAGCAUUUGUAAACAAUGGGAUUUCAGAAAAGGAGGUUCUAGAAAUCGACCAAGUUGGAAAAAUUUGUUUGGGAAUGAUGUUAUGUUUUGGAAAAAUACCUCUUAAAUGGUGACAACCAUUAGGAGGUAUGAACAAAUCAUCCCUAACAUUUUUUAACCAAGAUGGUGGUGAAGUAAGAACCUUUGGUAAUGAAAAAGAUAAGGAAGGAAAACACCUUGGAUGUGGAAGGAUAAGACCCAUGUCAAUUUGGCCUUCUCUGUCUUUUUCAUUUUUACUUGUGGUAGGUGGGUGAAUUAAGUCUUGUUUUACUUUGUUUAUCUUUAAGAUUUGCUUUUGUGGACAAUGAAGAGCUAUGUGCCCAAAACCUAAACAUUUAAAACAUUUGAUAUUUGAUGUUUUGGUAGGUGACUUAGGAGUAGAAAGAUUUGUAGUAGAAACAUUUUUUGGAAACAUGGUUUGUUUGGAAAAAUUGGAAGGAGAAAUAUAAGUAGAAAUUUUGUUUGCAUCCUUCCUAUAAGAGUUGUAGAAAUCAUCAUCAUGAGUAUUUUUGAAAGUUUUUUCCAAAAGAUAUGAUUCCACCUUGAUGGCUUUGCGAAACACUCUCUUUAAAGAAGAAUAUUCUUUUAAUUCUACAAAGUCUCUAAUAUCUCUUCUCAAACCACGUACAAACCAUUUAAUCUUUGACUCUUCAUUAGCAUGCAUAUUCAUUUUAGUCAAAGUUGUUUCAAAAUCUUUAAAGUAUUCAUCUACCAUCCUAUGUCCUUGAGGAAGCCUUUGGAACUUCAACAAGUGUUCCUUCCUAGAAGGAGGAACAAACCUCGCGCGCAUACGCUCUUUCAAAGCAUUCCAAGAAACCACGGGAGGUUUCUUGCGAUAUAUAAUGUCCAUUACAAUUUUAUGCCACCAUUCUUUGGCAUAGCCCAAAAAGGAUAAAGAAACUAACCUAAGUUUAUCGUCAUCUUGGACCUUAUACACAUGAAAAUAAUGGUCAACCUUAGUCUCCCAUUCUAAAUACACAUUAGGAUCACUAUCACCAUUAAAACUAGGGACUUGUCCACAAGAAAUGUUGAACACUUGGUGAUAUCUUUGGUCACGUGAUGUGAUUCCACUAGCCAUAUAGAGAAAGGUUCUUGACCUUCUUAGGAAUCACCUUGAGUUGGACAUUAUAGAGGCACUUUUCUUAGAGUUGGAUCAUUGUUCUAAGACAAGAACUCACCAAAAACUAGUACCAAAUCCCAAACUCAUUUGGAUGAACCAAUUAUAGUCAAAUUGAACCGAAUAAGGUGGAAGAAAAAGCAAUUGCACCGAACAUAUUACUUAUAGAAUGAAUUGCACCGAACAAAUGAGCUAGAAAAACAAAGGAACAAGAUGAAUGGGCUGAAAUAUAAAACUGCCGAACCAAAACUCAUAAAAAACAGCAUGAACACCAAACCAAAACUCAAGAACACAAGCUAACAAAAACAAUAGAAAGAGGAGGAAGGAAGGAGAAGAGAGUGCUCAUGAAGAUGGAAGGAUGUUGGAUGAUCUCGCCACUAGAAGUGUGGAAUGCUCCUAGAUAAGAGUGAUGCCGCCACUUGAGGACUCCAUUGAUCCAUCAAGAUAAGACUAGAGAAGAGGGCUCCAAAAGCUCUCCAAAGUUCACUCAAAAUUUGAGUAGAGUUUUCUUAGAUUAAUUCCAAUCUAAAUUUUACAAAGAGAGCACCUCUAUUUAUAGCCUAAGGUGCUGAAAAUGCAAGCUAAAACAAUUCAAAUUUCCCCCCUAAAUUCAAAUGCAAGUGGCGCCUAAACCAAGACAUGAGGAAGGUGUGAUCCCUUCUCUCACUUUGGCACCUCCUUAUUUACUCCUACACCUAUCUACUAACACACCCCCCCUAAGACUCCUAACUAAAGACUAAAAGAUGCUUUAACAAUAGAGGUUUCUAAUGUUUCCCUCUAAGCAGCUUUCUAAACAAUAUUUAUUUAAAACUUGGCCUUGCCCUUCAUGGGAUGGUCUUUGGGCUUUUGUGGGCUUUGGCCUUCUUGGGCUUGGGCUUUAUCUUUUGCAAAGAUUAACAAGAAAAGCUUUAAAUGUGAAGGCGAAUGAUCUUGUUCUUCAUUAUAAAAAGCCACCUUUAGUUGAUUCUCAUCAUCACGGUUAUGGCUCUCUUCAUAAGAAUGAUGGUGAUGCUUCCUUCUUCUAUGUUCCUCUUCACGGCCUUCUUGGGCUUGGGCUUGGGCUUUGGGCUUGGGCCUCAUCUUUAUUUUAUGUCUUCUUUUAAUUUUGAGAAGACUAGAAGGAAGAACUUCAAAUGUGAGGGUGGAUGUCCUCUUCCUUCAUUAAUAAAAGCCUCCUUUAUUUGAUUCUCAACAGAGGUCGCCUUACUUGCUUUACCUGAACCACAUUGAACUUUAGAGCGCCUGAACUCGAAGUCUUACCAAGAAAAGGUCGCCUUACUUGAAUCACGGAUAAACCACUCGUACAUAGAGCGCCUGCUUAGAUAAUUUCAUCGAGACAGGUUGUCUUACAUGGCAUUAAACAAUCAGUUAUACACACAUGGCGCCUACUCGGAUGAUCUCACCGAGGCAAGUCGUGUUAUCGUGAAUAAACAAUUCUAAUGCACCAUCUUUCAAGAACAAUUUUUCAUUGGGUGACCUCGUUAAAAAACCCUUUAAAGGGAAAAAUAGUGUCCCCUUAACCAUUACAUCGUUCAUAAAGAAAGCAUUAUCAAAAUGUAUUACUUGAAAUAAAAUUUAAGAUUCACCCCAUUCCAUGUUCGAGGUAUAGCUCCCCCCUCGAGGGUUUCAAGCCUGUAAGCUCCGUUCCCGAGCGCCUCUACUACGUGAAUGGGCCAGUCCACGUUGGAGAUAACUUAUUCUCCAGCUGAUAGGGGUGAGCCUUUCGCAUCACCAAGUCGGCAACCCGAAACUGACAAAGCUUUUACUUGGUCUUUUGCUCCACCCUUCUCUUCAAAGCCUCAAAAUUAAUGCAAGCUUGUUCAUGCACUUCAUGUAGCUGAUCCAGGUACACCUUCCUUCCUUAGUUUGACUCCUCAUUUAAUGUGGCCCUCUUGGAUCUCUACUAGUAUCAUGGUGUCUAACCCAUAUACCAAACUGAAGGGUGUCUCCUUAGUCGUUGACUGAUGAGUAGUGUUAUAAGCCCACAAAAUACGAGGAACUUCUUCCGACCAAGUUUCCUUGGCCUUCUCCAAUCUCCUCUUCAACCCUCUUAGUAAGACUUUGUUGGCAGACUCAACCUGGCCAUUCGUCUGAGGGUGUUCCAGCGAGGAAAAUAUCUGUUUGAUGUCGAGCUUCAUGCAUAGCUUGCAUAACUGUUGACUUGCGAACUGGGUUUCGUUGUUGGACACCAAGUGUCUAGGGAUCCCAAAAUGGCAUACAAUGUUCUUCCACACAAAAUGCUACACCUUGUGAGUAGUUAUUUGUGCGACUGGCUCGACCUCAAUCCAGUUUGUGAAGUGUUCAAUGGCUACCACGAGGUACUUCAGUUGAUGAAUUGCCAAAGGGAAAGGACCCAAGUUGUCUAUCCCUCAGGUAUGGAAGGGCCAUGGUAGAUGGAAUGCCACUCCUCAACUGCUGCGUGGUGCCAAUCAGCGUGCUUCUGACACUCCUUGCAUCGUUGUGCAUGCCUCAUGCAAUCCUUCUUCAUGGUCGGUCAAUAAUACCCAACUCGAACGAUCUUCAACGAGAGAGCUCUUCCUCCGACAUGACUGAUAAGUGCCUAAUUUCAGUAAUAUUUUAUAUUAAAAUAUAGGCACUUAUGAGGAUUUAUUGCUAAUUUACAUAUAAAAUAAUCCCUAAUUUAUGAAUUUAUACCUUUUUACAUUUUUAUGAGCUUUAUUUGAAUAAAAGCAUUUUAUUCCCAAAUUUGGUGUUAAUUGCAGAUUUCUAGGGAAGAUUGAAGAUUUGAAAUAAAGGAGAAUAAUUUGAGCUAAAAAGAUAAAGCCGGAAGAUCCCAGAAUGGAAAAAGAUGCAAAGAAAGAUUGAGCUUUUUUUAUGUUUUAUCAUUUAGCCCAUUAGCGCGACACAGGAAGCAACCUAACCCUAGAAAACUAGGAUAAAUAGAGGGCUAGAGGCUCAACCCUAGUGUGCCAGAUUGAGAGGAAAACACCAUAGAGUGAAUUGUAACCCAAUUGGGAGAAUGGAAGGUGCUAGAAGUAUGCGUGGCUAAUUCUACCUUUGGGAUUGGGAGUAAUCUGUUCAAACUCUUAUGUAUUGAGGUGAUAUCUUAUAUAUUAAUAUUCAGUUCUUGAUUGAUUAUUGGUAUUGUUGUUUUACUUUUAAUUUUCCGUGACAAGUUGAGAAUCUUAAAUAUGACCGGGAGGUAUUUUUAGGGUUCGGACCUAAACAACAAUACUUAACAUAUUUGAGUGCUAGGAAUAGACUUGAAAUGUUAAUUGCUAUUAAACGUCUGAGCUUCAUUCUAAGUUGUUCUUAUAAUUAUGCGAGGGAUCGAUAGUUAGGGGACAUUCUUAAGGAUUUUAUGUGCGAGGAAUCGAUAUAAAUGAUUUUUAUACGGGCAUCAAUUUCAAUCAAAGAACUUAAUAUUGACAUGCUAAUCAAAAUACUUGAGAGUGAGAGAGAUGAAACUAAUCCUUAUUUUUCCAAUUGAAACAACUAAUUCUUUGUCUGUUUUCUUAUUGAUCAGUGCCAACACAAUUAAUUCAAAACUCUUUUAAUUGUUCUGUUUUUAUAUUUAGCGAUUAUUGUACUCGAUAAUUCACGGUUCCUUGUGGGAUCGAUAUUCGUCCUUAGGGACAAUUAUUACUUCUGACAAACGUGGUGCACUUGCCUUAAAAAGUCAUCAAUGACUCUCACAAAUGCCUUCGUGGAGCUCCUUCAUGAUGCGGGUACACUGAUCCCCACUUACAUAAGUGAGGAUGGGUAGGUAUAACCAUGACGAAACAAUUUCCCAUCUACAAGGGUAUACUUCUCCUCAUUCCUCUUAAAUGCCUUUGCCUCUGUAGGUUCUGCAGGGAGCAUACCAUCAACUAGAUAGCGUUGGUAGGGAGUUAUCGAAGUCUUCAUCGUGUGGACCAGCAGGGCCUUCAGAGACUCAUCUCCCAACAAGUCAUAGGUGGUUAUUCUUGGCACUUUUAAGGUCUUCUGUGUCAACGACCGAUGCCUUCUCCCUUGUUGCGAGCUCACCCCCAAGAUCUUUACGCGGUUGUCCUCGGGUAGCCCCCCGACAGUUGUCCUAGGUGACUUCAAGGUCUCCAGAAUGACUGACCUCUGUCGGCCUCCCUUUCCCGAGCUUGCUAGUUUGGACAACAAGUCAUCUCGAGAGUUUUGUUCUCUUGGGACAUGCACUAGCUUAAACAUGGAGAAAGUUGCCUUCAGAAGUGAUCCUGCCGGUUGACUUAGCACAAGAGCGUUGCUUCGUCACCGUCUUCCCCACCAGCUUGUCACCACGUGUCCUCCAAGCCCAUACAGCAGAUAACCUCUCUGAGAACCUGAAAAACACACAGUGGCGCCUCGGCGGCCGGUGGCGCUCCGACGCUCAAGUUAGUGACAAGAACACCCAAAAAACUAAGAGAAAAAUAUGCUUUGUAGGACCGUACUGUAGGCACACAACCCUAGCAGUAUCAGCCGUAAUGAAAACGUACCUCUGCAAAUUCUGUUAAGGUUACCUUUAUAGCUAGGUUUCUUCUCUCUCCAGGCCGUUAUGCUUUUGGACGAGUAGCUCGCAUCCAGCCCUGCACGUGUCGCCAUCUGGGCUGGGAUAACAGGUAGCGCCCAGCCCUACACGUGUCGUCAUCUGAGCUAAGGCAACUUGAGCGUCAUUUCUCCAUCGCUCCCAACCCUAGACGUGUCUUCAUCUAGGUUGGAGUAACUGGUGACAUCCAACCCUACACGUGUCAUCAUCUGGAUUGGGACAACUUGAACGUGAUUCUUGUGUAGUAACCAGCCGCACAGCUAAGUCCUCAACUCAAGGAGCAACCUAGCACAUAAUGUGCUGUGAAACACCACCCGACAUGGCGAGUAUCGGAUGCAACAAAGUGCAUCAUCUCUAUGAUAUCGCUCGCCGCGAAUGGCACCCUCCUUACUGCUACGCCAUGCAUGUUCUAGCUGGGGAAACCUUGCCACCAACGAAUGUCCACUCUGGGAAUCCUGUCGCUGAUGUGCAAGGUGUUCCCCCCAACCCACUCGACCUUCAUGCCCCAUGCUGGUGCCACAAUCGUCUUACUGAACUUACACGCUUGGAAUUACCCUUCUGAGCCUUCAACAGCCUUAACUAAGUUCGCUGGGAGACCCGGCGAUGUGCUCCUUGUGGCGGCGUGUAAACCACCCGAUCUCCUAGCAUUCUCAUAUGGCGACUGCGACGUAACUCUGGUGACCGCCGGUUACGCACACUAGAGAUCGGAGAACGCCAAUUCAGCGAUCGGCGACUAUGCCCACUUCCGAGCCAUUCAUCUUUUCUAGCCUACGCGUUCCAUUGAGCACGCCCCACUCGAGCACGUGCAAGACACGUCAUCACGCCUGAUGACCUGGUCGGUACACAAGCCUCUUAGUCUCGAGCUGCGACUUGUUCGACGAGGAGACUAAAGAGGUUUAAAAUCCGGCAGCUUUCGUGACUUUGCGCGUUGGCGCUAGAACUGUUUACUGACUUGACAUUUCACCAACUCCUUCGAUCGUUCGACACAUGGACCCAUCAACGGCCAUUGUUCGCUGUCGUUUGCGCUUCCUACAACGUUCGAAACCCUUAAACCCUUCGCGCUAUUCACUGUUUCAUUAUCUUUCUUCACCUUCAAGCAUUCUGAACGCUCUCUCUGCGAACUGCGAAACCUACGCCUCCCUCAAUCUUCAACUUCUUUCAACACUCAUCUGAUCAUCAAAAGGUAACUCUUUUACUCCUUCUACUGAUACUUGUUGCAUUUUAAUCGGUUUGCAUCAUCCAUUAACUCUCGCUCGUUCGUUUUGUCUUCUUUGUCUUCGAUCGAGUCAUUCUUUUGCUAUCCUCAUUUCCUCCCUUUUCUUUCCUUUGCAGUUCCUGCGAUGGCUCAGACAAAGUCCACCGCUAACCCACCUUCCUCAUCGCGAAACCCUCCCCCCAAUACUCGUAGGGUUACCACUGGGACAAACCCUCCACCAACACGCAACCCCCCACGAGCCUCUGGUGCCCCUUCCUCACACGCUGAGAGGCCUGCCUCAUCCCGUGCCAAUCUUACCCAAGCAACUCCACCACAGGCCGGGGGAGUCUCCCUUCCUUCUCAAGACUACAAAAAGCUCUACCCUUGGGCCUCCCCGAUUCUACUGAAGGAAACUUCAUCGAUAAAUACUGAUGUGGGGGUACAUCGNNNNNNNNNNNNNNNNNNNNNNNNNNNNNNNNNNNNNNNNNNNNNNNNNNNNNNNNNNNNNNNNNNNNNNNNNNNNNNNNNNNNNNNNNNNNNNNNNNNNNNNNNNNNNNNNNNNNNNNNNNNNNNNNNNNNNNNNNNNNNNNNNNNNNNNNNNNNNNNNNNNNNNNNNNNNNNNNNNNNNNNNNNNNNNNNNNNNNNNNNACCAAGCUCAACAUCGCCCCUGCCCAGCUCCAUCCCAACAGCUGGGCAUUCGUGAGGGCGUUCCAGAUCCUUUGCGCGCACUUGGGGCUACCAUCUUCGGUGGAUGUCUUCCUCUUUUUGUUCGAGGCAAAGAAUCCUGGAGAUCGCCCCUGGGUCAGCCUGAACGGGAUUGCUGGGAGGUCAAUCCUCUCCAUCUUCCAGCAAUCCUACAAAGACUGGAAGGGGAAGUUCGUCAAGGUGUGCCAGAAUGAUCAAGACCCUUCACUGCUUGACAGCUUCCCCUUGUAUUGGGUAAACAAGGGGCACAAGGACCCCAAAGACAACUUCAGGAGACCAAGAAGUCCUGACAACAUGGGGGAGUUGGACAAAGACCUUUGUCUCUUCUGGAAGAGUGUGGCUUCUGCCAACAUCACCUUCCCCACUGCUCAGAUAAUCUCCUUUGAAUUCCUUGAGGACCAACUCGAAAUGUACAUAGGUUAGCCCCUUUCCCAACACCAAAACUCUCACUUUGCGUUAAAACUGACUUAGCAUUUUUACCAUUCUGUCUUCGGCAUUCCAUUAUUCUUUAUUGGCCUUGAUCAUUCAUCCAUGUGCUAUUCGCUUAUGUUAUCUUUGUAUGUAUAUACUUGCAUGUUCUGCUUCCACUUGAGUUACUCAUCUAUUUUUACCUUGUGCAGACGCAAUGUUGGGCAAAGGAAAACUGGCUGAAUUGAGGGCGAUCGCCCGAUCCCACAAACUUGCGGCGGGCUCUCAAACGAUCCCGAACUCUGUUGCGGAGAUCGCCGCCGCCCAGGGCCAAUCCCCACCAGUUGGUCCACCCGCUGCUGUCGCUCUUCCAGCCCCCCUACGCAAAAAACUACCUCUUAAGAAGGCCAAAAGGAAAGCCCCUAGGGUAGUAUCUGACGAAGAGGCGGACGAAAGCACCGAGGACGGGCUAAUCUGCAAAAGGUCCAGGGUGGCGGUUACCGAGCCCUCAGCAAUUGGGAGCGCCGCUCCAAACUUCAUCGAGGACCCCCCCAGCGCCUCCACACCAUUCGAGUCCGCUGGGGAUGUUCUCGUUUCAAACGCUUCAGUUGCUGAGGCCGCUCCUGAGCAACUCGCUGAUACGCAAGCCUCCUCAGAAGCUGCCGAGAAGCUGCGUGCCUUACCACCACGCCUCGAAGCUCCCCCCGCCGUCCAACCUUGUGAGGGUGGUGGUGAACACCAACCUUCGCCUCCACCAGCAAAUUCAGGCCUCCCAGCCGCUCUUCAAGAAGCUUUCAAGUCCUUCACCGUGUGCCUAAGUGCCAUGGUUGACGAUUGUCUUCCCCAAAUCAUCGGCGAAGGGCUCAAAGACUCCUUGGAGAAGUUUGAGCUCGACAACCGGAUCAACCAAGAGGUGACAAGCACCGCGAAAGCUGAAGCCGAAAAAACCAAGUGCGACAUGAUGAUGCAAGGCUUGGAGUUUUUACGAGUUGAAAACGCCCUCAAGGACGAGCUCCAGAGCGUGCGGCAAGAUAACAAAGAGCUGCGCAAGAAGCUUCAUGAAAAACUCCAAGACGCUGUCGAGCUGGAGAGCAAGAUCGUCCCUCUGAGGGAGAAAAUUUCCGCGCUGGAGGAGGCAAAGAAGACUGACGCUCAGAAGAUGGUCAACCUAGAGAAGAGGUCAAUCGAGAGAGAGACCCUUAUGGGAAAGGUUGAGCAAGAUCGUGAUAAGGCCUCCCAAGAACUCAGUGAAACUGCUGCUGAGCUAGCUCGAGUUCGCGAGGAGAACAGCGAGCUCAAGAAGAAGGCCGACAAGCUCGAGCUUGAAGUCACCCAGGUUCGUGAAGAGAACAGUGGGUUCAAGACGAAGAUCAACGAGCUUCAGCUUGAGGCUGCCCAGGUUCUAACUUCCGGCUUUGGCGUUGCUUUAGAGCAGUUUGCUUGCAAAUAUCCUGACCUCGAUCUUUCUGAGUUCUCGGUGUACAACGAAGUGGUGGACAGCAAAAUCGUGCCCCCGAUUGACUUAUCUCCUUGAAAACUCUUAUGCUUUACCUUGGUCUGUAAUAAUUUUCAUUUUGUUCAAACUGUUCGAUGCUCGUAUGCACAUAUAUACAUAUAUAUAUAAUCUUCUAAUUUAUCUGCUGCACAAUCAACUGGUUUAACUAACAUAACUGGCGAAACUUACUCGGCUGCAUGAACUCAGCAAUACUUGAACUUAACCCUUCACAUACCGCUUCUGACUCGAGUAAAUUGCUAACCUUAUGACAAACUUAGCGAGCUAUUAACUCAAAGUAAAUUUGAGCAGCAAUCAACUCUCCGGCAAUGGCACUCAAUAAAACUUGUGAACUUAGGGUAACAAACCUUAACAUAAAAUCACUUACUAUGCAGCAGGUUUUAACUCAAACUAGUAUUAAAAUACAGUUUACCUGAUCUGCUAAGUGAAGUGCCCAUUACUUCCCUCAUUGCCUGGAACUCUUCUAGUCUGGCACUCGCCAUACAACCCCUCCACUGUCUCAACCUUCACGCCAUAGGGUUCUGGCGAUGUUACCUUUCUUCUUUGUAUAACUUGAUCAUUGUUCUCUCAUCUGGGGGUAAAGGCGCCUUUCGGAUCCUUCUCUACCUCCUGAGUUUUAGAACAAUGAUCUGGAUAGCGAGGUGUUCUCUUCGAACCUACCUCAGUUAUCCUUUAUCUUCUUCCACCCUUCACACCGCACCUGAGAUCGUUCAAGACGAGAAGGAUUUUAUCUAUCUUCACACCGCCCGCAAGUGCGGAAGCUUUAUAUGGUCUUACUGGGUCAAUAUUGAUGUUUCACUUAAAGGGGAAAAAGGCGUUUUCCAUCGACCUUCCCUUCUUGCCGUUUAAGGUCACAAACACCCCUGACUUUUCAGUUUCAUCUUGCCUGAACUCACUCUGGGGUGAGAAGGACUUUCUCUGGUGCCUCAACUUGCCCAGGGUGUACAUCUCCUCCCCCCUGGAUGCACUGAGGACUUUUAAUCUUGCCUCAAUCUACUUAUGCAAAGAGGCCUUUCAAUCUGUUCUUGCCUUCACUCGCUCAAAGGCGAGGAGGACUUCUUCUAUUUCUCGCCUGCACUCGCUCAAGGGCGAGGAGGACUUCUUCUUUUGCCUUAAAAUGCACGAGGGCGUUGAGGGCUUUUUACACUACUGGUGCCUCCGAUCGCCGAAAGACGAUGAGGUCUUAAAACUUUUAACUGUUGUCACCGAUCGCCAAAAACGACGGGGACUUUAAAACCUUUACUACUGAAGCAUGCAAUAUGACUUUAAUGUUGCCCUAGAUCACGUACGAGUGAUAAGGUCCUUUUUUUUCUAAAACUUUCGAAGCAAUAAGCAUGCAAACUUGGAAGCUUUAAACUUGAAAAACUCUUCUUUAUUGGGUGGCCUCAUUAAAAACCCUCCUUAGGGAAAAAAGAGUGCCCCCUUGAAAUUGUUUUAACAGAAACUAUUCCAAUCUCGUCAUGUUCGUCUUUACUUACAAGGCUUUAACUGUAAUACAACUUGAGAUGUGUGGCGUUCCAAGUGCGAGGAAUCGCCCCUCCUUCUAACGUCUCCAAGCGGUAGGCGCCAUUCCCGAGCACCUCGGUUAUUCUGAAUGGUCCCGUCCACUUAGGCGACAACUUGUUCUGCAUCUCAUACUGAUGGGCCUUCCUCAUCACCAGAUCGCCACUUCUAAACUGCUUUGUCAUUACCUUAGAGUUGUACCUUCGCUCAAUUCUUCUCUUUACUGCUUCGGCCUUCACUCUCGCCUCCUCCCUGACCUCAUCCAGCAAAUCCAGAUUCAUUCUUCUUUCUUCGUUCGAGUCUUCCGCCACAAAGUUCUGGAAUCUCGGCGAGCUUUCCUGGAUUUCGACUGGAAUCAUCGCAUCACAUCCAUAAACCAAACUAAACGGGGUCUUGUGGGUUCCUGACUGCUCAGUGGUAUGGUAUGCCCAAACUAUGCGGGGUACCUCUUCAGCCCACGAUCCUUUAGCUUUUUCUAAUCUUCUCUUUAAACCUCUCAGCAACACCCGAUUGGCAGACUCCACUUGGCCAUUCGUCUGUGGGUGCUCGACGGAUGCAAACACCUGUUGUAUUCCCACCUCUUCGCACAACUUUUUCAAAAGGUGACUUACAAACUGAGUCCCAUUGUCUGACACCAGGCGUUUAGGCACACCAAACCGGCACACUAUGUUCUUCCAUACAAAGCUCUCGAUCUUGUGUGCGGUGAUCUGGGCCACUGGCUCCGCUUCGAUCCACUUGGUGAAGUAUUCGAUCGCCACUACCAAGUACUUCAUCUGCCUGACCGCCAGUGGGAAGGGUCCCAAAAUGUCAAUUCCCUAAGUAUGAAACAGCCAGGGGCUGUAAAUUGACUUCAGCUCUUCUGGGGGUGCCUUGUGCCAAUCGGCUUGCUGCUGGCAUUGCUUGCAACGCUGGGCGUAUUUCUUGCAAUCUUCUCUCAUCGUGGGCCAGUAAUAGUCUGCACGGAUAGUCCUUGUCGCCAGCGAUCGACCUCCAAUGUGGCUCCCGCAAAUUCCCUCAUGGAGCUCAGCCAUAAUCCUCGUGCACUUCUCUCCGUGUAUACAUACAAGAAGAGGGUGUGUAAAUCCAAACCUGUACAGCUCGCCGUCAAUAAGGGUAAACUUGCUGGAGCUCUUCUUUAUCCUUCUGGCCUCAGUUGAGUCAACUGGAAGCACACCAUCUGCUAAAUAACGUUGGUAAGGCGUUAUCCACGUGUCUGGUUCGUGGACAGCGCAAACCUGCAUCGGUCUUGCCCUUUCCGCUGGGCGCGCUCUAACCCUCGGCACCCUCAGAGUUUCCUACGUUAGGGAUCUAUGACUUCUCGCCGGUCUUCCCAUUGAUCUACAAACAUGGAGAACUUGGUGGUCUGCCACGAAUGCUCGAGGCGCUUUCAAAGUUUCUUGAAUGACAGUCCUCUGCCUGCCCCCUUGCCCGAACUGGCGAGCUUGGCUAGCAAGUCAACUCGAGCAUUCUGCUCUCUUGGCACGUGCACCACUUCAAAUGACAUGAAAGAUCUCCUUAGCUCUUGCACGUACUCCAAGUAGGCUGCCAUUUGUGGGUCCUUGGCUUGGAACUCGCCAGUUACUUGUCCGGUGACCAACAACGAAUCGCUCUUGGCCAUCAGCACCCUCGCCCCCAUUUCCUUAGCCAGCAGAAUUCCGGCGAUCAAAGCCUCAUACUCUGCUUGGUUGUUGCUUGCUUUGAAAGCAAACCUCAAUGAUUGCUCUAUCAACACUCCGUUGGGCCCUUCCAAAAUGACCCCCGCCCCGCUGCCCAGCUGGUUGGAUGACCCAUCAACUGAGAGUACCCAGCGAAAGUCACCCUCGGCGUUCUGUGCCACCUCAGAGGACAACUCGACCACGAAAUCGGCGAAAACUUGUCCUUUGAUCGAUCCCCGGGGUUCAUAUCUGAUGUCGAACUCCGAAAGAUCGACUGCCCACUUCACCAUCCUUCCAGCCACAUCGGGCUUCUUCAAAACCUUCUGGAUUGGCAGAUCGGUCAUGACCAGUACCGUGAAGCUCUGGAAGUAAUGGCGCAAUCUCCUCGCCGAGAAUACAACCGCCAAUGCUGCCUUUUCUAGGGCCUGGUACCUUACCUCCGGGCCUUGCAACACCUUGCUAACGAAAUAUAUAGGCCUUUGGAUCUGAUCCUGAUCUUGCACCAGCACUACGCUGAUCGCCCUCUCAGUUAUGGCAAAGUACAGCCCGAGCGGUGUCAUGAGUUGGGGCUUGCACAGAACUGGAGGGCUCGCCAAAUAUUCCUUGAGCUUUACGAAGGCCUCCUCACACUCCUUUGUCCAAACAAACCUGUGGUCCUCUUCAAACAUUGGAAGUAUGGGUGGCCCUUCUCUCCGCUUGCCGAUACGAAUCGGGACAGGGCGGCCAUCCGCCCUGUGAGUUGCUGCACCUCCUUCACAUUGGCGGGGCUCCUCAUUGCCAAAAUGGCGGCGCACUUCUCGGGGUUAGCCUCAAUUCCCCUCUCUGACAGGAGAAACCCCAGAAAUUUCCCUGCUUCUACACCAAAAACGCACUUUUCAGGAUUCAGUUUUAGCUUGUACCUGGCUAUCGUGAUGAACAACUCUUCCAAGUCUGCGACGUGCUUGUCUUUCUCCAGGGACGUCACGACCAUGUCGUCGAUGUAUGCUUGUACAUUCCUUCCGAGCAUGGGUGCAAGCACCUUGUCCAUCAGCCUUUGGUACGUAGCCCCUGCAUUCUUCAACCUGAAGGGCAUUAACUUGUAGCAAUAACAUGACCUUUCCGUCAUGAAGGCGGUCUUCUCUUCGUCCAUGGGGUGCAUUUUGAUUUGGUUGUACCCCGAGAAGGCAUCCAGAAAACUGAGCAGCUUGCACCCUGACGCACUGUCUACCAGGGCGUCUAUGAUUGGCAAAGGGUAAGAGUCCUUCGGGCAGGCCUUGUUCAGGUCCGUAAAGUCAACGCACAUCCGCCAUUUUCCGCUGCUCUUCUUGACCAGGACAACAUUAGCGAGCCAUUCUGGAUAUUGGAUUUCCCUGAUGUGGCCUGCUGCAAGGAGUUUCUAUGUCUCUUCUUUGAUCGCCUGCCUCUUCUCCUCAUUGAACUUUCUUCUUCUUUGGCGUAUCGGCCUGAUCUAGGGGUCCAUUGCCAAACGAUGGCACAAAAAAUCGGGAUCGAUUCCCGGCAUAUCUGAAGCAGCCCACGCAAACGCAUCCAAGUGUCUACUUAUCACCUUGGCGAUUUGGUCUUGCGUCUUGCUAUCCAGGGUCCUUCCCAACUUAAACACCUUGCCGCUGAUCUCCUUCUCGAGCCAUUCCUCUACUGGCUGAGAUUUCCUUUUGCUGGCGAUCAGCGCUCUCGCGAUACCGAUUUCUCUGGCGAUUUGUGAGCAGUUUCUUUCUCCCUUCCCGCUCUCCGGCCUCCCCUCUACACUCCCCAUCGGCACAUCACCCUCGGCGACCACCUCUAACGCCGAAUCCGAAACUCGCCGGGGUUCGCGCUCUGGCUCCACGCCAGGGGGAGGCGUUGUGGUUACGUGGCACACAGACCUCUUGUUCUUGAGGCUGUUUUCGUAACACUUCUUCGCCUCCUUCUGGUCGGAGCAAAUAGUGAUGAUCAUGCCCUCCAUAGAAGGCAGCUUGACCUUCAUAUGCCUUGUCGAAGGCACAACUCCUGUUCUGUUGAGCGUUGGCCUUCCCAACAGUAUGUUGUAAGCUGACGGGGCGUUUACAACAAGAUACCUGAUCUUCUCCGUUCGUGAGGCCAAGCCGUCAGUGAAGGUCGUCCUCAGCUCGAUAUACCCCCUCACCUCCACUUGGUCGCCGGCAAAACCGUACAAGCAGCCCCCAUAUGGUCUUAGUUGAUCAGGGGACAGUUGUAACUUCUCAAAAGUUGGCCAAAACAUCACAUCUGCUGAGCUUCCUUGGUCGACCAGCACCCGGUGGACGGUCCUUCCCGCCGUGACAAGCGAGAUCACAAUAGGUUCGUUGUCGUGAGGCACCACGUUCCUGAGGUCCCCCUUGGUGAACGUGAUGUCCACGUCGAGCGAAUGAUCCUCAAAGAUUUCCACUGACAUUUCCACCCCCCGCCGGAGAAUCCGCCAGCUAUGGUGUGGAUCUCGCCGUGAAUGGGCACCUCGUGUUGUUGCCCUCCGCUGCUUGCCGGUUGAGACCCUGACGCUUGGUCCGCUUGCUUCUCUAGCAAGUAAUCCUUCAGGAAACCACAUUUGACCAGCUCGGCGAGCUGGUGUCCUAGAGCCAAACACGAGUUGAUAGAGUGGCCAAAACUCUUGUGGAACUCGCACCAUGCGUCUGGCUUUGGCCCCAAAAUCUUCUCCGUCGUUUUCUCAGGCACUUUGAGCUUGGCAACAAUGUUUGGGAUGGCGAUCAAAUCAGCCAAACCCAUUACAAACUCAUACCUUGGGGGGCGAUUACUCUCCCUGGGGCGCCCUGGUCCCUCGCUCUUAUUUUUGUUAGGGUCGUAAGGAUGGCGCGUCCUUUGAUCCCUCUUUCCCGCCGCCGUCUCCGUUACCCUCUGCGGUUGUACCCGUGCUUGGGCGCGCGGUUUAGUUGGGGCCACGUUUCCCCUCUUCUCGGUGACCUCACUUUCGGCGGCGAUGUGAGCCACAACACGUUGUCGGAUUUCAGCAAACGUGGCGGGGUGGCUCCUGAUGAGCGACUCAAUAAAAGGCCCAGGUAACACGCCCUUUUUGAAGGCAUGCACGAACAUCUCUUCGUCCUUUCCGGGCAAACGGACUAUCCGAGCUCCGAAUCUGUUCAGGAAAUCCUUCAGGGACUCCACUUGGUACUGCCUUAUAUCAAACAAGUCGUAAGACACCAAAGGUGGCGCCUUGUUCACUAUUUACUGCUCAACAAACAUCUUGGAAAACUGUUCGAACGUGGUAAUGUGGCCAGUGGGUACACUGACGAACCAAUCCAACGUCGUUCCGCUCAAAGUGCUCAUGAACACCUUACAAUACACCGCGUCUGAGCCCCCUGAGAACAUCAUCUGAGUAAAAAACGCCGUGAGAUGGGCUUCAGGGUCCUCCACCCCAGUGAAAGACGCUUUCACUACCACAGUGUUAGCCGGGAGCACCGAGUCCAUGAUCUCUUGGGAAAAUGGCAUAGGAAAGCUGCAUGGUGGGGAUGGGGGUGCAGAUCUGUCCCCAGCCGCACGCUCCUCCCGCUCCUGAAGGGCUUUGCGCAGCUCUUCGUUGAUACUGUUGAGCUCUUUGUUCCUUGCUUGCGAGGCCACCAGCGCCUCGUGCAUCCUUUCCUGUUCAGAACGUGAUGCAGCCACGUUCUCCUGCAGCGUCCUCAUCAUGUCCAUCACUUGCGUCAUAGACACAGCAUCUUCGUCUGUUGAUGGCGCAACUGAACUGGAGCGUGUUGUCCUCAUCCUUCCUCAGCAAACUCAACAGUUCAAAGAACUCCAAACAAACGGUGAAAACUCCAGGAAUCGACUGCGAUAGCGAGCAGUCGAACAGGAAACACCAAAACACCACAAACACGAACUAUGGUUGGGAAUCACCUUUUAUACGGCCCCACGGUGGGCGUCAGAUGAUCCUGCCGGUUGACUUAGCGCAAGAGCGUUGCCUCGUCACCGUCUUCCCCACCAGCUUGUCACCACGUGUCCUCCAAGCCCACACAGCAGAUAGCCUCUCUGAGAACCUGAAAAACACACAGUGGUGCCUCUGCGGCCGGUGGCGCUCCGACGCUCAAGUCAGUGACAAGAACACCCAAAAAACUAAGAGAAAAAUAUGCUCUGUAGGACCGUACUGUAGGCACACAACCCUAGCAGUAUCAGCCGUAAUGAAAACGUAUCUCUGCAAAUUCUGUUAAGGUUACCUUUAUAGCUAGGUUUCUUCUCUCUCCAAGCCGUUAUGCUUUUGGACGCGUGGCUCGCAUCCAGCCCUGCACGUGUCGCCAUGUGGGCUGGGAUAGCAGGUAGUGCCCAGCCCUACACGUGUCGUCAUCUGAGCUAAGGCAACUUGAGCGUCAUUUCUCCAUCGCUCCCAGCCCUACACGUAUCAUCAUCUAGGUUGGAGUAACUGGUGACAUCCAACCCUACACGUGUCAUCAUCUGGAUUAGGGUAACUUGAACGUCAUUCUUGUGUAGUAACCAGCCGCACAGCUAAGUCCUCAAGUCAAGGAGCAACCUAGCACAUAAUGCGCUGUGAAACACCAUCCGACAAGGCGAGUAUCGGAUGCAACAAAGUGCAACAUCUCUAUGAUAUCGCUCGCCGCGAAUGGCACCCUCAUUACUGCUACGGCAUGCAUGUUCUAGCUGGGGAAACCUUGCCACCAACGAAUGUCCACUCUGGGAAUCUUGUCGCUGAUGUGCAAGGUGUUCCCCCCAACCCACUCAACCUUCAUGCCCCAUUCUGGUGCCACAAUCGUCUUAUUGAACUUACACGCUUGGAAUUACCCUUCUGAGCCUUCAACAGCCUUAACUAAGUUCGCUGGGAGACCCGGCGAUGUGCUCCUUGUGGCGGCGUGUAAACCACCCGAUCUCCUAGCAUUCUCAUACGGUGACUGCGACGUAACUCUGGUGAUCGACGGUUACGCACGCUAGAGAUCGGAGAACGCCAAUUCAGCGAUCGGCGACUAUGCCCACUUCCGAGCCAUUCAUCUUUUCUAGCCUACGCAUUCCAUUGAGCACGCCCCACUCGAGCACGUGCAAGACACGUCAUCACGCCUGAUGACCUGGUCGGUACAAGAAGCAUAACAUACCUGAGGUACGAGGCUAACUGCGGAUCCUUAGCCUAGUACUCACCUAUGACGUGCCCGGUAACCAACAACGAGUCACUCUUCACCAACAAACUUUGAGCACCCAACUCCUUGGCCAACAAUAUCCCUAUCAAGGCUUCGUAUUCAGCUUGGUUGUUGCUUGCUUUGAAGGCAAACCUCAGGGCUUGCUCGAUUAACAACCCGCUUGACCCUUCUAGAAUGACCCCAUCUCCAUGCCGUGUUGGUUAGAGGAUUCCUCCACUGAAAUGACUCACUGGAAGUCAUUAGGAUUUGGUUGAGGACCCUUAGAUGACAACUCUACCAUAAAAUCAGCAUACAUUUGGCCCUUGAUAGGCCCUUGGGGUUCAUACUGCAUAUCAAACUCAGACAACUCAACUACCCAACGGACCUUCCGACCUGUUAUGUCGGGCUUUUGGAGGACGUUGCGGAUGACCAAAUCAGUCAUCACUAUUACAGUAAAGCUGUGGAAGUAGUGGCAGAGCCGCUGAGUUGUGAAUACCACUGCCAAAACGACCUUCUCAAUGGCCUGAUACCGGGUUUCUGGCCCUUGCAGCACCUUGCUCACAAAGUAGACCGACUUUUGGACCCUAUCUUGCUCUUGCACAAUGGUCGAGAUGAUUGUUCGAUCUGUGAUCGUAAAAUAAAGACGAAUGGGAGUACCUGGCAACGACUUACAAAGAACAGGUGGGCUGGCCAAGUACUCCUUCAACCUGGUGAAGGUCACUUCACACUCACGAGUCCAUACAAAUCGGUUAUUCUUCUUCAAGCAUUGAAAUUAAGGAUACCCCUUAUCUCCUCUAACGAACAAGAAUCGAGACAAGGCAACUAUACGUCCAGUUAACUGCUGGACUUUCUUCAAGAUGACAGGGCUUCUCAUUCCUAUGAUUAUCGCGCACUUGUCGGGCUUCGCCUCUAUACCCUGUUCAGCGAGAAAAAACCCAAGGAACUUCCCUGCUUCCACCCCAAACACAUACUUUUCUUGGUUCAGCUUCAAGUUGUACUUUGUUAUCAUAGUGAAUAGCUCUUCUAAAUCAACAAUGUGUUGAUCCUUCUCUUCUGAUGUGGCGACCAUGUCGUCCACAUAUGCCUGCACACUUCGCCCAAUCAUUGGGGCGAGAAUUAUGUCCAUCAACCUAUGAUAAGUGACACCAAUAUUCUUGAGGCCAAUGGGCAUGACCUUAUAGCAGUAGUUAGAGAGCUCGGCCGUGAAGGAAAUCUUACUCUUACCCCUGGGGUGCAUACGAAUCUGGUUGUACCCCGAGAACGCGUCUAGGAAACUCAACACUCAACAACCUGAGGGACUGUCCACCAAGGAAUCUAUACUUGACAGUGGAUAAGAGUCCUUGGGACAGGCCUUGUUUAGGUCGGUGAAGUCGACGCACAUCAUUCACUUCCCAUUAGCCUUUUGUAUCAACACAACGUUACCCAACCACUCAGGAAUUGGAUUUCCCUUAUGUGGCCAGAAUUCAGAAGCUUCUGCGUCUUUUUUUUUAUGAUCAGAUGCCUUUCCUUAUUGAAUUCCGUCUUUCUCUGGACUACCGACCUGACCUUUUCAUCCAUAGAGAGCCUAUGGCAUAAAAAAUAUGGUUCUAUCUCGGGCAUGUCCACGGAUGACCAAACGAAAGCAUCCAUGUGCUUCGAUAUUACCUCGACUAUCUUGUCCUGCAAUUCUUGACAUAUCGACGUGCCGAGCUUGAACUUCUUGCCUCCUAUUUCCUUUUCCUGAACCUCACCAGCAGGUCCAGGUCGCCUUUCAUUGGCGAUUUCAGCUUGCAUAAUUUCUUCUAGCUCUUCCGCCUGAACAGUGAUUGAGUAUGUUCCCCUUUUACUUUUCAAGAUACUCUCAUAACACUUCCUUACCAUCUUCUGAUCAAGCUUGAUGAUGAUCACUCCUUCAUCAGGGAAGGCAACUUCUUCUUCAUGUGCCUCGUUGAGGACACUGCAUCCAACCUGUUCAAAGAGGGUCUUCCCAAAAGCAAAUUAUAAGCUGAAGAAGCAUUAACUACAAUGUACCUGACGUUAAUCAUCCAAGCUGAGGUGCCAUCUGAAAAAGUUGUCUACAACUCGACAUAUCCACGUACUCUCACCUGAUCUCCCGCAAAGCCAAACAAGCAACCAUCGUACGACUUUAGCUGGUUAGAAGACAACUGAAAAUUAUUGAAUGUCGACCAGAACAUCACAUCAGUUGAGCUUCCCUUAUCAAUGAGAACUUAUUGUACCUUUCUUCCAAUAAAAAGACAUAUAUCACCACCGAAUCAUCUUCGUGAGGGACCACAUCCUCCAAGUCAGAGCUCAUAAAGCAGAAGGCGGGCUCUAGUGGAUGGUCAGGUUUCCUCGCCUCAACUAUCAUCACUUCUCUCGCGUAUCUCUUAUGCUUGGAGGUAGUGCACUGUCCUCCCAAGAAUCCUCCCGAGAUGGUGUUCAACUCUCAAUGGAUCGGUACCUCAUGCACUUGGUCCCUAAGAGCAACCUCUUCCUUCGAGACUUCCUGGUCCCCCUCAAGGUAUUCCUUUAAGAAUCCUUCCUUCACCAAACAUGCCAAAUUCCCCCUCAAGGUAACCUAGAGCUAUACAUCGCUCAACAUCGUGCCCAAAUUCCAUGUGGAAUUCGCACCAGACCUCCCUUUGUGGACCAUGAUUCCUGUCAUACUUCUGAGGGAAUUUCUACUUUUUUACAACCCCUGAUAUGCUCAACAAUUCCUUGUAAGACAUUUGGAAUUUAGGUCGAAAUGGAAAAUCUUCUCAGGCCUUCGCCUUGGGGACGUUCUUCCUGGUUGGAUAUGGUGCGCGCCUCAAGUCCGUCCUCUUCUCGGUUGUGGUUUCGUUGACCCUUAGAGGUCGAGAUCGGCUACCCUCCUUAGGUUUUAAGUACCUGGAUAGGUGUUGCUAAGCUUCACAGACACUGCCUCCUUCGCAUUAAUGUGGGCGACAACUUGUCGUCGUAUUUCGACAAAUCUCUCUACCAGAUUUCUGAUCAAUAAGUCACUAAAUGGUCCUGCCAUGACUCCCUAUUCGAAGGCGUUGACCAUCAGGGCCUCGUCAUGGGUCUGGAGCUUCAUUGUAAACGCCCAUAACCUGUUUAAAUAGUUUUUUAGAGACUCACCAUGUCUAUGUUUCACGCUGAAGAGAUCAAAUGAAAUCGGAGGUUUUGCUUGGUUGAUAGAGAACUGUUCCCUGAACAGCUCGGAAAAUUGGUUGAAGAAGGUGAUGUGGCCAUUAGGAAGCCCACUAAACCACUGUAGGGUUGUACAUGUGAAUGUACCCUUGAACAUCUUGCAAUCGAUAGAAUCUGUUCCCCCAGAAAUAAUCAUUUGGGCAUUGAACAUCGUAAGAUGGUUUUCAGGGUUUUCUACUCCUUUGAAACGAUCUUAGGCGUAAUGUAGUGUGGUAGCACAGGCGACUCCAUGAUCUCCUGCGAGAAUGGCUUGGGACGAGCUAUCGGGGGCGCAUUAGAACCUCGCUCCCUUGUAAAGCGUUGAUCAAGUUGUUGUAGAUUCUUGCGCAAUUCAUCAUUGGCCUUGCGCAAUUCCUUACCGUUCUCUCGUGACGCAUCUAUCUCCGGCAUCAGUUGAUCUUGCCUAAGAAUUUUCUCAACUCUAGCUUUUUCAUAAGCUUUUCCUGUUCGGAUUUAGCCUCGGUCAUUAGCAUGUCCUGCUCAGCUUUGGCUUCUGCCAUCAGCCUUUCCUGCUUGAAUUUGGCCUCUUGUUGGAUCCACUCCUGCUCUCGCCUGUAUUGUUCGUUGGCUUCUUGGAGAGCUCUCACAGUGUCCAUGAGCUGUUGUAGGGUGGGGGCGUCGUUCCCUUCAUAUCUUAGCGCUCUUUGCCUAGUGUUCCUCAUAUCGCUGGAAAACUCAAACACAACUAUGGAUGGGAUCAAUUUUUAUCGGGCCCCACGGUCAAAUGUUCUUGCCGGUUGACUCUAGUGACAAGCUCUAACUCUGGUCUAUCUCCUCUGGAAUCUGUUCUACGUCUUAUUGCACUGGAACGUGGCUCCAUUGAAAUAGAAGGGACUCCAUCUGUUUACAUGGGCACCCUUACUCAUGGUGCAACGUUAUAUUUCACUAUGAAUGCAACUUAACCACUACGUGCCGUAAAUGCACACUUAGGUUAAAAUAUAUUUACGUGACUUAACCACUACGUGCACUAACACGCACCCUUAGGUUAAGAAAUAUCUUUUACUAAUAACCUUAUCUUAGAGUAUCAAAAUAUUAUUUCAAUUAUUCUCCAACGGGCUUACUAGUAUAACUGGGCUAAACUCAUGACCCACCUUAUAGGCCCAAUAGACGAGCUGACCUACCUACACCGUGCACCGAGUUCCAAUCACUGAGCACUGAGCACUUUGUACAAUACAAUUAGUAUAUAUCAAUUUAAUUAGUUAUAAUACCUGCAAAAGACAUAUGCAUAGUUAAAACAAGUAAAGAAAAUUACCCUCACUAUAAUCGGUUUUGCUAAUCUAACUGGCCAAAGAAUAAAAUUCCAAGGGGCCUGUCCCAUUGUCUGAACCUCCUUAGUAGGCAUAAGGAUUCGAGAAACAACAUCUCGAACAUCUACAACCACCACUCUUAUCAUAUCAUCUGCAAUUGUUUGCUGGUGGAUGGUUGACCCUAACAUGUACAUUUUACCUAAGGCAACCGAAUAAUGUAAUUGAAAGAAAAUAAAUAAUAUAAUUAGAUUAAACAUAUAUGCAUCAAACAAUAUCUAUAAAAUAAAAAUUAGCUAAGGCCACUAAGCACUUAGAGGGAUCAUCAAUGUACAAUUCGCAAUCUGCAAGGAUAGUAGGACCAGCCUCCCCUGAUCCUUCAGGAGCAUCACAACUCCCCUUUGUACUUAUACGAAUAGGGGAAGGCUUUGAAGUGGUAGCAAAAGGUUCAACAAACAUGGAUGCUAACUUUGCUCGCAUGUCUAAUAACAACUUUGUCUUCAAUUCAGAGUAUACUUCCUUCUUAGUUUCCUUCCUAAUCUCUUCUUUGAGGGACUCCAUCUCGAUUUGACUAAGAUGUGAUUUACUAUAAUACCGAGGUGGAGGACCAAAGAAUUUCAGAUGCCUACCUCGUCCUGCAAAUUAUGUUUAUGUGCAGAUGGGUUUAAUCCUUUUGGUCAAUAUGGAAAAAGUUACUCUUAUUAGCUAGUUAUCCUAACCCCAUACAACUUUCGCCUUCCAUAUGCAUGAAGAGGGUGUUUAUGUUUUGACAGUCUUAUUUCCAAGUCCUUUAAAUCCAAAGCAUAAGAUUGAUGUGUUCUUGCAACCACUCAUAGAUGAGUUAUGCACCUUAAGGACGAAGGGAUAUUGACUUAUGACGUGUCACUAAGGCACACUUUUAUGAUGAAAGUUGCUUUGAUGUGGAGAAUUAAUGACUUAACAGCUUAUGGCAUGUUAUCGGGUUGGUUGGCUUCUGGUAGACUUGCUUGCCCUAUAUGUAUGGAAAGAACAAAGACAUUCUAUCUUAGUCAUAGCCACAAGAUAUCCUUUUUCGACUGUCAUCGUCAGUUUUUUUCACCUGAUAAUUCAUUUUGGAAGAAUAAAAAGGCAUUCAAGAAGAAGUUUGUUGAGAGUGAUCCCCCUUCUCCACGUUUGUCUACUCUUGACAUUUGGAAUAGGGUUGCACACUUACCAAUUUGCACUGAAUUACAAGAACAAAAAAAUAUUCUUGAAUAUGGUAUUAAACAUAAUUGGAAGAAACAAAGUAUAUUCUAGAGGUUGGCAUAUUGGAAAACUCAACUUUUACGUUACAAUAUUAAUGUUAUGCACACAGAGAGUGUUCAUGAUUGUGUUUGACACUGUGAUGGAUAUCAAAGGGAAAACUAAGGACACAAACAAGGCUCGAUUGGAUAUAGCACAAAUAUGAAAUUGAAAAGAGCUAGAGUUGAAAGACAUUGGUGGUGGCAAACUUAUCAAACCAAAAGCAACAUAUGCAUUUACCAAUUCCCAAGAGUCUUUAUUUGUAAAUAGGUUAAAGAACUUAAGUUUCCAUAUGGAUAUGAUUCCAAUUUGGGUAGAUGUGUUUACCUUAAUCAAGGCAAGUUAGAGGGCAUGAAAAGUUAUGAUUGUCACGUGUUCAUGCAACGAUUGCUUUCAAUUGCAUUUGACGCAUUACCAAAAUCAAUUUGGAAAGUUCUUAUUGAACUUAGUCUUUUCUUUAGAGGAUUAAGUUCGAAAACACUAAAUGUUGAACACCUAAGAGUUAUGGAAGAAAAUAUUCUUAUGUUAUUGUGUAAAUUGAAACAAAUAUUUCCACCAAGCUUCUUUGAUUCCAUGGAAUAUCUUUCAAUUCAUCUACCUUAUAAGGAAAAAGUUGGUAGUCCUGUCCAAUAUCGUUGGAUGUAUCCAUUUGAGAGGUAUAAAAUUACUAAUAACUUUUAUAACAUUUUUUGUUUAUUUAUUUAAUAUUUUAUAUUAUGUACACCCGUAUUCUUUUUUAGGUUUUUACACUCCCUAAAAAAGAAAGUAAAAAAUAAAGCUAGGGUGGAAGACUCUAUUUCUAAAGCUUACUUAGUGGAGGAAACAUAUACAUUUGCCUCAUUUUAUUAUCCUGAUCAUGUUGAAACAAGAAGGACUAGGAUCUUUCAUAAUCUUGAAGUAGGUGAGAGUUCUUCAUGUGCUCCUCCUAUUUCAAUUUUCAAUUAUUCAGGAAGAGAAAUUGGAAAAUGCAUGACAUAUUAUCUAAACCAAAGAGAUUUUGAUGCUUCUCAAUUGUAUGUGUUAGAAUUGUAGGCCUAAAACAAGAGGGGGGUGAAUUUUUUUAAAUUUUUUUUUUUCAAACUUUGAAGGUGUGGAGAAAGUUAAUGAAGAAUCAAAAACAAAGGAAUGAAAAUGCUCAAGUUACAAAACUGCUUUGUUGAUUUCCAGAAAAUCAAUCGAUUGUUUUUGCGAUUCAACCGGUUGUUUUUAUCAGCAGUUUAUAAAAACAACUAAAAGCAUAUAUAAUUGAGAUUAGGGAAAGAGAGAAUCACACAAACAAAUUUGUACUGGUUCACUUUUACACCAAGAGCUACAUCUAGUCCCUAGAAAUCACUAGGUAUUCCACUAUGUAAUCAACCACAGAUUACAACCCCACACACACACCAAAGAAGUGAUCUUGAACCCCUAAAAAACACAAACUUCCUUUAGCAAUACAACACACGACAAAUCAGAACACCCUCGACUCUGUGCAACACAAUUCUUUACAUAAAUACAAAGAUUAAAAGAAGAGGAAAGAGUACACCUGGAUCAAUUCACAAAAUAAAAAAAUGACUUAACACAUAAUAGUCUGAUGAGCAUAUAUUUAUUCACACUUAAUAGCUUUAAUCAUAGAUUAUUGGACUAUAAUAAUAAAUAAAUCUGUUGUUUUAAUUAAUAUUUGUACCGCCCUGGUAGUCGGAAGUGAUGACGUGGCAUCAAACUAUUGUAUAGGCGUGUUGAUGGGAUGCCUGGCUGGCAGAAGGGAAGGAAGUCGAGGGGCUCGUGUAGUCGCCAGUUAUUAAGUUGGCGUGCUCCGAUCUCCAGCACACCAGAACCGGCGGUCACCGGGUUGAAGAUGAAGUCGCCAGAUGUAAACCCAGGCGACCAAGUGAUUAGAGAUCGUCGAAACAAGGACAUCGCCGAAGAUGAAGGCAGAUAGACAUUUCCCAGCUGGCCAGAGGAUGAGGUCGGGGGACAGCUUACUUGAGCAUAUACGAUGAAACAGGCGGUGCAGAUCAUGAAGGCGGCCGGCGAGACCACAGGGAAGGUGUGUACGAAGGCACCCAAACUCGCCAUCCAGAAGAGAUCACGCUCCAAGGCAACUAUGCACUGAGUAGUAUCAUGCAUAAGUAACUUAGCCAAAAGAGAGUCAGAAGUAGCGCCCAAGUCAAGGAUGCUCCAGAUGAUGGCACGUGUACAGCUGGAUGCGAGCCACGUGUCCAGAUGUGUAACUGCCAGGAGAGAGAAAGUGUCCAGGUAUAUAAGAGUUUCCCAACGAACUUCUGAGGUACGCACGUUCAGAUUGUCUUCUUUACGCUUGCGAGUCUUGAGUAUACUGAGAGAGAACAUUGCACGGUUCCUUGAGAGUUCUUGAGUGUUACUCUUAGUAAUUGGUGGUUCAGUCGCUGACUUGGGCGUCGGAACGUGAUCGGCCGCAGCAACGCCGUUCUGUUCUUUUGCAGGUUCUUGAGGUGAAUCACGGUGAAAGACGGAGGCUGACACGGCGCACACGUCAAUCCAAGUUUGACGAGGCAAAGCUCCAGCGUUCUGGUCAACAGGCAGGAUCAUCAGGCGCCCACCGUGGGGCCGUGUAAACCUGUUCCCAUCCACAGCGCGAGUUCUUGGAGGUUUCUGCAGUUUCCGUGUGGUUGUGUGCUGGUGCAACCAUUGUCCGCUGUUCAUCUAGGUUUUGUUCGGUGAUUUCGCGUUUUCCACCGUUCGUUUGGAUUUUUGUUCGGUGAGGUGAACGUUCUUGCUGCUUACGCGAGUUUUGAUCGGUGAGAUCUGAGUUCUUUGGCUCGUUUGGUUUUUCGUGGGAGAAGCGUCAGUUUCUGGUGGAGUUGCAGGUUUUUGUGGAGGUUCGCUGUGUUCUUGAGGUUUCUUUCGGAGUUUCGCGAAAUUCUGACCGAUUGAUCGCUGAAUUGAUCGUCGCUGAAGAAGGUGUUGUUCAUUACUCUCUGUGAUUUGUCAAGUUUUCAUGAGAAAAAUGAGAAGCAACCGUUCAAGUCCAGUUGCGCCCGUUGCCGCUGAAGGCGCCAUGACUAUGGCGCAUAUGGUGGAAAUCAUGCAUUUGCUGCAGGCGAAUGUGGAAGCCUCGCAUAUAGAGCAGGCAAGAAUGCACGAGGACCUGGUCGCCUCUCGGGCCAGGAAUGACGAGCUUAGCAGAGUGACUGAAGAACUGCGUCAAGCUCUUCAAGAACAGCGAGGGCGUCCAGUCGCUGAAGAGGUCGCGCCGUCAACGCUGCCUCGCGUUUUACCUAUGCCUUUUGCUCAGGCGAUUACCGACACGCCUAUCCCUGCGAGUGUGGUACCUGUGAAGGCUAUUUUCACCGGCGUGGAGGAUCCUGAAGCUCAUCUCACCACGUUCCAUACGCAGAUGAUGUUGUCAGGAGGAUCAGACGUCGUGUACUGCAAGAUGUUUGUGAGCACACUCCAGGGAACGGUGCUGGAAUGGUUUGUGAGCCUGCCUACAGGUCACAUAACAAACUUCCAACAGUUUUCAAAGAUCUUUGUCGAGCAGUACAUCGUGAACAAGGCACCGCCCAGGGUGUCUUAUGACUUGUUCGACAUAAGGCAGUAUCAGGGAGAGUCCCUCGGGGACUACAUGAAUCGUUUUGGGGCGCAGAUGGUCCGAUCGCCGGCCAAAGAUGAAGAAAUGCUGGUCUACGCAUUUAAGAAGGGCGUGCUGCCGGGACCAUUCUGCGAAGCAUUGAUCAGGGCUCACCCUGCCACGUUUGCUGAGGUCAGGCGACUUGCGGUGGCCCACAUCGCCGAUGAGAGUGAGGUCCCCGAGAAGAGAGGAAGCGUGGCUCCCGCUAGGCCACGCGCCCAGACCAGGAUCCAGCCACAGAGGGUGUUGGAGACAGCGCCGGCUAGGAGGGAUCAGAGGACUCGCCAUCCUUACGAUCCAAGGAAGAACAAGGACAGGGGCCAAGGGCGCCCUCAACCAGCACGCCGGGAGUACAAUCGCCCGCCUAAGCACAAGUUUGUCAUGGGAUUGGCGGACCUGAUCGCCAUUCCCAAUAUAUCAGCUAGGUUGAAAGCGCCCGAGAAGGUGGGUGACAAGGUGCUGGGACCAAAGCCAGACGCCUGGUGUGAGUUCCACCAGGGCUUUGGCCACACCGUGGAUUCGUGCUUGGCUUUAGGAUACCAGCUCGACGAUUUGGUCAAGAGCGGGUUCCUAAACGACUACUUGCUGGACAGAAGGACGGGGGGCGCGUCGAGCUCCCAACCAGCAGGUGGUGAGGCUCAGCAGCACGGGAUGCCUACACACGGGGAAAUCCACACCAUUGCAGGGGGUUUCUCGGGUGGUGGAUGCACCGCGUCACAAAGGAAGAAGUACGCGAGGUCUGUGAUGACGGUGGAUAUGUUUGAAGACCACUCGCCGGAUGUGGACAUUACGUUCACAAAGCAAGAUCUUCGGGACGUUGUGCCUCAUGACAACGACCCCAUAGUCAUCUCGCUGAUCACAGCAGGAAGGAAGGUCCACAGGGUUCUGGUGGACCAAGGAAGCUCGACAGACGUGAUGUUCUGGCCGACUUUCACGCAGUUGGAGCUACCCCUUGACCAGCUGAGGCCCUAUGGAGGGUGUUUGUAUGGUUUCGCUGGUGACCAGGUGGAGGUCAGGGGGUACAUUGAGUUGAGGACUACGUUUACAGAUGAGGCGGGUUCGAGAACAGAGAAAAUCAAGUACCUUGUCGUAAAUGCUCCCUCAGCAUACAAUAUUCUGUUGGGAAGACCCACGCUCAACAGAAUAGGCGCUAUACCGUCGACCCGGCACAUGAAGGUGAAGCUGCCGUCUAUGGAGGGGGUGGUGAUCACCAUCAAGUCCGACCAGAAAGAAGCGAAGAAGUGCUAUGAGAAUAGCCUGAAGAACAAGAGGUCGGUGAGUUACGUGACAACCACCCCGCCUCCUGGUGUGAAGCCCAGACCGACGGUAAUGGAAGAGACCGCCGGAAGUGACGUGGUGAUGGCGGAUGCUGAGCUGGGGGAGGGGAACGCCGAUCUAGAGGAAGAAGAGGCAAGGAAUCGCCCUGAGGAAGCGAGGGAGCUGGGAAUCGCCAGGGCGGUGAUCGCCAGAGAAACCAGGCCAAAACCCGUCGAGCAGUGGCUCGAAAGAGAGAUUGGAGGAAAGAUCUUCAAGCUGGGAAGAUCUCUGGAGGUUGAGCUCUAGGACCAGAUCGCCAAGGUGAUAGAACGGCAUCUGGAUGCGUUUGCAUGGUCCGCUUCGGACAUGCCCGGGAUCGAUCCCGAUUUCCUGUGCCAUCAUUUGGCGAUGGACAAUCAGGUCAGACCGGUACGCCAGAGGAGAAGGAAGUUCAACGAGGAGAGGAGGCAGGCGAUUAGAGACGAAACACAAAAACUCCUCGCUGCAGGCCAUAUCAGGGAGGUGCAGUACCCUGAUUGGUUGGCCAAUGNNNNNNNNNNNNNNNNNNNNNNNNNNNNNNNNNNNNNNNNNNNNNNNNNNNNNNNNNNNNNNNNNNNNNNNNNNNNNNNNNNNNNNNNNNNNNNNNNNNNNNNNNNNNNNNNNNNNNNNNNNNNNNNNNNNNNNNNNNNNNNNNNNNNNNNNNNNNNNNNNNNNNNNNNNNNNNNNNNNNNNNNNNNNNNNNNNNNNNNNNNNNNNNNNNNNNNNNNNNNNNNNNNNNNNNNNNNNNNNNNNNNNNNNNNNNUUGGGUUGAAGAACGCGGGGGCCACGUACCAAAGGUUGAUGGAUCGAGUACUUGCACCAAUGCUGGGAAGGAAUGUGCAAGCGUACGUGGAUGACAUGGUCGUGACCUCGCCAGAGAAAAGCAAGCACGUUGCGGACUUGGAGGAGUUGUUCACUACGAUCGCCAAGUUUAGGUUGAAGCUGAAUCCUGAGAAGUGCAUCUUUGGCGUGGAGGCUGGAAAGUUCUUGGGUUUCCUCUUAACCGAAAGAGGAAUAGAAGCCAACCCUGACAAGUGUGCCGCCAUCUUGGCGAUGAGGAGCCCGACCACCGUGAAGGAAGUGCAGCAGCUUACAGGUCGGAUGGCCGCCCUGUCUCGCUUCGUGUUGGCUAGCGGAGAGAAGGGCCAUCCAUAUUUCCAGUGCUUAAGGCGCAAUAACAAAUUUGCCUGGACGAAGGAGUGUGAGGAAGCCUUCGUCAAGCUUAAGGAAUAUCUGGUGAGCCCGCCGGUUUUGUGCAAACCGCUGGUGGGAACCCCUCUCAGGUUGUAUUUUGCUGUAACUGAGAGGGCGGUGAGUGCGGUGCUCGCCCAGGACCAAGAUCAGGCUCAAAAGCCUAUUUAUUUUGUUAGUAAGGUGCUGCAGGGCCCCGAAACGAGGUAUCAGGCCCUGGAGAAGGCUGCACUGGCAGUAGUCUUUUCGGCGAGGAGGUUACGCCACUAUUUCCAUAGCUUCAUGAUACUGGUGAUGACCGACCUGCCCAUCCAGAAGUUCUUGAAGAAGCCCGAUGUUGCGGGGAGGAUGGUGAAGUGGGCAGUGGAGCUGUCGGAGUUUGAUAUUAAGUAUGAGCCCCGAGUUAUGAGGUAAUUUGAGUUAUGAUUACAUUUAAAAUGUUCUUCUAUUAUUCUACAAUGUUUUUUUUGUAAUUGAUUUUUCAUGCAGAAAUAGUAUAGGCAGGGAUCUGGAACAAGACCAACUUAUUAGAUUUAUUUUUUGAAAAAAAAGGCUCCCGUAUCUUUAAAAAUGCUAUGAAUAAAGUUAGGCAUGGUCAAGAUAAGGGGGCCUGAAUUCCACCACUUGUUCGAGCAACCUUGGAUGAAAAUUAGAAUUUUACAAAUUUAGAAAACAAGAGUGUCAUUGUCAAGGCAAAUCGGGGUGUUGAGAAGGGAGCCUUAGCCUAUUGUGGUGGUUCCAUAUCUACAACAUCUCACUUUGAGAAAAUGGUAAUAUUUUUAUGUUUUCUAUAUUUAAUUUAAAUACAAUAUAUUAGACUUGGUUAUUAAAUUAUAUCUUUUCAUUAAAUUUAUAUAUACUAAGGAGCUUGAACGACAACCAACUAUUUGGAAGACUGUAGAGAAAACAAAGAAAUUGAAAACUGGUCAAUGAGUCAAUGACAAGACCUGCGACCUUGCGGUAUGUUUAAACUUUAAGUUAUAAUUUACUUUUUACUAUAUGUUUUCUUCACAAUAAUCAAUUUGACUUUAUUUUCAGGAGAAAUAUAAGCAACGCCGAGGAAAAACCAAACAACAAUAGAUGCUUGAAGGCUCAUCUUCGCAAAACUCUCAUGAUGCCUCCAUUGAUGACAAUGAAAUAUACAUUGAUGUUGUUGGAGGUGGAAAUAAAAAAAGGGAAUGUCUAUGGUCUUGGUGUAUUGAGCAAAAGGUUUAAUAGUUCUACAAGUGCUCACUCUGCUACAAGCCAGACUCCUGAUAAGUGUCUGAUUUCAAUAAUAUUUCAUAUUAAAAUAUAGGAACUUAUGAGGAUUUAUUGCUAAUUACAUAUAAAAUAAUCCCUAAUUUAUGAAUUUAUACAUUUUUACAUUUUUUAUGAUCAUUAUUUGAAUAAGAGCAUUUUAUUCCCAAAUUUGGUGUCAAUUGCAGAUGUUUAGGUAUGAUUGAAGAUUUGGAGUAAAGGAGAAUAAUUCGAGCUAAAGGGAGAAAGCUGGAAGGUCCCAGAAUAGAAAAAGAUGGAGAAAAAAAGACUAUUUCGCAAUAGUAGUAUCUCGCUCAAGUGAGAUAUUCUCGCUUGAGCGAGAAUGCGUCAAAAAGAUUGGGCCUUUUUUUAUGUUUUAUCACUUAGCCCAUUAGCGCCACACAGGAAGCGACCUAACCUUAGAAAAUUAGGUUAAAUAAGGGGCUAGAGGCUCAACCCUAGUGUGCCAGAUUGAGAGGAAAACAACAUAGAGUGAAUUGUAACCCAAUUGGGAGAAUGGAAGGUGCUAGAAGUAUGCGUGUCUAAUUCUACCCUUUGAGAUUUAAAGUAAUAUGUUCAAACUCUUAUGUAUUGAGGUGAUAUCUUAUAUAUUAAUAUUCAGUUCUUGAUUGAUUAUUGGUAUUGUUUUUUACUUUUAACUUUUAAUGACAAAUUGAGAAUCUUAAAUCUGACCAGGGGGUAUUUUUAGGGUUCAGACCUGAACAACAAUACUUAACAUAUUUGAGUGUUAGGGAUAGACUUGAAAUGUUAAUGCCAUUAACCUCUGAAUGUGAUUCUAAGUUGUUUUUAUAAAUAUGCGAGGGAUCGAUAUUUAGGAAACAUUCUUAAGGAUUUUAUAUGCGAGGGAUCGAUAUAAAUUAAAUUUUCUACGCGUUUCAAUUUCAAUCAAAGAACUCAAUAUUAUCAUGCUAAUUAAAAUACAUGAGAAUAGGAGAGAUGAAACCUAAUCCCUAUUUUUCUAAUUAAAGCAACUAAUUCUUUGUUUGUUUUCUUAUAGAUCAGUGCCAACACAAUCACUUCAAACUCUUUUUAUUGUUCUGUUGUUAUAUUUAACGAAUAUUGUACUCGAUAAUUCAUUGUUCCUUGUGGGAUCAAUAUCCUUAGGGACAAUUAUUACUUCUGACAAACACGGUGCACUUGCCGUAAAAAGUCAUUAAAUUUUUGGCACGUUGCCGGAACAAGUUUGAUUUGUUGAACGUUGUCGGGAACAAGUUUGAUUUGUUGAGUAUAAUUUUUUAAAUAUUGUGAAUAUUUUAAUUGUUUCAAUUUUUUUUUAAUUUUGUGUUUAUAUUUGUUACUAUUUUUAUUUUGUUUUAAAAAAAAUUAUUUUUAUUUUAUUUUAAUUUUGCAGAGCUGUUAUUAUUUUAAUUCCUAUUUUGUUUUUAUUUGUUUCUAUUUAUUUUGAUUUUCUUUUGAUUUUAUAAUAUUUUAUUAUUCUUUAUUUUAGUUAUUUUUUUUAGGUUUAGUUACGUAGUUUUAUUUAGGUUUACAUAAUUUUUAUUUAUUUGUUUUAAUUAUUUAUCAUUACUAAUUUUAGUUUUUAUUUUUACGUAAACUUAGUUUACGUAGUAUCUUUAAAGUUAGUUAGUUGUUUACUAUUAUAAUUUUCUGCUUUAGAUUUAUUUUGUUUUUAUUUUACUCCUAGUAUUUAUUUGUUAUUUUAAGUAUGUUAUUUUGAAGUUUUUAUUUAUUUUUGUUUUAUAUUUUUUAUUUAUUCAUUUUUUUUUGUUUUAUUGUUUUGUUUUAUUUUGGUCUUUAGUUUUUAGUUUACGUAAGUUGUUAUCUAUAUAUUUUUUUUUUCUGAAUAUUUUCGUUAUUUUUUUUCUCUUAUCGUCAUUUUAGUAUUUUUUUUGUUUAUUCUUUUAAUUUUUGUUUAUUUUAUUUUAAAAAUUUGUUUUUAUUUUAUCUUCAAUUUUUUUGAAUUUUUUUUUAUUUGUUUUUAAUUUUUUUAAAAAAGAAAAUAAAUAUACUCUGUUUUUUUCUCACUAAUAUUUUUCAAGAAGAUAGCAACAUGACAGAAAAGGAGGCAACAGGACACUUGGAGAUUAUAUCAUGUACUGGAGGCCAAUGCAUUAUUCUAGCAUUGCAAUACUUGCUAUCACCAAAGCCUUGGAAAUAAAUCUCGAUUUUCUCACUCUCAUUAGUACCCAUCAAUUCAUAGUAAUGGAACAUGAGGAUCCAUAUUCACAUUUGGACACAUUUUAUGAAUUGGUGAGAACAAUGAGUUUUUAAUCAACUGAUAUUGAAAUUGUUUAAAUGCGUUUGUUUCCUUUUUCAUUGGCAAGAAAGGCUAAGGAUUGACUCAGAUCACUUCCAAAUCAUAGCCUCACUAGAUGGAAGGAUGUAAAUGAAAAAUUUAUGCAAAUAUUUUUUACAAUCUUUCGCUACAUCAAAGCAAAGUAUGAAAUUUAUGUGUUCAGACAAGGAGCAGAUGAAUCAUUCUGUGAGACAUGAGAAAGAUUUAAAAUGAUGCCUAGAAAAUGCCCAAAUCACGAGUUUGAAGAUAUUGCUCAACUGAGCAUAUUUCUCAUUGGUCUUAGAUCAGACACAAAGAUGUUGUAACUGGCGGCACAAUGAUGGCUCUUGAUGUAGAACAAGUGACAAGGAUUAUUGUUGCACUGGCGUCAACUGAUUAUCAAGCCCAACAUGAUAAACAAAAUACUCAUAAGGAAGGGUUGUUAGAAUAUGCACUCUUGGUUCAAAAUAAAAUUCUAACACAACAGAAAUGGCUAAAUUGCCCAACAAUUAUAUGUUGUUCAUUCAUCUCAAAGCCAGAGUUAAUCAACCAGGUUUGAUUUUUGUGGAGGUGGUCAUCCUAAUGGUCAUUGUUCUUAUCAGAACAAUUCACCUGAAGCUGAGGGGCCAUCCAUGCUUGAAAGAAUGAGUAAAGUUGAAGAUGCCCUAACAAUGCUUGUGAUAAUGGAAGAAAAUAGCAUGGCAACGAUAAGGAAUAUAGAUAUCCAUAUGGGAAAAAUGGCUAAACAAUUUGAAGAAAUACAAAGUGGCCAGUUUUCAGUCGACAGCCAAACCAACCCAGAAGUGUUGAAGAUGAGGAAGCUUUGAUGUAUCAAAUCCUCAUGGAACCUAAAGCUAUGUUACUUUUUAGGCUUGAGUUUAGUUAAGGGGGGUUUAGAAUCUUUGUAAGAUCAGUCUUGAUUCUCACACAAAGCUUGUUUCAAUAUGUUUCAAAGAACUAAGUGUUUUCCAUGCAAAGGGAAAAACAACCGAUUAAAGUUUCGAGACAAUCGGUUGUUUGUCACUUAGCUGGCAAAGGAGUUUUGAAAAUGCUUUUUGAAUCAGUUGUAUAACUGUUGAAACCAUUCAACCGGUUAAAUCUCAGUUUCAACCGAUUAAAUGUGAGUUUUCAUAACAACUUUUUGAAAACCUGUUUUAACUGUUUCAGUUGUUUAAAUUUGUCUUAAACGGUAGUUUUUCAAAGGUUAUAAAUAUAACCUUCUUUCAAAUAUUUAACACGAAUAUAAAAGAGAGAAGUUUUAUCAAAAAGAGAGAUUACCAACUGUAUGUGAAAAGGUGUUUUUCCAAGUUUAACAAAAUUGUUUUUGGGCUUUGUUGUGAUUCAAGAACUAAUCAAUAGGGUUUCUGGUGUACUGUAAUUCCAGGUGUUUCCUACCCUUUCUUAGUUUCUUGUAAUUAUUCAAAUUACACUUUGUAAAAUUGUUUGUAAAAAUUUUGCAAAGUCAGUGUGAUUCUGGCUUGAAGUGUUUGUUGUGUGCAAAGAGGGUGAGUAUGCUUUUUGGGAUUCAAAGUCACCUCUUUGUUGUGUGUUGUUGUAAUCUGUGAUUGGUUACUUAGUGGAAUACUCAGUGCUUUGACUGAGAACUGGAUGUCGCUCAGGGAUUAAGUGAACCAGUAUAAAUCUUGUGUGUAAAUCUCUCUAUCUCUCUUCUCCAUAACUGUUUGAUAUAUCCGCUGUCAUAAACAACCGGUUAAAUCGUGUUUUUAACCGAUUGAAUUUAUUAUAUCAGUUUCUGUUUGACUAUUUGAUUGACUUUCUGAAUUUCUUAUCCGAAUUGAUUGUUAAAGAUUCAUUCUAAAGAAAGUAUUUGUGAAAAUCUUUUAUAAACAAUUGACCUCUCCCUCUUGUUUUAGCCAUCAAUCCUAACAAUUGGCAUCAAGAGCUAUGUUCUUGAAAGGUACUCAAGUCUUUGUUUUCUGAAAAUCUUUUGAUGGCUGAUAAAAGUUUUUUUUUUGGGAAGGUGCCUCUUUGAAUAAACCACCUUUGUUCUGUGGUCAAAAUUAUCCAAUUUGGUGUAUAAGAAUGAAGUUCUUUAUUCAAUCCUUAUAUAAGAAUAUUUGGAAUGUUAUUUCAAAUAAUACCUAUGUGCAUAUGCCUGAAAUUAAUUAUGCAUCAUCUAAAGAACAUCUUGAUUGUAUGGCACAACAUAUUAUUGUGUUUGCUUUAGACUCUGAUGAAUUACUCAAGAUUUCAUAAUGCACUUUAGCUAAGGAAAUGUGGGAACACUUGAGAAAUGGCACAAGAAUCCAAAGAGUGACUUGAUGGAUAAAGAAGAGUCUUCUGCUGAUUUAAUCUCUUCUGAAAACAAGUUAGAAGUCUUCUUAAUGACCAAGGGAGAAUCAGAAUCAAGUCAGGUAAGUACAACCUCUUCUAAUAAGUGUGAAAGUUAUUUUCAAUUACUUGAUGCUUUCCAAGAAAUCCAUGAAGAAGCUAAGAGAUUAACUUUUUCAAAUAACCGAUUGAAAUGUGAAAAUAACAAGUUGAAAAUGAGAAUCACAAUUCUGGAAAAAGAUUUGAAUCAAUCAAAAGCUGAUUUAGAAAAUUCUGAACUGAUUUAUGAAAAAUCCUCUUGCAAAUGUGAUUCAAGUUUCUGCAAAAACUGUAAGUCUCUUUAAGAGAAAGUUUUAUAUCUUGUGAAAACAAUUGAUAUCAUUUCGAAAGGAAAAUCAAAUUUUGAAGAUGUGUUGGCAUCCCAAACAUGUGUUUUUGGAAAAUCUGGCUUGGGUUUUAACCCCCAAAGCAAACAAAGUGGGUUCUGUAGGAUCAGGAGGUUUUCUGUUCCUAAGGGUAUUCUGAAAUGGGUUCCUAAGGAUCCUAAUGUUCAUUGGAAACACAUUAACACUUAUGGACCCAAAUUCGUAAGGGGACCAGAUCUAGGAACUUGAUUUUGUUUCUUUUGUAGGGUUGUUUGGGGAGAAAACAGCACCUAUGGUAUCUACAUAGUGGUUGUUCAAAACAUAUGACAGGUGAUGCAUCCAAGUUCAUCAGCAUCUCUCUCAAACAAGAUGGGCAUGUAACCUACGGUGACAACAACAAGGGAAAAAUCCUUGGCAAAGGUACAUAGGUAAUGAAAAUAGCUUGCAUAUUCAUGAUGUGCUCUAUGUUGAAGGUUUGAAGCACAACUUGCUCAACAUUAGUCAGCUAUGUGACAGAGGUUACCAAGUUACUUUUAGGACU
This 158725-nucleotide long non-coding RNA is filed under the name Phaseolus vulgaris (common bean). RNAcentral describes it as "long non-coding RNA (PVUL_LNC002969)". Lineage: Eukaryota; Viridiplantae; Streptophyta; Magnoliopsida; Fabales; Fabaceae. The record is from RNAcentral.